Molecule: long non-coding RNA, 93145 nt
Filed under: Capsicum annuum
Lineage: Eukaryota; Viridiplantae; Streptophyta; Magnoliopsida; Solanales; Solanaceae
Description: long non-coding RNA (CANN_LNC010647)
Source: RNAcentral
AAUGAUCACAUCUGAGUUAUCCACGUAGAAGUGAGAAUAAUUUGAUAAUCUGUACCUACGUUGGCUAUGUAGUUCUGUGGAAGUGGGAUGCGCUAAACCCACACUCCCAGCUUGAUGCUAAAUACUACUUCCUUUAGAUCUGUAUGCUCAAAAGCUGAAGAAAAUCCACUUUAAAAGAAAUCUCAUGGUGUAUAAUGAAAACCAACUACAAGUCUGUAAUCUGAAUCUGUAAAGUGGAUUUCUUUAUCUAUUCUAGGACCAAAAAGUCAAAUCUUUCUCAACAAAUUUGAAAAUAUUCUAAUCAUGGGGUGCUUAUAGCACUAACAAUCUUGAAACAACAAUUUUUAAUCAAGGUCUAAUGACCCAAACAUCAAUCUCAUGUUAAAUCAUCUCAAAAUCUAUCUUGGUAAAAUAAACAUUCGUAAAUCAUCUAAAUAUCUGAAAAUUUCAGCAAUAAGCAUGUAAACAGGUGCAAAAUCAUGUAAUUCAACUUCUAAAUCAAUGGGAACCUUAUAAACUUGUAAAUAACAACAAUGGGCAUAAAUCCCAACUUAAAUCUCAUGAAAAAUCAUGUAAAUUGUAGUAAAUUAAUAAUUAAAAUAGGUUUUGGGUACAAGAACGAAAGAAUUGUUCUUGUUCAAACCCCACAUACCUUGAUGAUGAUAAAAUUGUGAAAAGAUUGGACCUUUAAGCUUGAUUGAAAGAAUUCUUGUAGAGAACUUUGAAUUUGGAGCUUAACUUCUUGAUUGUUGAGAGGUGACACUUGGAUUCUAUUCUUGGGAAGAGGGGAAGGGUUUUGGAUCGUAACUUGACUGAUUUGGGGCUUAGGGAUUGUAAAUAAUGUGUUGAAAAGCCCUUAUAACGACCCGGAGUGAUUAGGGAUGGUUUAGGGGUGUGAAAUAACUUCAAUAAGUCAAAACGAAGUGUUUUUGGAACUUGGAAAUGACUUAGGCGGCGUCCAAUCAAACUUAGGCCAUUGACAAGGAUGCUAGUAAACAUGUUUACAAUAAUUAUUCGGUGUUUGCUUGCUAUAUUUGUGUUAUAUUAUAUUCUCAUUGUACUGCUAUUACGUAUUGUCUUACAAGUAUAAAUAGACAGUUUUGGGGAUUUGAAGAAUCGUCGGGUUAUCGAGGAAAGGGCUGUUCAUCCUUUUUUCUUUACUUAUUUUAAUUCAUUGUGUUGUAAUAACUUUUGUAAAUCCCGAUAUAAUAAAUUGAGGACUGCUUGGAUGGGGUUUUAUGUGGUACAUAAAUUACCUAGGCAAACAAACUUAGGAUUCAUUAAUUAAUUGGUUGUUUAGGCAAAUCUAAUUUUGGACUUAUUUCAAUCACCUAGAAAUCUGCUUGUAGGAGUUUAUUUAACUUUUGCCUGGUCAAAUUACAUUUGAAUAUGUCAACUUAGCUUGCAACAUAUUUAUUUACCUUGGCAUGUUUACAAAGUUUUGACAUAUUACAAGUAACAUUUAAGCAUUUUUAAUCACAUUUUCACCAAUUAUAUGGUAAUUUUCAGCAUUCAAAUAACAUUUUUUUCAGCACAUUAACUAAUUUUUCUACUUUGUUUAUGCAAAUAUUUUUAAAACACAACAUUAAUUGUUAAUAUUUUGUCAAAAAUGAUGCUUAGUUUUCUUUUUUAACUUGAAUUGGACAAUGUCUUUCUUAAAUUAUUACUCACAUGAAUACUAUAUCCUAGCCUAUAGUUGGUAAAAAAGCAAAAAAGAAUUAAGAGGUCUAAUUCCGAUGUUUUAAUAUAAGUUAGUGAAAAAGUAAAAAGGAAUUAAGAGGUCUAAUUUUUAUGUUUUAACUUAACCCGUUGCAUUCUCGAAAGUAUCACUCACCAACCUUUUUUUUAAAAUAAAGAAUGUGUAUAUCUAUACCAAUGUAGAUAUUUUUGUCUUUAUAUUUCAAAAGUCAAUUUUUCACUUGGCUUUAAAAAUUAUAUUAUUAUUAUUUUUUACUUAAGACCGAUCUCCAAUCAAAAUUGUUGCUAAGGUAAAAAGGCGUGAUUGACGAUAUCGUGAUAUCUUUCCUAUAAAAGCGACAAAUAUUUUUCUCGAAAAACUUUAUUCAAUUUGAAAAUGAUUUACUUUAUUAACUCAAGUAAUAUAAUGUUUUAGGAUAGUUUAUGAUUCUUAAUAUAAAUAUUUUGUUAUAAAUUGUUUUCCUUCUUUCUCCUCUCUUCUGUACUUCACAUUAUUUGUUAUCCACUUUAUCACCACCCAGUUAAUAAUUAGAAACGAUAAAAUAACAUAUGUUUGCUUAUUUAUUACUUUAUCACUUAGUUAUCAUUUAAGUUAAUAAAACAUGAGACCUUUUGAUCACGUAGAAUCCCCACGUAAAAUACGAAUUUGGCCAAAAACCACCUUUGGACCUCGAAAGGUGCCUAGCACCUUCUUUUCAAGGUAAUUUGAACCAUUACCCGAAUUUCUGGUGGACUAAGAUAAAACAACAAAAUAGGUUCGUAGCAGCCUAGACUGGUGCCUAACGCACCUUAAUUCGUUAGGUGACGACUCUUCACACUCUACCUUUAAACAAUUCCAAAAAAGAGGGGUCAUGUCGAAACCCGCUUUUCGAGAGGAAAAUGAAGCAUGACAGAAUGGCGACUCCGCUGGGGAUCUUAGGUUCUAACCAUUACGAGUUUGUGUUUUAUGUGGGAUUCUUUCACUUUGUUUUUUUUUUUUUGCAUAAUUUCUUUUUCUCGUUCCCUUUUGACAUUGUUACAUGUUAAUCCCCCCUCCUUUCCCUUUUAUGUGUUAUUUAUGUUUACCUCGUCUAUUCUUUCUCCACUUUUUCUUUUAGUGGUUAUAUGUUUUGACAUGUUUUUAUUGCUAAAGCAUGCUAUUGUAUUUUGCUAUGUGCUAUGUGUUACUGUUUUAUAUAACUGGCAUUUUGCUCAUACUUUCCUCCACUUGGAAACCUCUUUUGUUUUCUUUUAACGAACGGUUGCGUGGUAGCAUGGACGUUCUUUCUUAAAACACCUUUCAGGAAAUGCCUUGUGGAUCGAUCGAUCAGCGGUGCGUCGACAGUCACAAGCUCUCCCACUCUCGAGUUUCCCACUCGAGGGAACCAUGUCAUAAACCCAAUCUUGUCCGUUAGGCCUUGGCUACAUGUUUCUUUUACUAAGGAAUAUGCAUCCCAUUCAACGUAGGAUUCCUUGGCAUCCUUGAUGCGUUGAAUGUUAGUCUCAUUCAAAGUCCAAAGAGGUUCACGGCCUCAAAGGACUCACAAUUAUUUGCUGUGUGUUGCAUUUCUAUGUAUAUAUUAACAUCUUGCCUAUCAUGUUGUUUCCGUUCUUGCCUUAGUCACUCCUUACAUUUAGUGUUCCUCACUUUAGACCUCGUUACUCUUAAAUUUCUUGUCAUGUUAGGUCCCUAGGAUACACUCUUAGGGCCUAUUCAAAACUUUCCUUUAAUCUAUCCUCCUGACUCAUCCAUCCGUUAGUAUGUUAAUUCCCCCUAGGUCCAACUCUUGCUUUGAUAAAGAGUUUCAGUCUCAUUCGCAAUCUUUAGUUCAACUUACCAUUUUAGGAUAUCCUCUUCCUAAUGCUUCUAACGUUUACAUACUAUUGUCCUACCACGAUUCUCGGACAUUAAUAUUGUUAUAUUCAUGGCGUACUCUAGAUUUCACAGCCUCUUAGUUACAUAAAGCUCUCACAACUUCUAUUCACUCUAAAUGAGCAUAACUCACUAUUUUCAAAUAAGUAGAAUAUUCAUUCUAGACUCCCAUGCGUACUCUUUGUUUCUAAUCAUUAGUCGUUUCUUCUGAGGUUGACUAAAGUUUAACAUAACAAAUGGCUAGUCAAGCAAUGUUUAUCGAUCUUGUCAAUAGCGAUAAUGAGCAUGAGAAUUUGGGAUUGUGUCAAAACAAAGUUAUUUUGAUCAUCAAAAGAAUAGAAGGGAAAAUUGAGAUAAUUAGGGGAAUAAUGAUUGAUCUUCGAGGUUCAGCUAAUAGGUGGUGCCCUAACGCACCUUAAUUUGUUAGGUGGCAACUCUUCACACUCUACCUUUAAGAAAUCCCAAAAAAGAGUGGUCACGUCGAAUCCCGCUUUCCGUGAGGAAAAUGGGGUGCGAAAAUAGGCUAUAACCUUACCUCUCUGCAUCAAAACACAAUCCAAAUCAAUUCUAGAAGCAUCACAAUCGACAACAAACCCAUCUAUACCAUCAGGUAAUGCUAAAAUUAGGCUGAAGUGAGUCAAGUCUUCAACUCAUGGAAACUCUUUUCACAAGAGUCAGACCACUAAAACUUAACUUUAUUUUGAGUUAAUCUAGACAUAGGGGACAUAGUAGAAGAAAAACCCUUAUCAAAACGUCUGUAAUAGCCAGCUGAAACAAAGAAACUUCUCAUGUAUGAUAGAGAAAUAGGUCUAGGCCAGUUUCUUACUGCUUCUAUAUUUUGGGGAUCAACUCUAAUCUCCUCACUGGAAAUAAUAUGACUGAGGAAAGCUAUUAAUCUUAUCCAAAAUUCACAUUUAAUAAACUUGACAAACAACUGAUGAUCUCUAAGAGUUUGCAACACAAUUCUAAGGUGAUCUGCAUGAUCAUUCUCACUACGAGAAUAGACAAGAAUAUCAUCUAUAAAGACUAUGACAAAAAUGUCCAAAUACUGUUUGAACACUCUGUUCAUCAAGUCCAUGAAGGUUACGGGGGCAUUUACUAGUCCGAAGGACAUGACUAGAAACUCAAAAUGACCAUAACUGGUUCUGAAAGCUUUCUUUAGAAUAUCACAUUCCCUUACUCUGUGUUAAUGAUAGCCGGAUCUAAGGUCUAUCUUUGAAAAGUAACUUGCACCUUGGAAUUGGUCGAAUAAGUCAUCAAUUCUAGGAAGAGGAUAUUUGUUUUUGACUGUGACUUUAUUCAGUUGAUGAUAGUCAAUGCAUAUUUGCAAAGAACCAUAUUUAUUUUUCAUGAAUAGGACAGGAGCGCCGCAUGGAGAAACAUUGACCUUAUGAAACCUUUAUUUAAGAGGUCUUUAAGCUGUUUUUUUAACUCUUUAAGUUCGGUUGGAGCCAUAUGAUAUGGAGAAAUAGAGAUAGGCUGAGCAUCUGGGAGAAGCUCAAUACCGAAUUUUAUUUACCUAUCAGGAGGUACCCCUGGAAAAUCUUAGGGAAAGACAUCAGGAAACUCAUUGACUACACGAACUGAUUGAACUGUUGGGGUUUCAGACUUAGUCUCUUUGACUCGAACUAGAUGAUAGAUGCACCCUUUUGAGAUCAACUUUCUGUCUUUAAGAUAGGAUAUGAAAUGACUCUUGGGAGACACUGAAUUACUUUUCCACUCAAAUAUUGGAUCAUCUAGAAACUGAAACUUCACCACUCGGGUGCGACAAUCUAUGGUUCACAACAAGAAUAGAGCCAAUCCAUACCAAAAAUAAGGUCAAAUUUGACCAUAUCUAACUCUAUUAAAUCUUCUAACAUAAUUUUAUAAAGGAAAGUGAUAGAACACUUUCUAUAGAUCUGUUUGGAAACAACUGACUCACCCACUGGGGUAGAAACUAAGAAAGGCUCAGGGAUCUUUUCAGGAACAAUUUUAAAAUUUAAUGCAACUAAUGGGGUCACAUAAGAGAAAUUUGACCUAGGGUAUAAAACACAUAUAUAUCAAGAUGAAAGACACGAAGCAUACCAGUAACAACAUGUGGUGAAUCUAGCUGCUCCUGAUGGGAUGGUAAAGCAUAAAACCAAUUCUGGCGCUGACCGCUACUGGUAUUAGAUGAUGCUCUUUGAGGAGGGACUGGACGACCUAAAGAAGCUGGUGCACUAGUAGCCUGAGUCUGGGGAUGAACAUCCCUGUUUCCCUGCCUAGCAUGAGGACACACUUUGAUUUUUGCCUCAACUUAUCACAACCAUAACAACCUUUCUGUCCCAACAAGCACUCACCAGGAUAAUUCUUACCACACUUAGCAUAUGGGGGAUAACUGGAUAUUCCACUAACGCUAUUCUGAGAUCUGGACAUAAAAGUUUUACCCCACUACUUCUGUCUAGCUUUAGGAGCAGGAGCGCUAGCUGAAGAUGACGCUGACAUAGAUGAACGAUUCUAAAACUGUGAACGAUUUUCCCCUCCAUACUUUGUCUAGCCAUAUGCAAAUUUUUUGAUUCUAGCCUUCUUAUUUUCUCUCUCUCUCCCCUUCAACUUUUCUGCUUUAAUCUGCUGGGCAUGAAUUAUCAACCUAGCAAGAUCCAUGUCCCCAAUUAUCAUGGCAGUCCUACAUUUCCUGACUACUAAACCAGAUACUCUAGUAACAAACUUACUCAUACUUGCCCUAGGGUUAGCCAUCGUAUCAGUGGCAUACUUAGACAACUGGUUGAACUUAAGGUUGUACUCCUUUACUAUCAUCGAGCCCUACCUCAAGUUCAUAAACUCAUCUAUCUUAGCUUCUCCCAUUUCACGCAAAAAGAACCUAUCUAAAAAUUCAUCCUGAAAUACCUGCCAACUCAUAGGAGUUGCAUUUUCACCUCUACCAUUCUUCCACAUAACCACCCAAUCAUACGCUACAUCCUUCAAUCUAUAUGAUGUGAACUCUACAAUUUCCUUUUUAGAAACAUACAUAAUCUGGGUGAUCUUCUUUACCUCAUCUAAAUAAAGUUGUGGGUCCUCACCUAUUUUUGACCCAAACAACUUUGGCAGAUUAUUCUCAUGAAGUCACGAAUUCUGGCUGUUGCUAACUCCCCAUUCUGCUGAAGUGGGACUGCCGCCUAAUGGUUGCCCUAAACAUUGGCAGUCACAGCCUGGGCCAAUGCUUGAAAAGCAUCUCGAAAUUCAGCAUGAGAUAUAUUCUCAUUUAGAGGGUCAGCCGGCUGGGGUGGCUGGUUAUCAUUUUUUGGGGUGUUAGCUUGACGAUGAAGCAUAUUCAACUAUCACGUAAGAGCAUGAGUUAAAAGCAGACUGAGAUACUGUAAGUGUUGAUCAUAAAAGAAAUAGAUGAUUUCCUAAGAACGUCUCGUCGCCUCUUGCUCAUAAAUGUGGCGCACUUCACACCUAUGAUCAAGACUCUAAGUAACACAGCUUGUCUGACUCGCUAGGACUCUCUAAACCUUAGGCUCUGAUAUCAAGUUUGUAAUACCUCAAAAAUGGGUCCCAAGAUGUCACACGAUGCUCAAGACUACGAGUAGCCUUAAGUUAACCAUGUCUGCCUUCCACUGGGUCUGAAUCUCAUAAUAAGGAAAUAUAGAUAUAAAAUUAAAACUAAAAUAUGAAAAACUGUCUGAGCUAACCGAGUAUGUCUAGAUAUAAUCUCUGAAAAUACUACACUCAAGAUUCUGAUAAAUCAAUACUAAAAAUCUAAAUCAUAUCUAGCAGUCUAACAAGCCUCUACUACUAAUAACUAGAGAGUCGCUGGGACAAGCCCCUAGCUGACUCGAACUGUCUGAAAAUACUGAAUUAUCUAUACUAAUAAACUUAAAAUUGAAAGACUAAGUCCUCAAACUAUGAGGACUCACCAACUGUCGGGAUGUAGAUUGUAACGCCCCAAAAAUGGGUCCUGAGACGUCACACGGUGGAUAGGGCCAAAAGCGAUCCCAAGCUAACCCUUCUACUAGCAUAACUUAUAAGCAACUGAAUAAAAUACAUAAAUCUGAACAAAAUCAGUGGAAACAUAAAUCUUCUCUGAACUUGAUCAAUACAAAUCUAUACUAAAAUGAUUCAUCUCUGAUUUUACAAAACAAACUGGAGUUCAAUUACAUCAACUUCUACUGACUGUCUAUGAAGCCUCUACUAGUAUUGACUAUAGGUAGCCGGGUCAUGACUCCCAACUAUCCCAACUCAAUACGACUGAAUAAAGAAAAAAUAAAAUAUUUCUCAAACUGUAUAACUGACUCGAGCCCUUGAAUCAAAAGGACUCAUCACCUGCUAACUGAAAGCUGCAAACUGGCUGAAUAUGGUAUGUGUGCUAUAACUUGUACCUGCAUUAUGAGACAAUGUAGCACAUAGACAUAUAUGUGGAUCAGUACUUUGAGGAUGUACUGAUUAUAUGGGGGGUGCAAUGCAUAAAUAAAACAUUAUCUCAUCAUCAUAAUUUAUAAAACAAUGCAUGCUAAAUGUAAAUGACUCACAUAAGCUGGAAUAUCUGCAAUACUGAAAUAUAAUAAUCAUGAGAAGCAAAUCAUAUUUUUUAAAUCUAGUUAGUCAUAACAUUCAGUUCUAAAAGUUGUACUUAUACUUUUUAUUUAAAUCAUGAUGUCUAAGUGUGUAACACCCCAAUUUUCUGAACCGGAAUGCUACACGAUGCUCAUGACCCCAAAGGACCACAAGUUAACCCAUGACUGAUAUCUGUACCUGUAACUUCAUAAUAUUAAUAUAAAAUGUGGAAACAUGAACAAAGAGGGCAUAAGGUUCAAUCUUGAAUAAUAAGAUAUCUGAAAUAAGGUGGUAUCACAAUAGCAAAACAAAACUGAAAAUACUAGUCUAAAUCUGAAAACUCUAUAAUCAUCUGAAAGCCUCUAAACUGUCUGAAUAAGGAGUUGAAGGAACAUGUCUCCAACUAACUCCCUAAACUGAAAAUAAAUUGAAAUAUUGGAAUAAUAAAUGUAACGAUUAUGUCCUUGAAAGAUAAGGACUCACUGCUUACUGAACUACUACUGCUGAUCUAGAAUCUGCACCUAAGAACCUAUGGUGUAACAUAAAAAGAAAGCACCAUAGUGCAAAUGCGUCAGUACAACUAAAGUACUAAGUAUACGUGGGGGUAGGCUAAAUGAAUGGGGUUUAUAUGCAUGAACAUGCUGACUAAUAUGAACCUAAGAAUACAUACAUACAUACAUACAUAACUUCUACAGAACUCGUGGAGAUACUGACUACUUGAGUUUGAACUUUGACAACAUGAGUUUCGUAAUACUGAGAUACUGAAUGACUGAUGAUAUAGAUGACUGUAUCUAACAGUCCUAAUUUAGGGGAAAACUAUCUGAGUUCCAAACUAUAUUUGAACAUCUAAGUCUGAGAUCAGUCCUAGCUGACGAGUGAUCUCUGAAACUGAUAGUGAGAAUACUCGAUUGAAUCUGAGAUUGAGAUCAAGCCUGUCUGUCGAGUGACCUCUAGAUAUAAUAAUAAGCAUUUGAAUAUGGGACCAAGCCUAUCUGACGGGAAGGUCCAGGAAUCAUUGGAACUAUCUGAGUUCCUUACUGAGAUUGAUGACUGUAUCUGACAGUCCUGAUUUCUAAUUUCUACUCUAAAGACUGAUACUAAAAUUGUAACUGUACUGUGACUAUGGGAGGUAGUAACCUAACUGACAUGCCCCGCUACUGUACUAGUUGGGUCCAAUCUUUGCCCUGAUUGGAAGGGUGUUAAUACCAUGCCACGGGUAGAGACCUCUGCUAUGGUCAAGCCUCUCUAACAGGUGACCCUGAAUAGGAAAUCAAGCCUAAGGCAAUAUAAUAGUCAAGUUUAGCCUUAAUCUGACGGGUGACUCCUAUCCUUUGCUGGCUAUGAAGUUCUAGAGUACAGGGAUUGCUGCUAACGGUUCUACCUCUCUAAUGGGGAAACCUCCAUCCCCAUACUCGCUCGGUGCUAGUUCUAACUCCCAACUGAAAGACACUGAACAAAUUAACUGAGCUGAGCUGACUAACUGAACUGAAUUGAUUUUGAGUUUACUGAGUUCCUUGGACUGAUGGAACCCUACUAACAUCUGAUAUCUAACUAAGUCAUGAGAUUGCAGAUCUUACUGAGUACUGAGUUUUCAUGAGAUUUCUUAGUCUUUCCUGAGUCACAUGACUAACUGCAAUCUAUGGAACAUAGCUUGACUAAGGAUGUCUUGAAACAUGACACUAGCUCUAGGCACACAACUAUAGUUUUCGGGUACAAGUAACCCCAGGACUCGAUGGAAGGAAACUGACACACAUGAGUGACUUGAUCAUAAAAGUAGAGUCCAUAAUUCACAAUAUCAUAAGUAAGGAUUUCAUAAUAAGAAUGAUUCUCAACAAACUAUCACAUGAUCGGAAAUGCACACAACAUGUAUAUACUUGCACGACUUCAAUAUCAUGGUCAUUCCAUAUCACAACAAUAUCAUGAGCAUCUCAUACAAUAUCUUCAAUUCAAGAAAAUAGCAUGGGGAUCACAUUGAACAUAAACUUAGAACAUGGAACAGUCAUUUAGGGCUUAUUAUGUCAUAAAAAGCAUGAUUUCUAUUCCCUUAGGUAUUUUUACAAAAACCUUACAUGCACAUCUUAGGCAUAGAUGGAUUCAUCAAGAUUUCAAACAUUCAACCACCAAUUUCAUAUGUUUAUACGUUAAAUACCACCAUAUCCUUACAUAAAACAUACAAAGAUCCCAUCUUAGGCAUCAUCAAACUCCAACCACAUGAACAUCAACCACCAACAACAUAAACAUCAUAAUACAUAAUUUAGAAGAUGGUUCUUGNNNNNNNNNNNNNNNNNNNNNNNNNNNNNNNNNNNNNNNNNNNNNNNNNNNNNNNNNNNNNNNNNNNNNNNNNNNNNNNNNNNNNNNNNNNNNNNNNNNNNNNNNNNNNNNNNNNNNNNNNNNNNNNNNNNNNNNNNNNNNNNNNNNNNNNNNNNNNNNNNNNNNNNNNNNNNNNNNNGAGGAAUUUCCUUGAAAUCGGAUCUUCAAGCUUAGUUACGUAACCCUAGUUGUUUUUCUCUUUUAUUCUCUUGGAUGAUGAUGUUUGAGAUGAUAAUAGGGUUGUAAUAUGUUUAGAAGCUAUAUAUUUUGUAGGGUUAAGUUUAGGGACAUGUAAGGAGUGUUAAAAGACUUAAUUACCCUUAAAAUAACUCAAAACAAAGUGUUUUUGGCACCUGGAUUUGAAUUAGGCGGCGCCCAAGUGAUUGCCUAAGCUAGGUGUGGCGGCGCCUAACCAAUCGCCUAUGUUUGGUUAGGCGGCGCCUAACCAAUCGCCUAUCCUUACUGUCUCUCACGAAAAUGGGCAUAGCUUUUUGCUCGGGUAUUGGAUUAAGGCAAAAUUGGUAUCGUUGGAAAGCUAAUUCAUUUCUCUACAAUUUAGGGGGUCUAAAUCAGCCAAAAUACCACAUUAACAUCGAGUUAUACUCGUUCAAUAAUGACCCUUGCAAAAUCAAACACUAAAACUUGAUGGAUUCAAAAACUCUUAGCUUGUAUUACCUUAAGUGACUCAUAUAAACAUGCUUAAUGCAUCAUAAGUUAUCCUAUCACUAGGAUAUUUAUUGUAAGUCAUGUACUCAAAUAUGAAUCACAGGAUAGGAGAUUUCAUACGUAGGAAUACUUAUUCACUUCCUAUCUUAGAAACAUGUGGGGUAUUACAAUAUUUCCCCCUUGGGAACAUUCAUCCUCGAAUGAGAAUUAACUGAGGUGGGAGAGAUGAUAAGAUGAAGUACAUACAAGACAUACACUACUGAAACAUGGAUUCAUGACUGACAUGACUAAAAGCGGAGCACAAUAUACUGAACAUGCAUAUCUGAUGCAUGGGAAGCUGAUUAAUGAAUAUAAGACUGAGGACUCUAAUAAAGUGAGUUUUCUCAAAAUGAGAAUGCAUUUCUGAUGCACAACUGAAAUACUGAAUCCAUGCAUAUAUGAUGCAUGAUUACAUGACUGACAUAAUAUGUAAAUGUAUUAGUGAAGUUACUGAUAAAUAGUACUUUCUCUACUGAACAGGUAUAUCUAAUGCCUGAAUAUCUGACUGGGCUGACUCUUGAAAUCUUGACUGAUUAUGCCAUGGCACUUGAUAACUAAUUUAUAACGAGAACAUGAAAGCAUCCAGAAAUGGGUGGGGUAUCUCCCCCUUGGGACACUAUGUCCCUCUAGGAAUGUUUACCUUGCUGAGAUACUGGGGUGAUGCACAGGGCAUCUACGAACUAGAUCAUAACUAAACAUUGGAGAGCUGAGACUAAUGCAUGAUGCAUGAACUGAACUAGACCUGCUAUUGUUACUGACUAAUUCAUGUGGAAACAUAAGCUCAAAUGAGUGCAAGAUAUCUAACAAUACAUACAAUAAUCAUGAAAACUUGUAACGUACCCGAAUCUAGGUUGGGGAAACUUUCUGGAUCAUGGUGAGUUUGGAGUGAAUAGAGUCGAUUCUAACGCUGACCACUAUAGGUACUGGGAUUUUUGGCCCGCUCAUGUGAAUCUCUACCUUUCUGAGCUAACACUCUACACUCCCGCACUCUGUGGCCUGACUUACCGCACCCAAAACAUACCUGACUAUUAGCUCUACAUACACCUAGAUGAUUCUUGCCACACUCUCUACAAAGCGGAUAAGUGCGCUCACUUCUAACAUUACUCUGGGCUUUGGAGCCUGGAGCCCCACCAUGACUAACAUAUCCAAAGUUAGGUGUGGGCACACUAGCUGAAGAUGGAACAGGGGCUGAAUUUUUCUGACUAUGGUGAGAACAAUUACCACCCUGUGACCCAGCCAGAGAAAAGCUGUAACUACCUGCUCUGAAUCUCUUAUUAGAUCUCUCCCUCUCCUUAGACUUAUCUGCGUAUAUCUACUGAGAAUACAUCAUUAAUCUAGCAAGAUCUAUCUCCUUAUUGAGCAUAGCUGUUCUACCCUCUUUCAAUACCAACCCGGACACACCAGUCACAAACUUACUCAUACUCACUCUAGGGUCAGCUAUCAAGUUAGGAGCAUACUUAGAUUACUGGUUGAACUUAAGACAAUACUCCUUUACUGUCAUGGAGCCUUGUCUCAGGUUCAUAAACUUUUCUACCUUAGCUUCUCUUAUCUCUAAUGGGAAAAACUUAUCUAAGAAGGCAUCUUGAAAUAUCUUCCAAGUCAUGGGAGUUACAUCUUCCCCUCUACUCUUCUUCCACAACACUACCCAAUCAUGAGCAAUAUCUUUCAGCCUAUAGGACGCUAAUUCCACACCCCUCUCCUCUGACACAUGCAUGAUUUGGGUGAUCUUCUUUACCUCUUCUAGAUACAGCUGUGGGUCCUCACCAGUUACUGACCCAAAGAAUUUUGGAGGGUUCAUUAUCAUAAAAUUUCUGAUUCUGGCUGCAGCUAAAUCCUCAUCUUGCUGGGGUGGGGCUGCAGUUUGUCGGUUUCCCUGAACAUUAGUGGUUACAGCCUAGGUUAGCGCCUGAAAAGCUGCCCGAAAUUCUACAUGUGACACAUUCUCAUUCAAAGGAUCUGCGGGCUGCGGAGCUGACUGAUUCCCUCUUCUCUUCUUAGGAGGCAUGUUCUGCAAACGGAAGAGGAACAAGGAUUAAACUGAGAUUUCAACUUGAGCUUUUGCUCACUAGCAUGAUAUGAGUACUGAAAGAAGGGAAACUAUUCCUAAAACAUCUUAUAGCCUCCUAUACAUAAAUGUGGCGCGCAAUACACCCAUGUACAAUACUCUACUAGAUGCGGCUUUCAGACUUCCUAGGACUCUAUUGAACCUUAGUCUCUGAUACCAAGUUUGUAACACCUCAAUUUUCUGAACCGAAAUGCUACACGGUGCUCACGACCCCGAAGGACCACAAGAUAACCCAUGACUGAUAUUUGUACCUAUAACUGCAUAAUAUUCAUAUAAAAUGCGGAAACAUAAACACAGAGGGCGUAAGGUUCAAUCUUGAAUAAUAAGAUAUCUAAAAUAAGGUGGUAUCACAGUACCAAAACAAAACUAAAAAUACUAAAGUCUAAAUCUGAAAACUCUAUAAUCAUCUGAAAGCCUCUAAACUGUUUGAAUAAAGAGUUGAAGGAAGAUGUCUCCAACUAACUCCCUAAACUGAAAAUAAACUGAAAUAUUGGAAUAAUAAAUGUAACGAUCAUAUCCUUGAAAGAUAAGGACUCACUGCUUACUGAACUGCUACUGCUGAUCUAGAAUCUGCACCUAAGAACCUAUGGUGUAACAUAAAAACAAAAGCACCAUAGCACAAAUGCGUCAGUACAACUAAAGUACUGAGUAUACGUGGCGGUAGGCUAAAUGCAUGGGGUUUAUAUGCAUGAACAUUCUGACUAAUAUGAACGUGAGAAUACAUACAUACAUACAUACAUACGCAACUGCUACAGAACUCGUAGAGAUACUGACUACUUGAGUUUGAACUUUGACAACAUGAGUUUUGUGAUACUGAGAUACUGAAUGACUGAUGAUAUGCAUGACUGUAUCUAACAGUCCUAAUUUAGGGGAAAACUAUCUGAGUUCCAAACUAUAUCUGAACAUCUAAGUCUGACAUCAGUCCUAGCUGACGAGUGAUCUCUGAAACUGAUAGUGAGAAUACUCAACUGAAUCUGAGAUUGAGAUCAAGCCUUUCUACCGGGUGACCUCUAAAUAUAAUAAUAAGCAUCUGAAUAUGGGACCAAGCCUAUCUGACGGGAUGGUCCAGGAAUCAUUGGAACUAUCUGAGUUCCUUACUGAGAUUGAUGACUGUAUUUGACAGUCCUGAUUUCUAAUUUCUACUCUGAAGACUGAUACUAAAAUUGUAACUGUACUGUGACUGUGGGAGGUAGUAACCUAACCGACAUGCCCCGUUACUGUACUGGUGGGGUCCAAUCUUUGCCCUGAUUGGAAGGGUAUCAAUACCAUGCCAUGGGUAGAGACUUCUGCUAUGGUCAAGCCUCUCUAACGGGUGACCCUGAAUAGGAAAUCAAGCCUAAGGUAAUAUAAUAGUCAAGUUUAGCCUUAAUCUGAUGAGUGACUCCUGUCCUGCGCUGGCUAUGUAGUUCUGGAGUACAGGGAUUGCUGCUAAUGGUUCUACCUCUCUAAUGAGGAAACCGCCAUCCCCAUACUUUCUCAGUGCUAGUUCCAACUCCCAAUUGAAAGACACCAAACAGAUUAACUGAGCUGAGCUGACAAACUAAACUGAAUUGAUUCUGAGUUUACUGAGUUCCUUGGACUAACGAAACACUACUAACAUCUGAUAUCUAACUAAGUCAUGAGAUUCCAAAUCUUACUGAGUACUGAAUUUUCAUGAGAUUUCUGAGUUUUUCCUGAGUCACAUGACUAACUGCAAUCUAUGGAACAUAGCUUGAAACAUGACACUAACUCUAGGCACACAACUAUAGUUUUCGGGUACAAGUACCCUUAGGACUCGAUGAAAGGAAACUGACACACAUGACUGACUUGAUUACAAAAGUAGAGUCAAUAAUUCACAAUAUCAUAAGUAAGGAUUUCAUAAUAAGAAUGAUUCUCAACAAACUAUCACAUGAUCGGAAAUGCACACAACAUGUAUAUACUUGCACGGCUUCAAUAUCAUGGUCAUUCCAUAUCACAAAAAAAUCAUGAGCAUCUCAUACAACAUCUUCAAUUCAAGAAAAUAGUAUGGGGAUCACAUUGAACAUAAACUUAGAACAUGGAAUAGUCAUUUAGGGCUUAUUAUGUCAUAAAAGCAUGAUUUCUAUUCCCUUAAGUGCACAUCUUAGGCAUAGGUGGAUUCAUCAAUAUUUCAAAUAUUCAAUCACCAAUUUCAUAUGUUUAUACAUUAAAUACCACCAUAUCCUCACAUAAAACAUACAAAGAUCCCAUCUUAGGCAUCAUCAAACUCCAACCACAUGAACAUCAACCACCAACAACAUAAACAUCAUAAUACAUAAUUUAGAAGAUGGUUCUUGAUCUUCAUGGACUAAAGGAGUCCAUGAAUCAACUCAAGCAUACCUUAGAAGGAAUAUUCUUGAUGAUUGACAGAGGAAUUUCCUUAAAAUUGGAUCUUCAAGCUUAGUUAUGUAACCCCAGUUGUUUUUCUCUUUUAGUGCUCUUGGAUGAUGAGAUUUGAGAUGAUAAUAGGGUUGUAAUAUGUUUAGAAGCUAUAUAUUUCGUAGGGUUAAGUUUAGGGACGUGUAAGGAGUGUUAAAAGACUUAAUGACCUUUAAAAUAACUCAAAAUGAAGUGUUUUUGGCACCUGGAACUGACUUAGGCAGCGCCCAAGUGAUUGCCUAAGCUAGGUUGGGCGGCGCCUAACCAAUCGCCUAUCCUUACUGUCUCUAACAAAAAUGGGCAUAACUUUUAGCUCGGGUAUUGGAUUAAGGCAAAAUUGGUAUCGUUGGAAAGCUAAUUCGAUUCUCUACAAUUUGGUGGGUCUAAAUCAGACAAAAUACCACAUUAACAUCGAGUUAUACUCGUUCAAAGAUGACCCUUGGAAAAUCAAACACUAAAACUUGAUGGAUUCAAAAACUCUUAGCUUGUAUUACCUUAAGUGACUCAUAUGAACAUGCUUAAUGUAUCAUAAGUUAUCCUAUCACUAGGAUAUUCAUUGUAAGUCAUGUACUCAAAUAUGAAUCACAGGAUAGGAUAUUUCAUACGUAGGAAUACGUAUUCACUUCCUAGCUUAGAAACAUGCGGGGUAUUACAAAGUGUAGGAAGGACUCACUCUUAAAUCUAAAAUCUGAAAUCUAAUAUCUUUCUGUAAAGCGUAAUCUGAUUAAAACCUGUGAGCCUUCACACUUAGUUUUAUAAAAGCUUUUAUAUCAUUCUUUUCUUUUAGAACUUUAAGACUGAGGAGCUUUGUAAACUUUUGAAACUUGAGACUUAGGGACUUUGAAACUUAGAACUUUGGGAAUCUUAAAACCAUAGUGUAAGACCCCACAAAAUCAUAAGUAUAAUUCAGCUCAUUUGUGUUUGUUAAAGGAGCCCCAUACUUAGAAAAUUCUAGCUAAGUUCCAGACUUAGCCUAUUUCUGGCAUUCAAGAGUUCGCAAUAUCAUUUCGCGACCUCAAAGUUCUUUAAUGGUCUAUAUCUUUAGUAAUUCAUGAUCAGGAAGGUCAGUAAGUGUUCCCGAACAAGUUUUAGAAUUUUUGGGAUUCGUUUAAGCCAAGUUCAAAGUUGCAAAAAAGUGGAUCAACGCGAUCUUGGCACGCCGUGUCGCCUAUCGCAUUGGUCAACAUUUGUGCAGAGUUGUAGAGCCAAAAGUACUGAGGCUUGGCGCGAUCAAGGCGCGACGCGUCGACCAUCGCGUCAAUGGGUCAACAUACCGCAUCAGCUUUAGCGUCGAUACCCAGUUUUCAGUCAUUAUAUAUCCACAUUCCUAAGGCAAAGGGGUCAUUUUCCCACCCCUAUAUAAGUCCCAAACACGGGAUUUAACACAUUUGGAACCAAAAUACACCCCUAUUUCUCAAAAUCCUCUCAAGAAUAAGCUAGGGUUUCUCAAAAGAAGAUUCAAGUUCAAGAAUUCUCUCUGUCAAUCUUCACGAACUAAGGUAUAUACAAUGUUCAUUCAGGAUUCCUUUCAUCCAUGAAGCCCAAGAACCCUCUUUUAAAUUACAUAUCAUGAUAUUUAUGUGGUGAAUUGGUGAUGUUCAUGUUGUUAUGGUUGUAUUCCUACCAAGAUUGAAUUUUUAUCAUGUAUUUCAUAAAACCAUGUUAGUUUAGGGUUGAAAUCCAUGCAAUGAAGUUAAAUGGUGGAAUCCUAUUUUAUUUAAUUGAUGAUCAUACCUAUGCCUAAAGGCAGCAUGCAAGGUGUUUGAUAAAAUGCCUAGUAUAAUAGAAAUCAUGUAUAAUGACUCAAUUGUGUUUAAAUGCUAAAUGCAUACAAUUUAUUCAGGCUUAACAUGACUUACAUAUUAUUGAUUAUACAUCAUGCUUGCUUUAUGAAAUGUUCAUGACACUAGAAGUAUGUAAGCAAGCCAUGAUUAUGUGCUCCCUUAUCCAUGUAUUAGAUUAAGGUAAUCAAAUGCGUCAUGAAAUACUCCCCACGAUUGUAUGAUGAAUGUGGGUGUUCAAAAGUGUCAAGUUGUGUCAAUUUUAUUCUAUCGAGUCUUAGGGGUACUUGUGCCCGAAAAAUAUAGUUGUGUUCCUAGAGCCAUAUCAUAUUUCAUGAUACUCUCAGUCAAGCCAUGUUCAGUAGACUUCAGUCAGUCUCACGACUCAGGAAACCUCAGUAAUCUCAUGAACUCAGUCAGUUAAUAGAAUUCAGUAGUAUUCUGUCAGUCAAUGGAAUCAAGUAAACUCAGUAGCUCAGUUUAGUUAAUCAUGUUCAGUGUCUAUUCAAUGGGAGUAGGAAUUAGCACCGAGUGAACCAAAGGAUGGGAACACACACUGUCAGAUAAGGGUGUGAUUUCUAGAAGCAAUCCGUACAUUCCAGAACUAUGUAGCCAACAUAGUUUGAGACAUCAACACUGUCAAAUGAGGGUUGAUGAGGUAGAUUAACACUGUCAGAUGAGGGUCCCACCAUUCUCGUUUGGGGACACUGUCAGAUGAGAGUCACUCAUAACUUGUCCUUACCAGUGGCACGGUAUUGACACCCUUCUAAUUGGGGUUAUAGAUUGGACCCCAACUUAGCUAUACUAGCUUAUCAUGGGCAUAUCAGUUAGAUGACUACUUCCUACAGUAUCAGUCUCAGUAUCAGUAAAAGAACUCAAAUAGUUCUUCAGAUUCAAGACGGUCAGAUACAGUCAACUCAAAACAGUAUGGAACUCAGCUAGUUCCAUUAGAACUUAGACUAUCAGAUACAGUCGCCUAAUAACAGUAUUUAGUUAUAUCAAUUAUAUUAGUUCUAUCAGUUAUCAGUAUCUCAUGCUAUCAGUAAUCAGACUCAGUAAUCAUGUUUUCACGAACUCAGUUAGUCUCUUAAUCAUGCAUGUAUUCUCACGCUCAUGUUAUACGGUCAUUUAGUUUAUGUCCAUACAUAUAAACCCUUGCAUUCAGCCUACCUUACUUGCAUACCAGUACAUUCAGUUGUACUGAUGCAUUCGCGCUAUGGUAUUUUACUACCAUAGGUCCAGAGACACGAGCUACAGAGCAGCAGUAGGACUUUAGAUAUUUAGUAGACAGACUAGUAGUGAGUCCUCAUCACUCAAGGAUGCAUUAUCAUUUUAGCUUUCAGUACUGUUUUCAGUUUUAGUAGCGGAGUUAGUUGGGGACAUGUCCCAUCGACUCCUUAUUUAGAUAGUUAAGUUUUAGAGGCUUUUCAAACUACAGUACUAUGUUAUAUUCAGACGGUAUGUUAGUUUUGGGUAUUCUAUUACCCCACUCAGAUGUUUUAUUUUUCAGUUAUACAGUUUUGAACCUUAUAGCCUUUCAGCCUUUAUUUCUGCAUUUUAUACAGUAUAGCAUGUAGUGUACAGGUACAGAUAUCAGUCAUGGGUUAGCUUGUGGUCCUUUAGUGUCAUGAGCACUAUGUAGCAUUUCGGGUACCAAAUUCAGGGUGUCACAAACUUGGUAUCAGAGCCUAAGGUUCAAUAGUGUCCUAGGAAGUUUGAAAGCCGCAUCUAGUAGAGUCUUGUACAUGGGUGUGUUGCGUGCCAUAUUUAUGUACAGGAGGCUAUAAGAUGUUUCAAGAAUAGUUUCCCCUCUUUCAGUAUUCAUGUCAUGCCGGUGAGCAUAAGCUUAAGCUUAACUCUCAGUCUAAUCCAUUUCUCCCUUUUUUUACAGAGCAUGCCUCCUAAAAGAAGAGAUGGGAAUUAGUCAGCCCCUCAGCCCAAAGAACCUUUGGGCGAACAUAUUUCUCAUGCAGAAUUUAAAGCUGCAUUCACUACUCUUACUUAGUCAGUUGCUGCUCAGAAUGAAUGACCAGCUAUCGUUUUGGCCAACCCAGUGGCCAAUUCAGCUGCAGCUAGGAUUCAGGACUUCACCCGAAUGAAUCCUCCAUUCUUUUUUGGGUCUAAGACAGACGAGGACCCUCAAGAAUUCCUAGAUCAGGUGAAGAAUGUUACAAAAAUUAUGGAAGUUACUGCUAGUGAGAGUGUUGAUCUAUCUGCAUAUCAGUUGCAGGAUGUGGCUCAUACUUGGAACAAGUAGUGAAAGUAAGAGAAGGCAGUUGAUACAGGGCCUAUAUAUUGGGAGGAGUUUGCCUUUGCUUUUCUUGAUAGAUUCUUUCCACUAGAGCUUAGAGAAGCUAAGGUUCUAGAAUUUAUCAAUCUUAGGUAAGGAAACAUAACAGUGAAAGAGUAUUCUCUUAAGUUUACUCAACUAGUUAGAUAUGCUCCUCAUGUGGUUGUAGAUAGUAGGACCAAGAUGAGUAAGUUUUUUUUAGGGGUGAAUGAUAACAUGGUGAAUGAGUGCAGGUCAACUAUGUUGAAUAGUGACAUGAACAUAGCUAGACUCAUGACCCAUGCUCAUCAGAUAGAAGAGCAAAAGAUUAAGAUGAGGGAGAAGCAGAAUAAGAAUACAAGGUCAGGUAGUUUCAACUUUGCUUAGCCUAAGUUAGAGAGAUGGAAUCACUCAUAGUUCUGUCCUACAUCAUCAGUUCCAUCUCUUUUUUUAGCCAGUGCUCCAGUUCUUAAGUUCAGGGAUGGUAAUAGAGAUAGGGCACCAGGAUCUAAGUCUCAGGGCAGUGUUAGUAGUGCCCGAACCAAUCCCCUUUGUCAGACUUGUGGUAAGAACCACAAGGGUGUUUGCAGAGCUGGUAGCGAUAUCGGUUUUGGAUAUGGCAAGCCAGGCCACAGAGUUAGAGAUUUUCCCCAGUCAGGUUAUCAAGGUCAGCAGAACCGUUCCUCAAUCCAGUCCGGUCGCCCAAACCAGCAAGGUGCUACCUCCAGUGCUACUAAUGGACAGCGCCCAAAUCGACUUUAUGCUCUCAAGUCCCGACAAGAUCUGAAAAAUUCUCCUAAUGUGGUUACUAGUGCGUUAUAGAUCUUUCACUUGCCUUUUUAUGCUUUACUAGAUCCAGGAGCUUUCUUGUUUUUUGUUACUCCCUGUAUAGCAGUUGAUUUCGAAGUCAUUUCCGAAAUUCUAGCAAAGCCCUUCUCAGUCUCUACCCCAGUGGGUAAAACCAUCAUAGCUUGGUGGGUAUACAGGAGCUGCCUGAUUAUGAUAUCUCAAAAAGUCACUUCAGCAGAUUUAGUCGAAUUAGAGAUAACUGAUUUUGAUUUCAUUCUCGACAUGGAUUGGCUUCAUUCCUUCUAUACCACAGUCGACUGCAGAAGCAGAAUAGUUCAGUUCUAGUUUUCGAAUGAACCCAUCCUAGAGUGGAAGGGUAGUGUAUCCGGUUUUAGAGGUCAUCUCAGUUCCUACCUUCGGGCAAGGAGAAUGAUACCUAAGGAAUGUGUCUAUCAUCUCGUUCAUGUUAAGGACUAUAGUUUUGAAAUUCCCACCCUUGAAUCAGUCCUAUUCAUAAAUGAAUAUCCAGUUGUCUUUUCCAAAGAUCUUCCAGGCAUUUUUCUUAAAACAGAAAUAGACUUUGGCAUUGAUCUUCUUCCGGAUACACAGCCUAUAUCUAUCCCGCUAUACAGGAUGGAACCCGCAGAACUUAGAGAAUCGAAAGAGCAGUUAAAGGAUCCUUUAGAUAAGGGAUUCAUCAGACCCAACGUGUCCCCGUAGGGUACACCACUCUUAUUCAUGCACAAGAAAUAUGGUUCUCUCAGAAUGUAUAUAGACUACCAUUAACUCAAUAAAGUCACGGUCAAGAACAAGUAUCCACUUUCCAGAAUCGAUGACUUAUUUGACCAACUUCAGGGUGCUAGUUAUUUCUAUAAGAUAGACCUCAAAUCAAGCUAUCAUCAGCUAAGAGUCAGAGAAAGUGACAUCCUAAAAAUAGUUUUUUCGUACUCGAUAUGGUCACUUCGAAUUUUAAGUCAUGUCCUUUGGUUUUACCAAUGGCCCUGCAUCUUUCAUGGACUUGAUGAACCGUGUGUUCAAGAAGUACUUGGACAUGUUCGUCAUAGUCUUCAUAGAUGAUAUUUUGGUCUAUUCCCAGACUGAGCAUGAUCAUGCAGACCAUCUCAGAACAGUACUUCAGACUCUCAGAAAUCACCAGUUAUUUGCCAAAUUCAGUAAGUGCGAGUUUUGGCUAAGUUCAGUAGCAUUCCUUGGUCACAUCAUUUCCGGUGAUGGUAUUAGAGUAGAUCCUCAAAAGACCAAAGCAAUAAGAGUUACCUUGAACUCGUAAUUAGCAUGAUUCAGUUUGGGUCAUUGUAGACAAAAGGACCAAAUAAGUUCAUUUUCUUCCAGUCCAUACCUCUUAUUCAGCCAAGGAUUACACCAAACUCUAAAUCAGGGAGUUGGUUAGAUUGCACGGUAUUCCGUUAUCUAUUAUCUCAGACCGAGGUACCUAGUUCACCUCUCACUUUUGGAAAGCAUUCCAAAAGGGUCUUGGUACCCAAUUUCAUCUCAGUACAGCCUUUCAUUCCCAGAUUAAUGGUCAAGCAGAAAGGACCAUCUAAACCUUCGAAGAUAUGCUAUGAGCGUGUACAAUUGAUUUCAAGGGAAGUUGGAAUGACCACUUACCUUUGAUUGAGUUUGCAUCCAACAACAACUAUCAUUCCAAUAUUCAGAUGGCUCCAUUCGAAGCUCUCUAUGGUAGGAUAUGCAGAUCUCCAAUCGGUUAGUUCAAAAUUAGUGAGGCCUCAACCAUAGGUCCUGUCUUAGUAUUCGAUACGCUAGAUAAAGUUCAGUUGAUCAGAGAGAGACUUUGGGCUGCUCAGAGCCGACAGAAGUCCUAUGCAGAUGUGCGCAGAAAGGAUCUCGAGUUUGAGAUUGGUGAUUUUGUCUAUCUCAAGAUCUCUCCCAUGAAGGGAGUGAAGUGAUUCAGUAAGAAGGGAAAGCUCAAUCCCCGAUACGUCAGUCCCUUCAAGACUCUCAGUCGCUUCGACAAAGUAGCUUAUGAGCUCGAGUUACCAUCAGAUCUAGCUUCAGUCUAUCUAGUCUUCUAUGUUUCUCUUCUCAUGAAGUGCAUAGGUGACCUAUUAGUCGUAGUCCCUAUUCAGAGCAUUGAUGUUCAGAACAACCUCUCUUAUGAAGAGAUUCCAGUCAAAAUUCUUGACUACCAGACUUGUAGACUGAGGAACAAAAAGUUUCUAUAGUUAAAGUUCUUUGGCAGAACUAGUCCGUUGAGGGAGUUACUUAGGAAGCAAAAUCAGAUAUGCGUACCAAUUAUUCUCACCUCUUCUUCGCUAACUCAGACUCAGCUCAAGGUAAUAGCUUUUUCUUAAGCUUUUCAGUUUCAUGAUCAGAUUUUAGUUACUGCUUAGAAUCUAUUUCAUGUUUAGAAUUCCAUUAUAAACUUGCUACUAAGUACCAUUGAAUUUUCAGUCAUGCAUUCAUGUAUAAGAUCAAGUCAUUAGUCAUGCAUCAGAUAUGCAUAGAUUCAGUUUAUUAGUUAUCCAUGAAUCAGAUAUGCAUGUUCAGUAUGAUAUAUUCAGCUCUUCAGUCAUGUUAGUCCUGAAGUCAUGUUUCAGUAGUGUAUGUCUUGCACAUACUUCAACUUAUCUUUUCCUCUCUUAGUCAGUCUCAUUCGAGGACGAACGUUCUCAAGGGGGAGAUAUUAUAAAACCCCAUAAAAUCCUAAGCAUAAUUCAGCCCAUUUGUGCUUGUUAAGGGGAUCCCAUACUUAAAAAAUUCUAACUAAGUUCCAAACUUAGCCUACUUUUGGCCUUCAAGAGUUCGCAAUCUCAUUUUGUGACCUCAAAUUCCUUUAAUGGUCUAUAUCUUUAGUAUUUCAUGAUCAGGAAGGUCAAUAAGUAUUUCCGAACAAGUUUCAGAAUUUUUGGAACUCGUUUAAGUCAAGUUCAGAGUUGCAAAAUAGUGGAUCAACGCGAUCUUGGUGCGCCACAUCGCCUAUCGCAUUGGUCAACAUUUGUGCAGAGUUGUAGAGCCAAAAGUACUGAGGCUUGGCGCGAUCAAGGCGCGACGCGUCGACCAUCGCGUCAAUGGGUCAACAUGCCGCAUCAGCUUUAGCGUCGAUACCCAGUUUUCAGUCAUUAUAUAUCCACAUUCCUAAGGCAAAGGGCUCAUUUUCCCACCCCUAUAUAAGUCCCAAACACGGGAUUUAACACAUUUGGAACCAAAAUACACCCCUAUUUCUCAAAAUCCUCUCAAGAACAAAUUAGGGUUUCUCAUAAGAAGAUUUAAGUUAAAGAAUUAUCUCCGUCAAUCUUCACGAAAUCACGAACUAAGGUAUGCACAGUGUUCAUUCAUGGAUUCCUUUCAUCCAUGAAGCCCAAGAAUCCUCUUUUAAAUUACAUAUCAUGAUAUUUAUGUGGUGAAUUGAUGAUGUUCAUGUUGUUAUGGUUGUAUGCCUACCAAGAUUGAAUUUUUAUUAUGUCUUUCAUGAAACUAUGUUAGUUUAGGGUUGAAGUCCAUGCAAUAGAGUUAAAUUGUGGAAUCCUAUUGUAUUUAAUUGAUGAUCAUACCUAUGCCUAAAGGCAGCAUGCAAGGAGUUUGAUAAAAUGCCUAGUAUAAUAGAAAUCAUGUAUAAUGACUCAAUUGUGUUUAAUUGCUAAAUGCAUGCAAUUUAUUCAUGCUUAACAUGACUUAUAUAUUAUUGAUUAUACAUCAUACUUGCUGGAUGAAAUGUUCAUGACACUAGAAGUAUGUAAGCAAGCCAUGAUUAUGUGCUCCCUUAUCCAUGUAUUAGAUUAAGGUAACCAAUGCCUCAUGAAAUACUCCCCACAAUUGUAUGAUGAAUUAUGGACUCUAGUCACAUGUUCAAAAGUGUCAAGUUGUGUCAGUUUUAUUCUAUCGUGUCCUGGGUGUAGUUGUACCCGAAAAAUAUAGUUGUGUGCUUAGAGUCAUGUCAUGUUUCACGAUACUCUCUGUCAAUCCAUGUUCAUUAGACUUCAGUCAGUCACACGACUCAGAAAACCUUAGUAAUCUGAUGAACUUAGUCAGUUAAUAGAAUUCAGUAGUAUUUCAUCAGUCAACGGAAUCUAGUAAACUCAGUAGCUCAGUUUAGUUAAUCAUGUUCAGUGUCUAUUCAAAUGGGAGUAGGAAUUAGCACCGAGUGAACCCAAGGAUGGAAACACAUAUUGUCAGAUGAGGGUGUGAUUUCUAGAAGUAAUCCUUGCGCUCCAGAACUAUGUAGCCAGCAUAGGUUGAGACAUCAACACUGUUAGAUGGGGGUUGAUGAGGUGGAUUAACACUGUCAGAUGAGGGUCCCACCAUUCUCAUUUGGGGACACUAUCAGAUGAGGGUCACUCACAGCUUGUCCUUACCAGUGGCGCGGUAUUGACACCCUUCCAAUUGGGGUUACAGAUUGGACCCCAACUUACCUAUACUAGCUUAUCAGGGGCAUGUCGGUUAGAUUACUACUUCCCACAGCUUAAGUCUCAGUAUCAGUAAAAUAACUCAAAUAGUUCUUUAGAUUCAGGACUGUCAGAUACAAUCAACUCAGAAUAGUAUAGAACUCAGCUAGUUCUAUCAGCACUUAGACUGUCAGAUACAAUCGCCCAAUAACAGUAUUCAGUUAUAUCAGUUCUAUCAGUUAUCAGUAUCUUAUGCUAUUAGUAAUCAAACUCAGUAAUCAUGUUAUCACGAACUCAGUUACAGUCUCUUAAUCAUGCAUGUAUUCUCACGCUCAUGUUAUACGAUCAGUUAAUUUAUGUCUAUUCAUAUAAACCCUUACAUUCAUCCUACCUUACUUACAUACCAGUAUAUUCAGUCGUACUAACGCAUUUGUGAUAUGGUGUUUUACUACCAUAGGUCCAGAGACACGAGCUACAGAGCAGCAGUAGGACUUCAGAUAUUCAGCAGACAGACUAAUAGUGAGUCCUCAUCACUCGAGGAUGCAUUAUUAUUUUAGCUUUCAGUACUGUUUUAAGUUUUAGUAGCGAAGUUAGUUGGGGACAUGUCUCAUCAACUCCUUAUUCAGAUAGUUUAGUUUUGGAGGCUUUUCAGACUACAGUACUACAGUAUAUUUAGAUAGUAUGUCAGUUUUGGGUAUUCUGUUACCCCCACUCAGAUGUUUUAUUUUUUAGUUAGGCAGUUUUGAACCUUAUGGCCUUUCAGCCUUUAUUUCCUCAUUAUAUACAGUAUGUCAUGCAGUGUAUAGGUACAAAUAUCAGUCAUGAGUUAGCUUGUGGUCCUUCAGGGUCAUGAGCACCAUGUAACAUUUUGGGUACUAGAUUUGGGGCGUUACACAUAGCUUUCAAAACAUAUACUUUAUUUUGAGGAGAGUAGGGGACUUCUUUUAAAACUUAGGGAUUAAAGAACUUUGAGACUCAAGGACUUGGGCUUGGGAGUUUCUUCUAACCGACAUAAAUCAUGUGAGCUGACAUGGAAUCCAACGUCUUGCCCACAUUGGGGAGAGCUAUUCUACCCUUGCCAUCUGAAUAGAACCUUAGCUUUAGUGAUCACUAUCUUAGCCCACUAUGAGCGAAUCAGACGGUGGCACGUAGUUCUGGGGCAUGAGACCUUGGAAUCAUACCCAACUCGGUGCUAAACACUACUCCCAUACUUACGCUAAGAACUCUUUAGGAAAUCCACCUUAAAACAAUAUAAGGGUCUAUAAUGAAGACCAUUAUACUUCUCUUUGCUUUAAAUCAUAAAUAAUAUGGAUUUCUAUCUUAGCUUAGGAUUAAAAGAUCAAUCUUUAAUUUUGAAAGAACUUAUAAAAACUUGUCAAUAAAGCUUGAGAUUAUAAUCUCCUUAUAAACUCAUAACUUGUACUUAGGGCUCAAAAUGUAAAGCUUUAAAGCAUCAACAUCAUAUUUAAACCUUUUUCUCAACAAUUAUCUUUAAAAUCUUUCAACUUGCUCAAAAUAACAAUCUUUAAAUAGGGGUUAAUGACCCAUAUAUCAAACUCAUGUUAGAACACCAAAAGAUUCAUGUUUGAUAAUGUAAAUAUUGAUGAAUCAACUCAAAAUAUGGAAAUUUCAGCAAUAAGCAUGAAAAUAUAAAUAUACUCAUGUAAUAUCAUAGCAAAACAUCAUAGUCAAUAUGCUUAUUGAAAAUACUUCAACAAUGUCAAAAUAUAAAAAUCAAGAAUCACAAUAUAAUGCUUAAACUCACCUGAAAAAAUCUGAAAAAUCACAUUACUUGCAUAAAUUUAUGAAAUUAGUCAUGCAAUUCCACUUCUAAAUCAUUGAAAACCUUAUAAGCUUGUAAUUAACAACAAUGGGUAUAAACACCAACUUGAAUUUCAUGGAAAAUAAUAAAAAAUUCAAUAAUUCAUAAUCUAAAAUAAGUUUUGGGCACAAGGAUGAAAGGAUUAUCCUUGUUGAAAUCCCACAUACCUUAAUAGUUUGGAUUUGAUGAAGAAAACUUGACUUUGAAACCCUAGGAGAUGAUCUUGAAUGCUUUCUUUAGAUUUUUGAAUUAUGAUGCUUAACUCUUGGUUUCUUUAUUGAAGAGGAUGACUUGAAUUUCAUGUUUAUUGGAUUGGAAACUUAGAUUCUUAACUAUCUUGAAGAAAAUUUUGAUGGAGUUUCUUGGUGUUCUUGAGGAGGCUAGGGCUUUCUUUGGAUAGAAAAGGAUGAAUAAUUGACAUUAUGAGGCUUUUGGGGCUUUAAUUAUCUAUUAUGGACGAGUUAGGGUGAAGGGAAGGAAACUUUUUCCCUUAAAAAUGUAAAAACAGAACCUGGAAAUUGGGUGCGUGCGAUAGAGAUCGCGUGCAACUACUGCCUCACUCACGAAAAUGUCCAUAACAUUUCGCUCGGGUAUCGAAUUUUGGCGAAAUUGGUAUCGUUGGAAAGCUAAUACAAUUAUCUACAAUUUGGUGAGUCUUGAUAUGAAAAAUUUCAUGUAUACAAAAAGUUAUACAUGUUUUAAGUAGACCCUUGUAGAAUCAAAUACCAAAUUUUGGACGAAUCAAAGGAUCUUAGCUCAACUUGGCUCUAAAUGAUUUAUAUGAACAUUUUUGACUUCAUGAGCAUUUAAAACACGAGUAUAAGGAUCAUGAAACUUAUAUUCACAUGAAAAUCAGUUGGAUAAUAACUUAUACACGUAGGAACGAUGGUUCAAAGACUAGCCAAAAAAUACGGGGUAUUACAUUAUCUCCCCCUUGGGAACAUUCGUCCUCAAAUGUGGCUAAUUAAGAUGAAAACACUAAGGAAUCUGAGGCUAUAAGUUAUCAUGCACAACUGAAAUAAGCUGAAUCACCGAAUCUUAAACAUAAUGAGAACUGAUCUACGAGUGCAUGAAUUCUUGAAAAAAAUAGCUAUAUGGCCGAGAUAGAAAUGUGCAUAUCAACUUAUGAAUAACCAUUACUUUAGGCUGGAUCUGAUUUCGUAAGAAAAGAUGAUAGGUUUAAAACUCGGGGUAUUACAACACCCCUCUUGGGAUCGUUCGCCCCUGAAUGAUACUAAUUUGGUUGAAAUACUAGGAAAAGACUGAGACGUUACACAGGAUACUUACAAACUGAGUCAUGACUUAAUAUCUGAAACUGAAGUUGAUGCAUGAUCUGAGCUGAAUUAUCUCACAGAAUAGCAAUACUCAUGAAACUUUAGAUAGUAUGACUAGAUGAGAAGUUGGAAAUCUAUAGGAGCUUAUCGGCUUGCGUGUUAAACUGGAUUGUAGGCCAUAUGGACUGAAUCACACUGACUGCCCAUACUCAAAUAGAUUAUUUCUUCAGCACUCUUCUAUGAAAUUCUAUUAACAUUAGGGAGAAAAGAAUUUUGGGUAUGAUCUGAACAAGACAUCUGAAUAAGGAAUCACAACAUCAAUACAACCCUAUAGCUUGGAAUUACUAGGCCUCAAGCAACACAAUGCAACUCGUUACCUUCAAAAUCAGCAACACUUCUCAAAUAUUCCCUCAACUAUACUAUUCCCUUUAAAUACCAUAUUCAUUGAUUAAACUCCUAAUUCUCACACGACCUUUCAUAAUUCCUUCUACUAAUGUCAAAAUUGAUCUAAGUCUUCUCACUAUGAUCAAGUCUAACUCGAGAUCACAAGGUAUAACAUGCCACACCACAAUACUAGUCUAUACCACAUGAUUCAAUAUUCUAUAUCUUUUUAGAGCUCACACCCUAAGCAUAACAUGCCUCACUACUUCAAUGACUAACUCAAAACUCUUACUAUGGAUUCACUAGCGCAUAUUGCAUUCAUCCACUUACACCCAACACUACAUUCAAGCCUAUUACUAUAACUACAUAUGAACUUCAAGGCAACACCCAUAAAGUCAUACUUCUCAUAUUCUCUAAACCUCUAUUAAUAACAACUCUCACGCACUACCCCAAGAACAUACGUACACAAAUUUCAACUAACCACUACAUGUAAUAAAGAGUUGGUCCCAGUCUUACUUCACACUUAUGGCCUCGUCUAAAGCAAGCAUACAAUGAUCUUUCAUCAACAAGAACCAUUUACUCAUCACCACUAUUAUUACAUAAGGAGGAGUCACUAAAAGGUUAGAACAUGAGACCUUGAAGCAUGGAAGGAUACUAUACGAAACUUGACACUUAACUGAGGCCUAGGGAAUAGAAUAUCAAAGGCAUGGAUUCAUUAAGGAGAUCUAAGCGAGGACAUACAUGAUAUAAUGCGAAUUUCACUUGUAUCAUGAGUUCUAAAAGUUGUUCAUACUCGAAAACAUGAGUUCACACUUAUCAUAAGUUGUUCAACAUAAGACUGGAGUCCAUAGAUUUUUUUGAGGGAUAACUCGAAUUAUAGAGUGAAGCUGUUACUUAAUUACUAAGAGUUGAGAAUGAACUUGAAUAUGCAUGACGUAUAUAAACAUUGACCCUUAAAUAUGUUAAAAUAGGAGCUGGAAAAAUAAAAAAGUGUGCUAUAGAGUGUGCGUCGCACGCUAUGGAGCACCGAAAUGGAGCAUAUAUUGCAUGCUCUAUUGUAUGCUCCCUAGGGGUGGACUGGAGAGUGCGGCGCAUGCUAAUUGCAUGCAGCUACUGGUUUGGGCAUCCAAACAUGCCCUAAAUAGUGUUCAAAAAUUCCAAAACUCACCUAAGAUGUACUAUUGACUCCCUUAAUCGUGAAUUAGCUUGAAAAUUAACUUUCGAAGGUCAGGAAGGCCAUAAAUAAAUUCCUCAAAGUUUGAGGGCCUUAGAAAAGACUAAGUGUUAGCACUUAGCUGAAAAUUUUCUAAGUUUUGGACCCCUUUAGGUGCAAUAGGGAACUGAAAUAAGCUAGGAUCUUACAGGGUCUUAUAAUAUCUCCUCCUUAGAUUAAAGCCAUCCCUCUAAGCUUAUGGAUCUAUUUCACAUUCCUAGGAGUGAGUCAAAAUAUCUUUUCUCUAACAGUCUACACAUAAAUGCUAAAAUCACAUACAUACACUAUAUUUUGAACUUACUGAUUUCAUUCUUCGACACCCUUCCAUAUACCAUCUAUCCAUAACUCCUUAACUUAGCUAUCUAAAAUACCAUGUACUCGACAACUAUGCUUCUUCUACUUAAAACUCAAGGGUACUACUAACCAUACACAAUACUUAAUAAACUUAGAAAAUAAUGCAACCUCAUAUCACCUUGGGCACACCUCUACCUCGUUCCUGCAACAUCAUACUUAAUAUCAAAUUGAUAAACUUAAAUUCUUGAAUUCACUAUUUCAAGCCUAUUAAUUUACCUCCGUAUAACUAGCUUCACUAACCAAGCAAUCAUUACAUCCACCUUGAUGACCAUCCACUGUUCAAACUUAGUGUCUAGUGCUAGGCAUGAUGAACAACACAAUCUCGCAUACAAAUUCUCACUUGAAAACUAUAAAAAAAACAUCAAGAAACACAAGUCCGCUAAAACCUCAUAAGAAUAAUAAUUGAUCAAGAUCAUAAGGCCUAUCGUAAUAUAAUCCAUUAACACAUCCUUCUUCUACACAUCAUUACAAUUCACCUAUCUAUACACCUAAACUUCCUUCAUAGCUCUAUAAGUUUCAACUAAACUCCCUUUUUGCAACCUUAGGGAAGCCUAAAUUAACAACACUCAACCACCAAGUACUUUCAUCAAUAACCUAUACUUUUCUAACACUACAAAUACUAUCAACAACUCUUUUCAUAGUUCAAGCAAACAAUAAUUCACUAUAACUAAUAACGCCUUCUCUACCUUCUACUAAACUAACACACAAGAACAUAUCACUUCAUUACUAACUCAAUCAUAUGCAAAAAGAUUUGCCUAUAUAUAUAUAUAUAUUCAAUAAAUUUCCCUUACCACCUUUCUUGUCACUACACUUCUAAACCCCUACUUCCAACUAUAAGAAGGUUUAACUACUUGUGAAUCAUAACACUCUAGGUUUCAAUAUCUCAUGAAUACAAACUCUAUUCAGUAAUCUAUACUCAUACUAUCUCUUCUCAUGAGUACUAUCUGUAUUGAAAGGCUAAUGAGAAAUCUGAAUACACAUGUUACUCUGUCUUAACUGAAUGACUCAUAAGAAUGAGAACAUAAACUUUCAACUUGAGGGAAUUAUGACACACUAGAGAGCUCCUCUCAAGCCCUUUGUGUGACUUCAGAAAUUUCUGGUAGUAAAUCUGAGAGCAUUAUCUGGGGAGGAACUGGAAUUUGCUAAUUAUGUUAUCUCACGAACAAUACAUAGGUGAGGAAUUUCGGGGUAAAACACGAAUAGAAAGGAGAUUUUGAGAGAACAACUUUACUGCAUGAUCUAGAGUAGGAAACAAAGGAAACUUUCUUAAAUGCCUUGUAGCCUCUCAAAGAAAGGUACAAACGUCUCCGUACCGUUUCACAAGACUCUACUAGACACGGCUUCAUAGACACCCUAGGACACUUGAACCUUGUGCUCUGAUACCAAGUUUGUAACGCCCCAAAAAUAGGUCCCGGGAUGUCACACAGUGCUUAGGGCCAUAAGUGAUCCCCAGCUAACCCUUCUACUGGCAUAACUUAUAAACAAGUGAAUAAAAUACAUAAAUCUAAACAAAAUCAGCGGAAACAUAAAUCUUUUCUAAACUUGAUCAAUACAAAUCUUUAUUAAAAUGAUACAUCUCUGACUUUACAAAAAAACUGGAAUUCAAUUACAUCAACUUCUACUGACUGUCUAUGAAGCCUCUACUAGUAUUGACUAUAGGUAGCCAGGUCACGACUCCCAACUCAAUAUAAUUGAAUAAAGAAAAAAUAAAAGAUUUCUCAAACUGUAUAACUGACUCGAGCCCUUGAAUCAAAAGGACUCAUCACCUACUGACUGAAAGCUACAAACUGGCUGAAUAUGGUAUGUGUGCUACAAAUUGUACCUAUAUUAUGAGAUAAUGUAGCACAUAGACAUAUAUGUGGAUCAACACUUUAAGGAUGUACUGAGUAUAUGGGGGGUGUAAUGCAUAAAUAAAAUAUUAUCUCAUCAUCAUAAUUUAUAAAACAAUGCAUGCUAAAGGUAAAUGACUCACAUAAGCUGGAAUAUCUGCAAUACUGAAAUAUAAUAAUCAUGAGAACAAAAUCAUACUUUAUAAAUGUAGUGAGUCAUAACAUUUAGUUCUAAAAGAUGUACUUAAACUUUUUCUUUAAAUCAUGUUGUCUAAGUGUAGGAAGGACUCACUCUUAAAUCUGAAAUCUGAAAUCUAAUAUCUUUCUAUAAAGCUUUAUCUGAUUAAAACUUAUGAGCCUUCACACUUAGUUUUCUAAAAGCUUUUCUAUCAUUCUUUUCUUUUGCAACUUAAAGACUUAGGAGCUUUGGAAACUUUUGAAACUUGAGACUUAGGGACUUUGAAACUUAGAACUUUAAGAAUCUUAAAACCAUAGCUUUUAAAACAUAUCUUGAGGAGAGUAGGGGACUUCUUUUAAAACAUAGGGAUUAUAGAACUUUGAGACUCAAGAACUUGGGCUUGGGAGUUUCUUCUAACCGACAUAAAUCAUAUGAGCUGACAUGGAGUCCAACGUCUUGUCCACGUUGGGGAGAGUUGUUCUAGCCUUGCCAUCGGAAUAGAACCUUAACAUUAGUGAUCACUAUCUUAGCCCACUAUGGGUGAAUCAGAAACCUACGGUGACACGAAGUUCUGGGGCAUGAGACCCUGGAAUCAUAUCCAACUCGGUGCUAAAUACUACUCUCAUACUUACGCUCAGAACUUUUUAGGAAAGCCAUCUUAAAAUAAUGAAGACCAUUAUACUUCUCUUUGCUUUAAAUCAUAAAGAAUGUGGAUUCCUAUCUUCACUUAGGAUCAAAAUAUCAAUCUUUGACUUUGAAAGAACUUAUCAAAACUUGUUAAUAAAGCUUGAAAUCAUAAUCUCCUUAUAAACUCAUAACUUGUACUUAUGGCUCAAAAUAUAAAGCUUGAAAGCAUCUACAUCAUAUUUAAACCUCUUGCUCAACAAUCAUCUUUAAAAGCUUUCAACAUUCUCAAAAUAACAAUCUUUAAAUACGGGUUGAUGACCCAUAUAUCAAACUUAUGUUAAGACACCAAAAGAUUCAUGCUUGAUAAUGUAAAUAUUGAUAAAUCAACUUAAAAUCUGGAAAUUUCAGCAAUAAGCAUGAAAAUAUAAACAUACUCAUUGAAUAUCAUAGCAAAGCAUCAUACUCAAUAUGAUUCUUGAAAAUACUUCAACAACGUCAAAAUAUAAAAAUCAAGAAUCACAAUAUAAUGCUUAAACUCACUUGAAAAAAUCUGAAAAAUCACAUUACUUGCAAAAAUAUAUGAAAUUAGUGAUACAAUUCCACUUCUAAAUCAUUGGAAACCUUAUAAUCUUGUAAUUAACAACAAUGAGUAUAAACCCCAACUUGAAUUUCAUGUAAAAUAAUAAAAAUUUCUGUAAUUUAUAAUCUAAAAUAAGUUUUGGGCACAAGGACGAAAGAUUAUCCUUGUUGAAACCCCACAUGCCUUAAUAGUUUAGAUUUGAUGAAGAAACUUGACUUUGAAACCCUAGGAGAUGAUCUUGAAUGCUUUCUUUAGAUUUUUGAAUUGUGAUGCUUAACUCUUGGUUUCUUUAUUGAAGAGGAUGACUUGAAUUUCAUAUUUAUUGGAUUGGAAACUUAGAUUCUUAACUAUCUUAAAUGAAAUUUUUAUGGGGUUUCUUGGUGUUCUUGAGGAGGCUAGGGCUUUCUUUGGAGAGAAAAGGAUGAAUAAUUGAUAUAAUGAGGCUUUUUUGGCUUUAAUUAUCUGUUAUGAACGAGUUAGGGGUGAAGGAAAGAACACUCUUGUUCUUAAAAAUGCAAAAACAAAAACUAGAAAUUGGGUGCGUACGAUUGUAACGCCCCAAAAUCCCAUCCUAAGGCGCCACACGGUGCUUAAGGCUACAAGUAGCCUUAAGCUAACCCUUUGAGCCUGCUGCUACAUCUUACACUUACUUUAAGAAUUCAAGUCAAAUAAUAGAACUAAAUCUUAUCAAGUCACAACUAAAAUAUAAAAUGUCUGAAACAUGCUGUUUGAUAAAACAACUGACAAUCUAGUCUGACAAAGCCUCUACUACUCAAGAACUAUAGAGCCAUUGGGACAAAUCCCCAACUGACUCAUAGUCAACUGAAAAGAAAUAAUCAACUGCUAACAAGACUGAAAUCCGGGAAGGACAGGUCCUCGAACCAUAAGGACUCACCAACUGCUGAGUGUAGAUAAAGGUACUCAAAGAUCACUGUCGUGGCUGAUAUUGAGCACGCAAACCUACAUUAUAAGACAAUAUAUCACAUAGAAAUAUAUUUGGAUUACCACUUUGGGAAUGUUUACAUAAAACAACAUCAAUAUUCUUAAUAAAAUCAAGCAUGCAAUUAUGAAUGACUCACAUGGCUUGAAUAAGUAAAAAAUAUAAAGCUCAUAAAUCAUGAAUAGUGAAAUAGGUAACACAAUUCUCGUGAGUCAUUAAACUUUAGAUUUAAAAUCUAUACUCUCCUCUUAUUGUCAAUAUUUGUAGACUACAAGAAAAUUUAAACAAUACUUUCAAACUUAUGCUUUAUCUUGAGAAGAGUAGAACUUCUUCAAAACUUAAGGACUUAGAACUUUAGUAACUUUAAGACAUGGGAACUUUGGGACUCUUUGGGACUUGGUAGGUUCUUCUAACCGACAUAAACUAUAUGAGCUACAUGGAGUCUAACAUAUUGCCCACGUUGGGGAGGGCUGUUCUAUCCUCGCCAUUGGAGUAGAACCUCAUCUUUAGUGAUUAUUAUCUCGACCUUAGGCCUAAAAAUCUCAUUCCUAUGGUGGCACGUAGUUCUGGGGUAUGAGACCUUGGAAUCAUACCCAACUCGGUGCUAAAUAUUGCUCCCAUACUCAGCUCAUAACUCUUAGGAAAUCCACCUUAAAAUAACUCAAGGGUCUACCAUGAAGAUUAAAACAUACUUCUCUUGCUUUAAAUCAUAAUUAGUGUGGACUCCUAUUUUAGCUUGGACCCAAAAAGGUCAAAUCAUUAACUAAAAUUUGAAAAUAGCUUAGUUGGGGUGUUUUUGACCCAAACAAUCUUGAACAACAAUCUUUAGAUGGGGUCUAUUGACCCAAACAACAAUCUCAUAUAAAACAUCUUAAAAAUCAUGCUUGGUAAUGCAAUUACUCAUAAAUUAUCUUAGAAUAUGCAAAUUUCAUCAAUAGACAUAGGAAUAUAGACAAAAUCAUGUAAUUCAACUUUUAAUCCAUGGGCAAAUCUCAAAAUCUUGCAAAUAUUAGAAAUGGGUAUAAAUCGUAACUUAAUUUCAUGGAAAGUCUCAUAAAUUGCAGUAAAUCUAUAUUUAAAAUAAAGUUUUUGGCACAAGGAUGCAAGGAUUAUCCUUUUUCAAACCCCACAUACCUUAAAUUUAGAAAUUAGAUGAACUAGCUUGCUUGAGACUCUUUUUGCUACUCUUGAGUGAGGGUUCUUGAAACUCUUGACAUGGGAACCUUAAAUCUUGACUCAAUUUGUGAAAACUUUGGCGAGUUCUUGAAUUUCUUGGAAGAAGAUUUGGAUUUUCUCUAGAGGGUUAAUCUUGAGAGAAAACCCUAGUUUUUGAUGUCUUUGAAAAUAUGAAGCUAUGUGCUUCGUUUUGGCUAUAUCUGAGUGUUAAAAGGGUGGGAAAAGACUAAAAACCCCUUUUAAAAUGACUCAAAAUCACUUAACGGGAUCUACAACAGUGGGUGCGAUGGUUUGUUGCUAGCUCGACGGUCUAUCAGUCCUAACCAUCAUACCUGGGCCAGAUAGGGACAUAAUGCCUUAUUUACGAUGGCUUGGGUGAUAGUCCGUCGCUAGAUCGAUGGUCCGUCGGCCUAUCCAUCGCACUUAACCAAAAUGUGGUCUUUCUGUCUCAUCUACGAUGGUCUAGGCGACGGUCGGUCGAUAGCUCGAUGGUCCGUUGGUAACUCGACAGUCCGUCGGCUCUUUUUGUCAAACUUGACGGUUCUGACUACCUUCUGUAAUCCAGCCAUAUCUAUCUACUCCUACAUUGAAUUUUGACGAAUUUGGUAUCGAUGAAAAGCUUAUUCAAUUUUUCAUAUGACAAAAAGUCGAUUAUAGGAAAAUUCUAUAUGGUUUAAACACUACUCACUUUGGAGGUUAUUCCUUAAAACUUUAGAGGUGAAAUCGAGCUUUCAAAAAGUUUGGGGUAUUACAGCGAUAAAGCGUGCAUCACACGCUAAUCACGCAAAGCUACUGCCUCACUCACAAAAAUGGCCAUAACUUCUUGUUCGGGUAUCAGAUUUUCGAGAAAUUGGUAUCGUUGGAAAGAUAAUUCAAUUAUCUACAAUUUGGUGGGUCUUGAGAUGAAAAAUUCCAUGUAUAUAAAAAGAAAAUUUGGUGGGUCUUGAGAUGAAAAAUUCCAUGUAUAUGAAAAGUUAUACACGUUUGAAGUAGACCUUUAUAGAAUCAAAUAUCAAAUUUUAGACUAAUCAAAGGAACUUAGCUCAACAUGGCUCUAAAUGAUUUCUAUGAACAUUUUUAACCUCAUGAGCAUUUCAAACACUAGUGUAAAGAUCAUUAAACUUAUAUUCAUAUGAGAAUUACUUGGAUAAUAACUUAUACAUGUAGGAAUGAUGGUUCAAAGACUAGCCCAAAAAUGCAGGGUAUUACAUAGAUGGAGAUGCUUAAAAUCACUCACACUGUUGAAACUGAGCACCUGAGCCUUCAUUAUAAGAAAAUGUAGCACAUAGACGUAUAUGUAGAUUAGUACUUUGAGAAUGAACUAAGUAAAUAGGGGUUAAUGCAUAAGUAAAAUAACAUCUCAACGUCAUCACAAUUUAUAAAAUCAUACAUGCUAAAUGUAAAUGACUCACAUAAGCUGGAAUAUCUAAAGCUGUAAAUCAUAAUAAAAAAUAGCAAAAAAUGUUGCAUAAAUCUAGUGAGUCAUAACAUUUAGUUUCUAGAAUUUGUACUAGUAUUCUGUCUUUAAAUCAUACUGUAUAAUUGUAGAAAGGACUCACUUCUGUAUCUGAAACCUGAAAGCUCAAAUCUGUCGCUGAAAACUUAUCUAAGACAAUGUCUGAAUAAAACUGUGAGCCUUUACACCUAGUUUCUAAAAGUUGUUCUGUUAUGAUUAUUCUGUUCUGUAAGAUUGUACUUGUAGGGAGGUUCUUCUAACCGACAUAAACCAUGCGAGCUAUCAUAGAGUCCAAUAUUUAGUUCCCCUAAGGAGAAAAUCUCACGUUGGGGAAAGGUUUCAUACUCUUGCCAAGGAGUAUAACCUAAUCUAAGUGAUCACAUCUGUAUCUGUCAUCCAUAUAGAAAUGAAAAUAAUCUGAUAAUCUGAACCUAUGUUGGCUCGUAGUUCUGGGGCAUGAGAACAUACCCAACUCGGAGCUAAAUACAACUCCCUUUAAUCUGUAUGCUCAUUCUGUUAGAAAUCCACUUUAAAAUCUAGUAUAACAGUUUAUUAUGAAAAUCAACUGUAUAUUUGCUAAGUUAAAGUGUAAUUUGAAACUGUAAAGUGGUUUCAUAUCUAAGCUUAGAUCAAAAGAUCAAAUCGUUAUCAAAAAUCUAAAAACAAUCUAGUCAUAGGGUGCUCAUAGCAUAAUAAAUCUUGAAAUAGAAAUGUUCAAUUAGGGCUUGAUGACCCAUGCAUCAAAUUCAUGUAAAAAUAUAAUAAUAUUCAUGCUUGAUUAUGAAGGUAUUGAUAAUUCAACUCAAAAUCUGAAAAUUACUACAAUACGUAUGAACAUACAAAAAUAAACAUGAAAUUCAUCAUCUAACUCACUUCAAAACUCAAAAUCCUUCAAUUAGCAAUAUCGGGUAUGAAACCUAAUGUGAAAUUCAUGAAUAAUCGUACAAAAUUAUGUAAAUUUAUAAUUAAAACUAGUUUUGGAUACAAGGAUGGAAGAAUAUCCUUAUUCAUAAACCCCACAUACCUUAAUUGAUGAAAUUGAAUAAAAAUCUUGAUCUUGAAUUCCUACUUGUUCUUUGGAAGAUGACCUCUUGAAGUCCUUAAAUUGGUAAUCCUUAAUUUCCAGCUAUCUUGGAAAAAAAUGGAGGAAAUUUGAUUUCUUGGAGGUUAAGUUCUGAGGUUCUAGGAUUUUCUUGAGAGAUAAUUGAUGAAAAUUGAGUAUAGAAUGCUUAGAAUAGGCUUAAUUAUGUGUUAUUCACGACUUGGGGGCUUGGAAAUUGACUAAAUUGCCCUUUAAAAUUUAACUCAAAAACUAAAAAAUCCCGAUUUGUCCACACAGCGUGAUGCACCACUAUCAAGGUGGCUCACUGGAAAAAGGAUGAUCCCAGUUUUGCCAAUCAACACAAUGCGAGGCUAUCACAUUGGGCUACUAGAAAAAGGACAAGCCCCAUUUUGUCCAUUACCGCAACAUGGUGAAAUCGCGUCAUCUUACUGAAAAGGGAUGAAUGGAAACUGGACUUUCAAUGUAAUGCGACAUAAUCGUGGCGCUCCACUGGAAUUUGACAAUUGCGUAAUCGUCCUUCACCGCGAUGCAGUGCAUGUCAAAAUAGCAUACUGUUUUACUAAAAAUGUCAUAACUUCUCAAUCGAGUAUCGAAUUUGGGCGAAAUUGGUAUCAUUGAAAAGUUAAUUCAAUUUUCUACACAUUGAAGGGUUAGAGCUGGAAAAUUAAACACGCAUCAAGAUUUACCUAUUUUCAAAUCUAACUCUUGAUACUCUAGAAGCUAAUUGGAGCUAGGAAAGAGUACGGGGUAUUACACAUGGUUUGGUCAAACUUUGCGUGUCACUGUUUAGGUGCUUGUUUUAGUCCAUAAAUUAACUUAGUAAGUUUACACACCUUAUUUUCUUUUUCUAGAACUACAAAAAGCUCAGGUUGUUCAAUGUAAAUUUCUUCCUCCAAUUCUCCAUUUAGGAAUGUUGUUUUCACAUCUAUUUGAGGAUUUCAAGAUCAUAUACCGCCGCCAAGGAAAUUAAAGUUUGAAUUGAUGUUAUCCUCAUUAUAAGCGAGUAUGUAUCAAAGUAAUCAAGGCCCUCAUUCUAUUUAAAGCCUUUUACUAUAAGUCUUGCCUUGUAUUUAUCAAUAAUACCAUCCGUUUUUCUUUUUCUUUUGAAUAUCCAUUUAGAACUUAAAGGCUUAUUUCCUAGAGAAAGAUCAACCAACUACCACAUAUGGUUGCAUAAGAUUGAAUCAAUCCCACUAUUGACUGCCUUUUUACAAUAGAAUGAGUCUUAAGACGACAUCGCCUCUUUAAAAGAGGCUCAUUUUCUGAGAGAAAUGUUACAAAAUCCAAUCCAAACGAAGUUGACGUUCCAUGAUGUGUACUAUUCAUUAUGUACAUCCUCACUUAGUUCAUCUCGAGGUCAUUUAGACCCUUCACUAGACUGCUCAUGUCUAGUAUUAUACAAAUAAAUGUGUUCAAAGAAUUCAACAUUAACUAAUUCAAUUACCGUAUGUCAAUGAUAUCUGGAUGUUGGGAUUUAUGAAUCAAAAAUUGACAUGCUUUACUACUUUUAGCACGCAUUCCACUAUCUUAGGUCCUAUUUUCGCCCUUUUAGGCAUAGGAACUUAGACUUUAUAGACUAGUAUUAUACACAAAACAAAUUAACAGUACAACAAACACAAAAGAUAAGUGCAUAAUAAACUAGUACGGGAUGAAAAAAAAGCCAACACCACUAGCCCCAAAACUACAGCCACAACACUACGAACCAGAAACUCCAGACCCAAAGGAGCACUCCCCUAUUACUACUACCGCUCUCCCUCUCCCGAACCCUCUACCCUAAUCCGCGUCCUUCACACAUUACUAUUAAGGGUCAUGUCCUCGGUAAGCUGUAAUUGCUCCAUAUCAAACCUAAUCACCUUCCUCCAAUAUUUCUUCGGUCUAUCUCUAGCCCACCUAAAACCAUUCAUAGCUAGAGUCUCACAUCUCCGCACUGGAGCAUCAGGGGCCCUCCUCAUCACAUGCCCGAACCAACGUAGCCUCAUUUCUCGCAACUUAUCCUCCACCGACGCAACUCCCACCUUCUCCCAAAUAAUCUCAUUUCUCACCCUAUCUUUCCUGGUAUGUCCACACAUCCAUUGCAACAUUCACAUCUCUACAUCAAUAAAAGUUACAAAAUACUUUUUCCCACCAAGAGAUUGGGUUGACUUCAUAUCACAAAUGUCAGUGUGGAUUAAGUCUAAGGGAUUGGAAUUCCUUUCAAUAAACUUAUAUGGAUGCUUAGCAUACUUUGAUUUCACACACGUUUGACAUUUUAAUUUAUUACACUCAAAGUUUGGCAAAACUUCUAAGUUAAUCAGUUUUCGCAAUGUUUUGUAAUUUAUAUGUGCCAAUCGUUCAUGCCACAAAUCAUUAGACUCAAGCAAAUAAUAAGAAACAUAACUUUUAUUGAUUUCAACAUUCAUUAUAUUCAUUUUGAAUAGGCCCUCAGUGAGGUAGCCUUUUCCUACAUACCUCUCCUUUACUAAGUAUAAUUUUUUCGAAAACAAAUAAACAUUUGAAUUCAUUUUUAUCAAGAAGUGAUACAGAAAUCAAGUUCUUCUGUAACUCCAGUACAUACUGGACAUUGUUCAAAGUCAACACUUUGUCUGAUGUCAUUUUUAGUUAGACUUUUCCUGUUUCUUCAACUUUUAUAGUUGUAGAGUUUUCCAGAUAUAUCUUCUCUUCGCCUUGAGCCGGAGCAAAUACAGCAAACAACUCCUUAUUUACACAAAUAUGGUGUGUUGAACCAAAAUCCAUCCACCAUUCUCAAUGAUUUUCCACCAAGUUUUAUUCAAAUAUCAUGGCACAUAGAUCGUCUAUUUCUUUCAUGGAUUCAACCAUAUUUGCUUGGUCCCAUUUUUUGCCUUCCUUUGGGGCACGACAAUUUGUUGACUUGUGGCCAAUCUUUCCAUGAUUAAAACACUUUCCCUUGAAUUUCUUCAUAGGUUUAUUUCUUUCUUGUCUAGCUUUCUUCCGCAUUUUUAAGUUGUUGUAGGCAUCUUCUACAAUGUUUGCUCCACUCAUUGCAGAAUUUUCUUUCAACCUUCUUUCUGCGGCUUUGUUGUCUUCUUCAAUUCGCAGUCUCACUAUGAGAUCUUCGACUGUCAUCUCUUUUCAUUUAUGUUUCAAGUAGUUUUGAAGUCCUUCAACAUAGGUGGCAACAUCUUUAUUAUUGUAGGGACUUGAAAUGCCUCAUUCAUAACCAAACCUACAAUAAAGUUUAUGUGAACAUUAAGAUCAUUUUUAACAUGUUCAACUAAGGUAUUUAUCAAACUCAUACCUUCUACAAGAAGAUCGUGGAUGAUAACCUGCAGUUUCUGUACUUGAGAUACAACAGACUUGCUGUCAAUUAUUUUAUACUCAAGGAAUCCUCCAAUAAGUACUUCUUGGUUCCAGAAUUCUCAGUCUUGUAUUUUGUUUCCAUCGCACUCCAAAACACUUUUGACGUCUUAAUUCCACUAUACAUGAUGUAUAGGUCAUCUUGGAGGCCACUCAAAAUGUAAUUCCUGCAUAGAAAAUCAGAAUAUUUUCACGCCUCCAUAACGACAAAUCGCUCCUGGUCAGAAGUUCCCUCGGGCAACUCUGGAGCUUCUUCAGAUGUAAAUCUUUGAAGACAUAAGGUUGUAAGGUGGAAGAAUAUCUUCUAUUUCCAUCUUUUAAAAUCAACAACCAUGACUUUUUCGGGUUUAUCCGCUGGUGUCAUUGCCUGUGGAGCACUCGUACGAAUCGUUAUGAAAAAUUUAGUUGCUACCACACUCGUCCCAGCAUCAUUCACAUGAUUUUCAGUAGUCAAUUUCCUGUCAUAAAAAAACAGUCAACUUUAGUAUAUCGAAAUACUACUUAUAAAUUUGUAGCAACUUCUCUUGUUUCUAGUUUAACGAUGAAGUUUUUAUGUCUUCAAAUCACAUGUUAAGUUCAAAUGGAGUAAAAAGUGUAAAGCUUUAAUCUCGAAAAAUCAAACAAUACAGAUUGCGAUUUAUUUCCUUAAGAUUGUUGUUAUCUGGUACACAAAAUCCGUAAGUUUAUACACUAAACUUCAACACAGGUUCAACAACAACUAGAAGUUUCAGUAUCUUCAACACAAGAUCAAAAUUGACCUUUCAAUAGAAGUGUGUUUCUAUUAAGAAAUAAGAUGAAACAAAAAUUAAAGCCAAGUCUCCCGGAUUCACGGAGUGUCCUUAAGGAAAUAAUUCUCCUCAAUCCUCCCAGAAUAAAAUGUCUUACAAUCUAACAGUAGUGGUACCUCAAACGAUCGGCUUCUUCUGACUCACUCAAUGGGAGAUAAUUCACAGAGUUUUUAGAAGACAAGAAGUGAUUUUAGCCGUCAAAAAUCAUCUUUUUACUUAAGGAAUAUAUUAGGUAUUUAUAGCCAUAAGGUGUCCCUACAGAAAGAAAGCAUUGAUUCUGGAAAAAUUAAAACUUUUAUGUACAAUCACGUCACCUGCGCCCAGUCUGUGCUGGAACUGUGCUUGCCUUGCAGCCACAAGUGACAUUGUACAAAUUCCAGUAGCUUCUGUGCUACACCUGCGCCCGGAAAUUGCCAGGUGCACGCGUAGAUCACUUUUUUGCUCGAAACAGUGUGCCUUUUACUUCGAGGGUCGCAUCCCUUCGAGGUGCAUUGUGCAUGCAUUUGCAUGGCAUCCGAAAUGCGCCCACAUAUGGAGAAAAAUCUUUCUAUUGGAUUCUUUGGAUUAAAUUCCACUUUUUUUCAAGUCUUAAAUAAAAUUUAUCUAAGAAAUUAAUCUCAUCGAUCAUUUUCCAAAUCCAAAGACAAAGCAAAAACCGAGCAAGCAAGCGACGACAGCGCGAGAAACCUCUUUGUUCUUGACUCACUAUCCAGGUGGAGAUGUGUUUCUCAAUAUAAAUGCAUGAAAGUUUCUUUCUCCUACCAACUUUUCUCAUUUUGAGCACACUUUCCUUUUUAGUGUGGACUCACUUUUUCUCCAUUUUCCAUUCACACAUUCAACUUAAACCCAAUAAAGAUGAAACAAAAAUCCAUAGACAAAGCUUUACCGAUACUGGAAAAUCUUUUCAAUCACAUUUGUUCCCUCCGAUUUCACUUCUAUUCAUUCGCUCUAUGUUGUUAUCAAUUGUUACUAGUUUGUAUCACUUUUAUUCACUUACUAUAAUUUCACUUAUAUUCAUACGUAGCUACUGUUUAGUUGUUACUAGCUUGUGUAGCUAGAUUGUGUGCAAACACACUUAAUUUUAAUGUAUCAACGCAUCAUCACAAUAGGUUGUAUGCACUCACUAAACGAGUUGUACUUUUUCUCCCAUACGACGAAAUAUUGUGAUCCACAUCUAGACAUAGAUACACAAACUGUCAUUGGUGUUGAAGAAACAUUCAAAUUACACUUGUAUGUCAUUGUAUUUUGGUGUAUCACAGUUGUAUUUUCGGAGAUACAGUGUGAUACACUGAGAUACAAUGAAACAUAUACUGUUACUGUAUCACUUGUAUGCUUUGCUAUCAAUUUUAAUAUAGGUAUCUAAUUUGACUAAAUAAUUUUUUUACUGUGACAAAAGUAGAAUUGUGAUCUUAAUAUAUUCGACUAAUGAGAAUUUUUAAAGAAUAAACCAAAAAAUAAAAAGGAGAAAAAGGGAUAAAUAUUUAUUUGCAUUGGGUGUUUCUCUUUAACUGCUCAUUUAAAUCUUAGUUAACUAAAAGAUGAGAUAAGAAUACAUAUCACUUAAUCAUUGACUAAGUGAUAAACUCAUGUAUAAAAGACACAUAUUUUGCAUUCAUUAGGUUAGGUGCAAACAUCGAUGCAGGUAAGUUUUUACCGCGUAUGAUGGAUGUGGAAAUGUGGAAGAGAUGAUGAUGGCUUUUUAAUAGCUCGAAGAGAUGAAUUUGGAAUUUGAAAUUUAUUAUAUAUACAUAUUCACUACUCAGUGAAUUUUUCAAUAAAAAUACAGAACUUGGACGAAACUUACUCAGUUUUACUGAAUUCGUACUUUUAUACAUAUCACAUGCCUCUUACUUUGUACAUCUAAUUCUAAAUAAAUAACAGUUAAAUCUUACUAAGCCUUAAACCUUAAAUCCUGAAAAACAGCAAUCCUUCAAUAUGCUAAUUGAUCUCUAAAUGUAGAGAUCUCCUCAAAUAUUAGAAGCCUUCUUGAUUUGGGCCAGGACCAUUCAUGAAUUAACUGUUCAAGCUCAUUUACAAAAUCAUCAUUCAAAUCGAGGUCUGGUAUGUUUUGCAAGAAGGGUGGGGGUUGUUUCGAGUUCAAUUGAAACAAUAAUUCCUCAACUCGAUUCUUUGUUUUUUUAUCAUCAGAAUUAAGCCAUCUUAAAACUGGCAUGGUAGCUAUUAUUAUACGCAAACUCAGAUAUCUCAGAAUACCAUCACCACCAAUUUCAAAGGACAUCACCUUCUAUUGACCCACAUCUUUCUUGAUCUGCAUCAAGAUGGGAUCUUCAAUCUAUUUUUCAUUAACUUCGGCACAAAGGGAAGAUUUAGCUAUCUCAUGAACAACCACUCCCCCAUAUUAAGAAUCCAAGAGUCGCACCUUAAGAUUCGCAAGUCGGUGAAUAUCCUUCACUAUUUCUCUCUUCAUUUCCUCAACAUGAGAAAGACUGUCCAUAGACAACCUGUUGAGGGCAUCGGCUACAAUAUUCGCCUUGCCCGGAUAAUAGUGCGGGCUCAUGUCAUAAUCCUUCAAAAUCUCCAUCCAACGUCUCUGCCUGAGGUUCAGUUCUUUCUGCGAGAAAACAUACUGCAAACUCUUGCGGUCAUUAAAUAUAUCAACAUGUACACUAUAAAGAUAAUGCUGCCAAAUCCUAAGCGCAGACACCACAGCUGUUAUCUCCAAGUCGUGAGUGGGGUAAUUCAGCUCAUGCACCUUCAAUUGCCUAGAUACAUAAGCCACCACCUUAUCGUGUUACAUAAGUACACACCCAAGUCCCACUCGGGAUGCGUCACAAUACACAACAAAACCCUCUGUACCUUCCAGAAGAGUCAAAACAGGAGCAUUUGUCAACUUAUCUUUUAACUUCUCAAAACUACUCUCACAAGAGUCAGACCACACAAACUUUACCUUUUUCUGUGUCAACUUAGUAAGUGGUGCAGCUAUGGAAGAAAAACUCUUUACGAACCUCCUAUAAUACCCUACCAAACCCAAGAAGCUCCGAAUGUCGAUUGGAGUCGUGGGUCUGGGCCAUUUGUUCACUGCCUCAACCUUUUGGGGAUCAACCUUAAUUCCCUCACUAGACACAAUAUGCCCCAAGAAAACAGUAGCAUUCAGCCAGAAUUCAUACUUGAAAAAUUUGGCAUACAACUUAUGGUCCUUGAGAGUCUGAAGGAUAAUUCAGAGGUGAUUGGCAUGACCCUCCUCACUCUUAGAAUAGACUAAAAUAUCAUCAAUUAAAACUAUGACGAAUAGGUCUAAAAACUGAUGAAACACUCUAUUCAUAAGGUCCAUGAAAGCUGCAAGGGCGUUAGUCAACCCGAAGGACAUGACUAAGAAUUCAGAAUGACCAUAGCGGGUAUGAAAAUCUGUUUUGGGAAUGUCUGACUCUCUAACCUUCAACUGAUGAUAUCCCGAACGAAGUUUUAUUUUUGAAAAACAUCUAGCACCCUGAAGGUUGUCAAAAAGAUCAUCAAUUCUAGGAAGAGGAUAUUUAUUUUUUACAGUGACCUUACUCAGCUUACGAUAAUCUAUGCACUUACGAAGGGAACCAUCUUUAUUUUGCACGAAGAGUACGGGUGCACCCUAGGGAGAAACAUUAGGAUGGAUAAAACCUUUGUCUAGAAGGUCUGCUAGUUGUUCUUUCAAUUCUUUCAAUUCUGCAGGAACCAUUCUAUAUGGCGGAAUAGAGAUGGAAUGGGUGUAUGGCAACAAAUCAAUACCAAACUCUAUCUCCCUAUCAUGUGGUACCCCUGGAAGAUCUUUAAAAAAAAACUUAUGGAAAUUCAUUUACCACAAGGACUGAUUGAAGAGAUGGACUCUUAAUAUUAGAAUCUUUUACUUGGAUCAGAUGAUAUAGACAACCUAUAAAAAUGACCUUACGAGCCAGUUCAUUCGGAAAGGAAAAAGUGACUCUUCGGGUUCUACAAUUUAAUGUGGCAUAACACGAAUGGAGCCAGUCCAUUCCUAAGAUAGUAUCAAAGUCAACCAUCUCAAGCUCUAUAAGGUCUGCCACCAUAUCCCUGCUAUAAAUAGAAAUAACAUAAUUCCUAUACACCCUCCUAGCCAUCACAGAAUCUCUCACCGGAGUGGAAACAGAGAAAGGUGCAACAAUUACAUCGGGCUCAAGCCCAAAACCAAUUGCCAUAUAAGGAGUCACAUAAUAUAGGGUAGACCCUGGGUCAUACAAUACAUAAACAUCAUGAGAGAAAAUCUGUAACGUACUCGUGAUAACGUUUGGCAAGGCUUCUGCCUCCUGGCGGUUUGUCAAAGCAUAUAACCAGUUGCAACCACUCCCGACAGCUGAAGUGUCUCCCUUCUGAGACUUAUCUCCACCAGCAUUCCUUUUAGUAGAAGUACAAUCUCUCUAAAAGUGACCCGACUGACCGCAUAAAUUUCAUACUAGUGAACCCAACUGACACCUCCUUAGAUGAUACCUAUCGCAAGUCUCACACCGCAGAAACGUAUGGUGUUAUUGUGCCACGCUACCCUGAGACUGGGUAUCCUGUGCCCUGGAUCCAUGAUUAGUUUGAAAAUUCUGAGUUCAUCUGUAAACCGAGGGUCUGGCCACUGGGACGCUGGCUGCGAACUGUGCACUACCCCCAAACUUUUUCUUAUACCAUUUAUUACCCCAAUUACCACUCUGCGGCUGACUGUGGCUCUGGUCAGCUGUUCUGGUCCUCUUGGCCUACCUGUCCUUCUCCCUGGACUCAGCGAUUCUCUUCUUCUACUCCUCUACCUAUUGUAUGUGGACUGUCAGUCUAGAGAAGUCCAUAUUCCUGUUUAGCAUUUCCCCCUUACAUUCAAGCACUAAGUCAUCUGAAAGGCCAGAUGCAAAUUUUCUCAUUCGGGCUCUCAUAUUACUAGACAUCUCCGGAGCAUAUUGGGCCAGUUGGUUGAACGUCAGAGUGUACUCCUUGACACUCAUUUUUCCCUACUUUAGAUUUAUAAACUCUUCUACUUUGGACUCCCUCUACUCUAAAGGAAAGAACCGAUCAAGGAAGGCUUUCAAGAACUCACCCCAUACUGUGGGCUCAGUACUCUAACCCUUCAAAUCCUCCCACUCAUUAUACCACUAAUUUGCAACUUCUUUAAGCUAUUAAGUAUCCAAUUCCACCCCUUCCACCUCGUCUACAUGUAUCACCUUGAAAAUUUUCUCUAUCUCAUCCACAAAUUCCUGUAGAUCUUCCUCUACCUUGGUGCCAGUAAACUUGGGUGGAUUCAUCUUCAUGAACUGACCCACCCUAGUAGCCUCAGAUGUAACAGGCGCAGACCCAACAUCUUCCAGUAGUUGAGUCUGUGUGGCCACUAACUUUGCAAGCGUAUGAAUGUACUAUCUGAAUUAUACAUUAGAUACCUCUUUUUCACGAGGCUGAGUGCGGUUAGUCCCCGCCGGAGAGCUCAAAGUUCCCUGGGUGGGCUGGUCUGAGUAGGUGGGACUCCCAGAGUAACAAUAGUCUCCGAAGUCUAAGCUCUAUUUUGUGUCCUCAUCCCAUGAGUGGGAUGGACCUCAUCAGUAUGGGCAUUUUGAUCGAUAAUACGAUGUGGAGGCAUGACUGUUUUCUGAAAUAUAAAAGAUCACAUAAUUAGAGGACAGAUUGGACUCUAAGGCACAAACUGAAUCACAAAGAGGGCAAACAUUCUUAAAUGCCUAGUAGCCCCCGCUUAUAAGUGUGGCGCGCUACAUACCUAUAAACAAGACUCUACCCGACACGAUUUUGCAGACACCCUGGGACCAUGAACCGUGCUCUGAUACCAAGUUUGUCACGACCCGAACUAGGACCCUAGCCAUGACGAGCAUCCUAAACCAGGAAGGCAUGGACACCCUUCUAACUUGUAAUCACAUACACUGUUCAUAUAUGUAAGAUAAUACCGAAAAUACAUAAUAAAACAGAAUCAUGGUCAUUAAAUCUGUCUUCAACUCAUAAUGAAAACUGCAAUUCAAAACAUCUGAAUGAUAUCUGACUCAAUCUGCGAAAUCUCUACUAUAUCUUAAAAUAAAACUAUCUGAAAUCUGGGACAAGGCCCCCAGUAGACCAAAACCAUAGUACUGAUAAAUAACUGUAAGACUUUAGGCCUUCUGGAAUAUAGAAGGCUCACCACUGAACUCUACUCUGAUGUUUGAAGAAUCUACUUCUUAUCAAGACCCCUAGACUGAGCCUUAGAACUUCAGAGUGAGGGGGUUCAAUACAGAUGUACUGGUACACAAAUAAAUCUAAAAAUAAAUCUUGCAUAUAAGUAAAUAGUUGAGAUCUAGUCAUAAACAUCAUGAAAUGUAUAAUUUCAAACGCAUGGGCAUUUUUGAAACACAAAACCUUUCUGUCAAUGCAAUUCUAUCCUUUAUAUUACUUCUGAGUUAGGUGGCACUUCCCUACAAGUUUGAUAUUUCAUGGACUAUAUGGAAUCCUCCAUUGACUCGGUAGGGAAGUACCCAACCCAAGUUUUCCAUAAGGGUUGGAGUGUCUGAGUCUGAUACGCCACUGGGCACUAGGCCAGCGUAGAAUAAUAUACCCGUAUCGGCAAAAUACAGCUUCGAGCAAUGAGUUGUCUGAACUUAUGCCUUUUUUUGGGAAACCAUCUAAGCUCUCUUUGUGCCCAAUUUUAUCCUGUUCUGAAUCAUGCAUUAUUCUAGUUUCUACAUCUAAAAAUCUUGUUUCAAACAUGCAUUCAAUUUUGUUUUGAAAUUUUCAUGGCAUUAUCUGCAUUGUUGUCGUCACACCAAGACUUGCAAGUCCUAUUUAUGAUCCAUAAUGUAACAUGCAUGAUUCUUUCAUUAGAACACAGUUCAGACCACCCAAACAUGCAAGUAGUAUAAGAUAUUUCAUAUUUCGAAACACAAGUCAAAACUAUGCAGAGAUUUUUCAAACAUAUGGUGGUCAUGUGUUUUUGGCAAACAUGCAACUCUUUCAUUAAACAUGUGUUCAACAUUUUAUCAGCAUGUACAACUCUCUCUUUUGAAUUCAAAAAAAAUCAUAUUCAAGUCAUAGCAAUAAUCAAGACAUUCCAUAUCAUGCUUUUCAAGAUGCAUUUCGAAACAAUUCAUAUCAUAUGAAAGAUGGAAAAAAUCAUAACAAGAGAGGGAUUCAUUAUAAUUCAUGCUCUCAAUUGAAUAUUCAUCCUUAAACAUCUGCAUACAUAUAUAUAGAAUUUCAAAUCAAUUUGGGGAAGGCCUAAAUACCAAAACAAUGUUAUCGAGACUUCUAAAACAUGAUUAUAAAUCGUAAAUCUAAAACCCUUUUCUUAACAUCAUGAUUUUCAUGCCCAUGAGAUUUUAGGAAAACCCGACGUACCUCAAUAUAAGAAUUCAAUGGGUGUUUCUUGAAGCUUACGGUCUAGAGAUUCUGAAUAUCCAAUCAAUUUCUGAAACCCACAGUUGAAUCUUGAGUUAUUUGAAUUUUGGGUUAAAACCCUAAUGAGAUGUUCUUGGUGGAUUUUGAGAAAAGUAUCAGUAAAGUGGUGUUUUGGGAGUAUAAUCCCAUGUUUGGGCGUAUUAGAAUAAGGAAAAAUUACCCAACUUCCCUUUAAGAUGCGGAUUUUAAAAAGCUGAAAUAACUAGGCAUCGACGCGAUUGGCGACGCGGCACGUCGAUGCCAUUGAUGCAUACCCAACGCGUCGCGCCUUAGUCGCGCUAAGCCUUAGUACUUUUUCCUGGCAAUUCCUGCACAAAAUUUGACCAAUGCGAUGGGUGACGCAGUGCGCCAAUAUCACAUUGGUCCACUGUUUUGGUACACCAAACAAGGUCUAAAUGUGUUUUGAAAAAUCCGAAACUCGUCCGGAAACACCUAUUGAACUCCCGGAUCAUGAACUAGCUAACAUAACGACUAUUGUGGGUUGGGAAGGUCGAAAAUAAAAUCAUCAAGAAUUUGGAGCUCAAAAAUGAGACUAAGUCUCUAUGACACUUAGAAAAAAAUUCAAAUCUUUAACUUUAUGAGCAUACUACUAAGAGCUAACGCAUGGACGACUUUUUGCGGGGUGUUACACUGCCAUUUGGUAGACAGUGUAAAUUUUCAUAUUUGGUAGAUGAUAUAAAUUUAUCCAGUACACCUUAUCCUGGGCUUAAUCUUGGGAUAUAGCCUGCCCACCUUAUCUCAUCCAACUUGACAUUAUUUUUUAUCUAAAAAUUACAUAAAUACACAACUUAUGUUUUCAAUAUUAUAAAAAAUCCCAACUCCCUAAACAUAUUACAAAAAUCCCAACAUAUACAUAGAAUGCUAUGUAUAUGUCGUUUAUGUUAGGUAUAUUAAUAGGGAGAGAGAGUAAAGUAAUUAAAAAAAUGGAAGAGAGUGUAAUUACUUCCAAAAGGGUUGAUAUUUAUGUUAUUUAUACUUAUUUUAUUUCAUAUCUCACAUGGAAUAAAUUAGUCCUUAAAUUAUAGUCCCUCGAUAAUUUAAUCCUUAUACCGAAUGAUGCUAAGCAUAUAAAAGUUACACUGUAAAUAGUGAUGCCAUUUCAAUGUGGUUAAUGUACUAUAUCUGCACAAACGAUGUUAAAAAAAAAAACAAUUACAUUUAGAAGUAAUUAAGUCAAUCUUUAUUUUUUAAAAAAGAAAACAUUAAUGGUAACUUAAUAAAAAAAAUGGAUAAUUGCAAGUAAAUUAAUUCUUUCAAGUGGUGAUUGUUGUACCAGUACAAGGUUGGUUUAACAGAUCAUUAAAGAAUGAUAUAAGCAGUAAAUGUAAAUAAAUAAGUAGCAAAAUAUGUUCAACUUCUAUAUGUACAUUUACUGUGUAAAAUAAUUUAUAACUGUCAAGUCACUAAAAAAAUUACAACUAAUCAUAACAAAAAUAGAAUUUAACAUGUUGUAGCUUCUUAAAAAUUGUAAUAUCCUUUAUUUUUAAAGUAGACGAUUUUUUACUCUAUAUGAAUGGUUGUGUAUAUCUGGUAGUGUGUUUCUCUAUCUAUCUAUCUAUCUCUAUAUAUAUAUAUAUAUUACAAGUUAUACUCACAAAAAUAUCCGAUCUUACUUUAUCUGUACAGUUGUUUUUUCAUUCAGUUUUCAAUAUUAAUAUCGAGGCUCAACUAAAUUUGGAUAUACUUAUUACAAGGCUCAUUUUUGGAGACAUCGCUACCAAUUUAGAAACCUAAGAUAAAAGGCAAUCAAAGGAAUUCAAAUCAUCCUACUACAACCCAUGUUGAUACUUUAUAUAUACGGUUGUUUUUUCUUUUAUUGUUCGAUACUAGUAUCGAGGUUCAACUAAAUUUGAAUUUGCCCAUUACAAGGAUCAUUUUUGGAGACAUCGCUACCAAUUUAGAAACCUUGGAAGAAAGGUGAUCGAAGGGAUUCAAAUCAUCCUACUACAACCCAUGCUGACACUUCAUAUAUAUAGUUGUUUUUUCAUUCUACUAGUAUCGAGGCUCAACUCAAUUUUAAUUCGCGCAUUACAAGGCUGAUUUUUUAAGACAACACUGCCAAUUUAGAAACCUUGGAUAAAAGGCGAAUAUCGAAGGGAUUCAAAUCAUCCUACUACAACCUAUGUUAACCUAUGUUGAUUCUUUAUGUAUAUACGUUUACUCAAAGCUAUAAGCAAAAAUGACUCAGUAGUGUAAAACAUGUCCAAAAAAAAGGACAGUUCAGUACAUUAAAGGUCUCGCUAUGUGCAGGGUCCGGAAAAGGACCGCACCACAAGGGUAUAUUGUACGCAGCCUUACCUUGCAUUUCUGCAAGAGGCUAUUUCCCAAACUUGAACUCGUGACCUUCUGAUCACGUGACAACAACUUUACUAGUUACUCCAAGGCUUCCCAUCAGUGUAAACUAUUAGAGUGCAUACCCUACUGAUUUUACUGUUUUACUCUAAUAGUUGACUAUCAGUGGAACAAGUCAACUAAUGUGGUUCACUGAAGUAAAAAUGAAGACAAUUAUUUUUACGUGAAAAACACCCAGCUCAAGAAAGGUGUAAAAAAUCACGACCUGCACCUCUACAGGAUUUAACCCCACUUCACUAAUACUCUUGAGCCUCAACAAUUAGCAAAUUACAAGACUUCUUGUAAACUAGGAAUUAAAGCUUCUAACUUCUGUUUCUACAAUAACACAAAUCUUUCCAAGAUAAGUGUACCCAAGUCUUCAAGUUCCCUAACUUGAAGACGCAACUCCAAAUGUCACGACCCGAACCGGUGCCCUAGCUGUCACGAGCAUCUCGAACCAGGAAGGUUCAGACGCUCUUACUUGUAAUCACAUAUACUAUUCAUAUAUGUAAGAUAAUGUGGAAAAUACAUAAUGAAAAGGAAUCAUGGUCAUUAAAUCUGAAUUCAACUCAUAAUGAAAACUGCAAUUCAAAACAUCUGAACAGUAUCUAACUCAGUCUGUGAAAUCUCUAUUAUAUGCAAAACCAACUGUCUGAAAACUGGAACAAGGCCCCUAGUAGACCAAAACAUAAUAAUGAUAAAUGACUGAAGUAAACUAGACCUUCUGAAAUAUAGAAGGAUCAUCAAUGAAACUCUGCGCUUUUGUUUGGAGAAAAUCUACUGCUUAUCGGGACCCCUAGAUUGAGCCUCAGAACAUGGAAGGGGGGUCAAUACAGAUGUACUGGUACGCGAAGAAAUCCAAAAUAAAGAUUAUAUAUAAAUAAAAUAGUUGAGAGCUAGUCAUAAACAUCAUGAAAGAUAUAAUUUCAAAAUACAUGGGAAUUUUUUAAAACACAAAACCUUUCUAUCAAUGCAAUUCUAUUCUUUAUAUUACUUCUGAGUUAGGUGGCACUCCCCUACAAGUUUGAUAUUCCACGGGCUAUAUGAAAUCCACCAUUGACUCGGUGGAGAAUCCCCCAACCCAAGUUUGCCGCAAAGGUUGGAGUGUUUGAGUCUGAUACGCCAUAGGGCACUAGGCCAAUAUAGAAUAAUAUACCCAUAUUGACAAAAUAUGAUUUCGGGCAAUGAGUUGUCUGAACUCAUGCCUUCUUCGUAGAACCACCUAAGCUCUCUUUAUGUCCAAUUUUAUUCUGUUCUGAAUUAUGCACUAUUCUGGUUUCAACAUCUAGAAAAUCUGAUUUCAAAUAUGCAUUCUAUUUUGUUCUGAAUUACCAUGGCAUUAUCUGAGUUGGUGUCGUCACACCAAGACUUGCAAGUCCUAUUUCUGAGCCAUAUUGUAUCAUCCAUGAUUCUUCCAUUAAAACUCAAUUCAAACCACCCAAACAUGCAAAAAGUAUAAGAGAUCUCAUGUUUCGAAGCAUAAGUCAAAACUAUGCAAGAAUUCUUCAAACAUAUGGGGGUCAUGUGCUUUUGGAAAAACCAUGCAACUCUUUCAUCAUAUGUAUAUUCAAAAUUUAUCAAUAUGCACAACCCUCUCUUUUGAUUCCAAAAUCAUAUUCAAGUCAAAGUAUAAAUCAAGACAUUUCGUAUAAUGCUUUUCAAGAUGAAUUUCAAAACAAUCCAUAUCAUAUGAAAAAUAGGAAUAAUCAUAUCAAGAGAGGAAUUUCAUAUGAGUCAUGCUCUCAAUUAAAAUAUCCACUUGAAACACAUUCAUGCAUAUUCAUAUAAUUUCAAGUCAAUUUGGGGGAAGGCCUAAAGACCAAAACAAUAAUAAACAAGGCUUCUAAAACAUGCUAGUAAUCGUAAAUUCAAACCCUUUUCGAAAAAGUCAUGAUUUCUAAAUCCUUUGCAUAAUUACAUGAAGAUUUCUAUGCCCAUAAAAUUUUAGGAAAACCCUACGUACCUUAAUUUAGAAAUUUAUUGUAUGAUUCUUGACGCCUACUAUUUGGGGAUUCCAAAUCUUCAAUCAAUUUCUAAAACUCACGGUUGAAUCUUGAGUUAUUUAGAAAUUUGGGUUAAAACCCUUAGGAAUGUUCUUGAGUAAUUUGGGUGAAAAUAACCUUAUUUGGGUAUUUAGGUAUAUUAAUCCCGUUUUAGGGCUGAAAAGAGAUGGGGAAAAUGACUAAUUUACCCCUUAGGAUGCAGAAAUUUUAAAGUUGAAAACUAGGCAUCAACACUGCAGGCAACGCAGCGCGUUAGGGCAUCAACGCGAUACUCGACGCGUCGCGCCACCAUUGCGUUGAGCCUCAGUACUUUUCCUGCACAAAAAUUAACCAAUGCGAUGGGCGACGCUGCACGCUAAGAUCGCAUUGGUCCACUAUUUUGAAACAUCAAAUGAGGUCUAAACAUAUUUUGAAAAAGCCAAAACUCAUCCGGGAAUACCUAUUGAACUCCCAGAUCAUGAACUAGCUAACAUAACGACUAUUGAGGGUCGGGAAGGUCAAAAAUAAAAUCGUCAAGGAUUUAGAGCUAAAAAAUGAGACUAAGUCUCUUUGACACUUAGAAAAAAAUAUUCUAAUUUUCAACUCUAUGAGCAUACAACUAAGAGCUAACACAUGUAUGACUUUUGUGGGGCGUUACAUUAUCCCCCUUGGGAUCAUUCAUCCCCGAAUGAUGACGCGGAAAAUACAAACUAGCACAAUUUCAAGCAUACUAAGGACACAGGAAAAAAUAAAGCAAAGAUCGUACCUUCCGUCUCAUCAUUCACUAGAUCAAAUAGGUUUGGGUAUCUUGCUCGCAUGUCAUCUUCUGAUUCCCAAGUGUCUUUCUCAAUUUUCUGAUUUCUCCACAACACCUUGACCGAAGCUAUAUCUUUGCUCCUCAACUUUCGAACUUAGCGAUCCAAAAUUGUAAUAGGCUCUUCUUCAUAUGAUAAGGAGUCUAUCACUUUGAUCUCCUCUAUAGGCAAUACUAGAGAAUGGUCUCCAAUACACUUUUUCAACAUGAACACAUAAAAUAUCGGAUGGACAGAUCCCAGAUCAGCAGGUAACUCUAACUCAUAUGCAACUUCACUUAUUCGUCUCACAAUCUGGUAUGGCCCUAUGUAGCGAGGACUCAAAUUACCUUUCUUCCCGAAUCUCAUGACUCCCUUCAUAGGGGAGACUUUGACAAAUACCCAAUCACCAACCUCAAAUUCCAACUCCCUUAUUCUAACAUUGGCAUAGGAUUUCUAUCUACUCUGAGCUAUUUUAAAUCGUUCUCUAAUAAUUUUCACAUCCUUCAUUUCUUGCUGAACAAGAUCAGGCCCAAACAACUGAUUCUCACCCACUUCAUACAACCCUAUUAGCGACCUACAUCUCCUUCCAUACAAUGCCUCAAAAGGAGCCAUCUUAAUACUGGCAUAGUAGCUAUUAUUAUACGAAAACUCUAUCAAUGGCAAGUGAUCUACCCAACUACCUUUGAAUUCAAUCACACAAGCUCUCAACAUAUCUUUAAGGGUCUGAAUAGUAUGUUCGGCUUGCCCAUCCAUCUAAGGGUGGAAAGUCGUGCUCGGGUUCACUUGGGUACCUAAAUCCCUCUAAAACGAUCUCCAAAACUGUGAAGAGAAUUGCAUACCUUGGUCAGAUAUGAUGGACACAGUUGCCCAAUGCAAACAGACUAUCUCCUCAAUGUAUAUCUUGCCAUAGUCAUCUCUUGAAUAAUUAGUCCUCACAGGCAGAAAGUGAGCUGGCUUGAGAAAUCCAUAUUGAUCAUCUCCCACUUUCAUAAAGGCAAAGCUAUCCCUUGAGAAGUACCUCCUAGCCUCAAAUGCUCUACUUUAACUUGUUGGCAAUUCAAACACUUGGAAACAUAGUUAGCCAUAUCACGCUUCAUGUUAUUCCACCAAUAUAUAGAUUUUAAAUCAUGAUACAUAUUAGUAGAGCCUGGGUGGACAACAUAACUCAAAGUAUAAGCUUCAUCAAGGAUUAUUUUCCACAGACUAUUUACAUCUGGAACACACAAUCUACCCUGAUAUCUCAGAAUACCAUCACCACCAAUUUCGAAGGACAUCACCUUCUGUUAACCCACAUCUUUCUUGAUCUAUAUCAAGAUGGGAUAUUCAACCUAUUUUUCCUUAACCUCUGCACAAAGGGAUGAUUUAGCUAUUUCAUGAACAAUCACACCCCCAUCUUCAAAACCCAAGAGUCGGACCCCUAGAUUUGCAAGUCGGUGAAUAUCCUUCACCAUCUCUCUCUUCCCUUUCUCAACAUGAGAGAGAAUACCCUUCUAUAACCUAUUGAGAGCGUCGACUACCACAUUCUCCUUGCCCGGAUGAUAGUACAGGCUCAUAUCAUAAUCCUUCAAAAGCUCCAACCAAUGUCUCUUCUUGAGGUUCAGUUUUUUCUAUAAGAAAACAUACUGCAAACUCUUGUGGUUAGUAAAUAUAUCAACAUGCACCCCGUAAAGAUAAUGCCACUAGAUCCUAAGCGAAAACACCACAGCCGCUAACUCCAAGUCAUGAGUAGGGUAAUUUCGCUCAUGCACUUUCAACUGCCUAAAUGCAUAAGCCACCACCUUACCGUGCUGUAUAAGUACAUACCUAAGUCCCAUUCGGGAUGCAUCACAGUACACAACAAAAACUUUAGUACCUUUCAGAAAAGUCAAAAUGGAAGUAGUGGUCAAAUUAUCUUUCAACUUCUCAAAACUAUUCUCACAAAAGUCAGACCACACAAACUUUACCUUUUUCUAUGUCAACUUAGUAAGUGGUAUAGCUAUGGAGGAAAAACUCUCUACGAACUGAGUCUGGGCCAUCUUUUCACUACCUCAACCUUUUAGGGGUCAACCUUAAUUCCAUCACUAGGCACAAUAUGCCCCAAGAAAGCAAUAGCAUUCAGCUAGAAUUCACACUUGGAAAAUUUUGCAUACAACUUAUGAUCUUUGAGAGUCUAAAGGAUAAUUCGGAGGUGGUUGGAAUGGUCCUCCUCACUCUUAGAAUAGACCAAAAUAUCAUCAAUUUAAACUAUGACAAACAAAUCCAGAAACUAACUGAACACUCUAUUCAUUAGGUCCAUGAAAUCUGUAGGGGCGUUAGUCAACCCGAAGGAUAUGACUAAGAAUUCUUAAUGAUCGAAGCAGGUUCAAAAAGCUAUUUUAGGAAUAUCUGACUCUCUAACCUUCAUCUGAUGAUAUCCCGAAUAAAGGUCAAUUUUUGAAAAACAUUUAGCACCUUGAAGUUGGUCAAAAAGAUCAUCAAUCCUAGGAAGAGGAUAUUUAUUUUUAAUAGUAACCUUAUUCAGCUGGCGGUAAUCUAUGCACAUACGAAGGGAACCAUCUUUCUUUUGCCCGAAGAGUACAAGUACACCCCAGGAAGAAAUACUAAGAAGGAUAAAACCUUUAUCUAUAAGGUCUGCUAGGUGUUCUUUCAAUUUUUUCAGUUCUGCAGGGGCCAUUCUAUAUAGCAGAAUAGAGAUGGGAUGGGUGACUGGCAACAAAUCAAUACCAAACUCUAUCUCCCAAUCAGAUGGUACCUCUAGAAGAUCUUCGGGAAAGACUUCUGGAAAUUCUUUUACCACAGAGACUUAUUGAAAAGAUAGACUCUUAAUAUUAGAAUCUUUUACUUUGAUCAGAUGAUAUAGACAACCUUUGGAAAUGAGCUUACGAGCUCUAAGAUAGGAUAUAAAGUUCCCUCUAGGUGCUAAAGAAUAACCCUCCCACUCUAUGAUUGGUUCAUUCGGGAAAGAGAAAGUGACUCUUUGGGUCCUAUAAUUUAGAGUGGCAUAGCACGAAUGAAGCCAAUCUAUCCCUAAGAUAGCAUCAAAGUCAACCAUUUUAAGCUAUAUAAGGUCUGCCAUAGUAUCCUGACUAUAAAUAGACACAAUACAAUUUCUAUACACCCUCCUAACCAUAACAGAAUCUCCCACCGGAGUGGAUAUAGAGAAAGGUUCAACAGUCACAUCGGGCUCAAACCCAAAUCCAAUGGCCACAUAAGGUCCAGGGAUCAAGCAACACGUACAUAUCAUGAGAAAGAUUUGUAAUGUACCCAUGACUACUCUGGGGAAGCUUCUGCAUCCUGACGGUUGGUCAAAGCAUAUAACCGGUUGAGAUAGCUACCGACAGCUGAAGUGGUGCCCUUCUAAGGCGGCGGUGGUGCGGAAGAAUGUGCCUGAGACUUAGCUCCACCAACAUUCCUUCUAGAAGAAGGACAAUUUCUCUGAAAGUGACCCGACUGACUGCAUGAAUAGAAUACUAGUAAACCCAGCUGGCACCUCCCUGGAUGGUGCUUGCCGCAAUCUCACACCGUGGGAACGUACGGUGCUGCAGUGCCAUGCUACCCUGAGACUUGGUAUCCUGUGCCCUAGAUCCAUGAUUAGUUUGAAAAUUUUGAGUUCGUCUGUCAAUCGAGGGUCUGAGCACUGGGGCACUGGCUGCAGACUGUGCACUACCCCAAACUUCUUCUACUACCACCUAUUACCCCAAUUACUACUCUACGGUUGGUUAUGGCUCUAGUCGAUUGUUCUGGCCCUCUUGGCCUGCCUGUCCUUCUCCCUGGACUCAGCGAUUCUCUUCUUCUGCUUCUCUUUCUGCUGCAUGUGGACUGUCAGUCUAGAGAAGUCCAUAUCCAUGUUUAACAUUGGCCCCUUACAUUCAAGCACUAAGUCAUCUGAAAGGCCAGAUGCAAAUUUUCUCAUUCAGGCUCUCAUAUUACCAGCCAUCUCCAGAGCAUAUCAAGCUAGUUGGUUGAACUUCAUAGUGUACUCCUUGACACUCAUUUUCCCUGCUUUACGUUCAUAAACUCUUCAUCUUUGGCCUCCCUCAACUCUAGAGGAAAGAACCAAUCAAGGAAGGCUUUCACAAACUCGCCCCAUACUAUGGGCUCAACACUCUCACCUUUCAAAUCCUCUUACUCAUUAUACCACUGAUUAGUAACUUCUUUAAGCUGAUAAGAUGCUAAUUCCACCCCUUCUACCUCAUCUACAUGCAUCACCUUUAAAAUCUUCUCCAUCUCAUCCAUAAAUUCCUGUGGAUCCUCCUCUACUUUGGUGCCAGUAAACUUGAGUGGGUUCAUCCUCAUAAACUGACCCAACCUAGUAGCCUCAGAUAUGAUAAAUGCAAACCCAGCAUCUCUCGACCAUUGAGUCUGUGUGGCCACCAACUUCGCAAGUAUAUGAAUGGACAGUCUGAAUUCUGCAUUAGAUACCUUUCUCUCACGAGGUUGAGUUUAUUUAGUCCCUAUCCGAGGAGCGUGAGGUGCCCUGGGUGGGUUAGUCUGAGUAGGUAGGACUCCCGGAGCAACAACAGUCUCCAGAGUCUGAGCUCUAUUUUGUUUCCUCAUCCCAUGAGUGGGAUGGACCUUAUUAUUCUAGGUAUUUUGAUCGAUAACACGACGAGGAGGCGUGGCUGCUUUUUCUGAAAUACAAAAGAUCAUAUGAUUAGAGGACAGAUUGGACUCUAAGGGACGAACUGAAUUACAAAAAAGGGAAAUAUUCCUAAACGCCUAGUAGCCUCCCGCUUAUAAGUGUGGUGUACUACACACCCAUAAACAAGACUCUACCCGACAAGAUUUCACAGACACCCUACGACCAUGAACCGUGCUCUGAUACCAAGUUUUUCAUGACUCAAACUAGGGCGCUAGCCGUGAUGAGCAUCCCGAACUAGGAAGGCUCGGACGCCCUUCUCACUUGUAAUCAUAUACACUGCUCAUAUAUGUAAGAUAAUGUGGAAAAUACAUAAUGAAAUGGAAUCAUAGUCAUUAAAUCUGAAUUCAAAUCAUAAUGAAAACUGUAAUUCAAAACAUUUGAAUGAUAUCUGACUCAGUCGGCAAAAUCUCUACUACAUGCAAAACUAACUUUCUGAAAACUGGGACAAGGCCUCCAGUAGACCAAAACAUAAUAAUGAUAAAUGACUAAAGUAAACUAGGCCUUCUGAAAUAUAGAAGGCUCACUAACGGAACUCUGCUCUUCUGUCUGGAAAAAAUCUACUGCUUAUCAGGACCCCUAGAUUGAGCCUCAGAACUUGGAAGGGAAGGAGUCAAUACAGAUGUACUAGUACGUGAAGAAAUCCAAAAUAAAGCUUAUAUAUAAGUAAAAUAAUGUUCGUAAACAUCAUGAAAUAUAUAAUUUCAAAACGCAUGGGCAUUUUUGGAAACACAAAACUUUUCUGUCAAUGCAAUUCUAUUCUUUAUAUUACAUCUGAGUUAGGUGGCACUCCCCUAUAAGUCUGAUAUUCUGCGGGCUAUAUGAAAUUUGCCAUUGACUCAGUGGGGAAUCCCCCAACCCAUGUUUGCUGCAAUGGUUGGAGUGUCUGAGUCUGAUACACCAUAGGUCACUAGGCCAGUGCAGAAUAAUAUACCCAUAUUGGCAAAACACGGUUUCAAGCAAUGAGUUUUCUGAACUCAUGCCUUAUUCGGGGAACCACCUAAGCUCUUUUUAUGCCCAAUUUUAUCCUAUUCUGAAUCAUGCAUUAUUCUAGUUUCAAUAUCUGGAAAAUUUGAUUUCAAACAUCCAUUCUAUUCAGUUCUAAAUUACCAUGGCAUUAUCUGCGUUGGUGUCGUCACACCAAGACUUGCAAGUCCUAUUUCUGAGCCAUUUUGUAUCAUGUAUGAUUCUUCCAUUAAAACUCAAUUCAGACCACCCAAACAUUCAAAUAGUAUAAGAGAUUUCAUGUUUCAAAGCAUAAGUCAAAACUAUGCAAGAAUUCUUCAAACAUAUGUGGGUCAUGUGCUUUUGGCAAAACCAUGCAAAUCUUUCAUUAUAUGCAUAUUCAACAUCUAUCAACAUGCACAACCCUCUCUUUUGAUUCCAAAAUCAUAUUCAAGUCAUAGUAUAAAUCAAGACAUUUCGUAUCAUGCUUUUCAAGAUGCAUUUCAAAACAAUACAUAUCUAUGAAAAAUGGGAAAAAUCAUAUCAAGAGAGGAAUUUCAUACGAGUCAUGCUCUCAAUUAAAAUAUCCACUUGAAACACAUUCAUGCAUAUUCAUAUAAUUUCAAGCCAAUUUGGGGUAAGGUCUAAAGACCAAAACAAUAAUAAUCAAGGCUUCUAAAACAUGCUAGUAAUCGUAAAUUCAAACCCUUUUCGUAAAAGUCAUGUUUUCUAAAUCCUUUGCAUAAUUACAUGAAGAUUUCUAUGCCCAUGAAAUUUUAGAAAAAUCCUAAGUACCUCAAUUUAGGAAUUUAUUGGAUGAUUCUUGACGCCUACGGUUUGGGGAUUUUAAAUCUUCAAUCAAAUUCUAAAACUCACGGCUGAAUCUUGAGUUAUUUAGAAAUUUGGGUAAAAAUUCUUAGGAAUGUUCUUGAGUAAUUUGGGUGAAAAUAAUCUUAUUUUGGUAUUUGUGGAUAUUAAUCCCGUGUUAGGGAUGAAAAGAUAUGGGAAAAUGACUAAUUUACCCCCUAGGACACAGAAAUUUUAAAGCUAAAAACUGGGCAUCGACGUUGCACACAACGCGGCGUGUUAGGGCAUCGAUGCGAUACUCGACGCGUUGUUCCACCAUCGCAUCGAGCCUCAGUACUUUUCCUGCACAAAAAUUGACCAAUGCGUUGGGCGACACGGCACGCCAAGAUCGCGUUGGUCCACUAUUUUUGGAACAUCAAACGAGGUCUAAACGCAUUACAAAAAAUCCAAAACUCAUUCGGGAACACCUAUUGACUUCCCAGGUCAUGAACUAGCUAAAAUAACAACUAUUGAGGGUCGUAAAGGUCAAAAAUAAAAUCGUCAAGUAUUUGGAGCUCAAAAAUGAGACUAAGUCUCUUUGACACUUAGAAAAAAAUAUUCUAAUUUUCAACUCUAUGAGCAUACAACUAGGAGCUAACACAUGUACGACUUUUGUGAGGCGUUACACCUAACUCGGUUUAUAAUUUACUGAGACUAGAAAAAAGAUUCAUUACAACUUAUAGAACCUACCUAUUACACAGGAUCUAUGACUUGCUAAGAAUAAGACUAGGUUCUUCUUCAAGUUAGUGAACUUGUUUGCUGAUUGAUGAUUUUAUUGUUCAGUGCAUGAAUGAAAAACUUAAAUGUCGUUUGUUGUAUUUAAGACAACUCCUGAUUGAGUCCUUUAGAUAAUGUAUUCUUCUAUCUUCAAUACGACUCUACCAGGUAGUUUCAUUCCUUGUUGCAGCCGACUCUCUCUUCUUGUUGAAUAAAACUCUUCUACUUUAUUCCAUAGUCUGGCAGGACUCCUUGAUCAACUCAAUCUCUAAGUGUUGGAUUUAUCUUCUCUUUUUCAUCCUCUUUGCUGCAUGUGAUAUGCAUGAGAACUUAAGUUACUUUACUUGUUUAUCCACUCCCAUCUUUACACCUUAUCAGCCUUAUAUCGGCUUUAAUGUGAAAUACAUGUAAGGACCAAUAGCUUCUCGUUCUAUACUUGCAUGGACCAACUUGCACAACAUGUUUCAUUCAUAUGUCCAUCAUCAAAACUUCAAAUUCUAACAUAAACAGGUUGAAAACAAAAAUGACCUAGUAGUGUAAACAAGGGCGAACCUACAGCCUAUUUUUUGGUGCUCCGAUACCCAUUAAAUUCGAUGCAAACUAGGUAUAAUUAUAUAAAAAUUGGUAUAAGGUUUAGAAAUACACCUAGUGAAUGAAGAGGAUAAUUGUGUUUUAGUUUGCAAGUGGAACCUUAAAGCUUUGGGCAUUAAUAUACGUAUUCGAACCUUUUGAACACCCAAAAACCCUAAAUUCCGACUCCGCCACAAGGUGUAAAACAUGUCUAUAUAUAUAAAUUGAAAUUAUACUUUGCAAAAAUAUAAUAACUAUUAUUACCUGAGCAUGUUUGGCUCUAACAUAAGGUCCAUCACCAGAAGUAACUUUAUGAAACACAUGAAAUUGUUCUUUUUCCUUUUUUCUCCUUCUUUGUACUAACAACUUCCACUUCCAUGUUUCUUUUAGUUCUCUUCUUUGAUGUAUAUAUGAAGAUAAAGUACUAUAUUUUAUGAAAAGAAAUUGGAGUAUAUAUAAUAAUAUAGUUACUACAAAAAUAGUACUAAUGGUAGUAGUAUGUAAAAAUCUGAGAAAUUAACAAAAUAGUCCUUUAUGUUUGGGAGUAAGUUUGCAAUCAACCUUAAAGUAGGGGUGUACAUAGGUCGGGUUGGUUUGUUUUUUAUUAAAAAAAAUGAAACCAAUCAUAUCGGUUUAUUAAAACUAUAAACCAAAUCAAACCAACAUAAAAUUGGUUUUUUCGGUUUAGGUUUUGGUCGAUUUUUUUGAUUUUUCAGUUUUUUUCGAUUUUUUUAUAAUCUUUAGUUUUUACAAUUAUAUUGUGAUUGAACACAAGAUUAAAUAUGUUUUCACACAUGUGCUAAUGAAAAACUAUAAUUAUGAAAAAAUAAGGAGAGAAAAACUCUCUUGAAACUAUAAAGUGAGAUGAAGAAUGAAAAGUUUAGGUUUUAAGUUUAUAUUGGAUUUUCGAUCAUUUAAUUAGCAAUUAAUGAACAAAUAUUACAACUUAAAGGCCCAAAUAUAAAUAUAUAUCUACAUCUACUUUCAAAUUAUUGAAAAUUACUAAAACUAAUUGAAAAAGUAUUUAAAAAGUAGAUUAUGAUUAAUAUUUUAUGUAUAAAAAAGUUUGAAUACUAUAUCUAUGCUAUAUUAAAAGUGUGAAGGGUCUUAAAAAUGACGUUUGAACACCAAAAAUGGUCGGAUUUUUUUCUAACAUCAAAUCAAUCAAACCAAACCAUAAGUUGGUUUAUUUUCUUGGUUUAGUUUGGUUCAUCGGUUUGGUUUGACUUGACGGUUUGGUCUGUACACCCCUACCCUAAAGUAUGCUCUAAACAAUUUUGGUCCUUUAAGUUUAUCAGAAGCUAAUACGUUUAGUCUUCGUUAAAUAUUUAACAACCUUCGUCUACUCAAUUUGAAAAAGAUUUUUUGACAGAAAUUCGUAUUUGGAGGUAUAUUUUUUGGUAAUUUCUGCUAUUUUUUUUAUGUCUUUCUAUAAUUUGAUGGUGUAGUUUUUAUGUGCAAUUUAUGUUAUACUUUGAUGUUUUCGGGUACAAGAAUCUGUAUUUAGGCACAAAUUUAACAAUAGUUCAAGUUUAAAACAAGAACAAUAUGAAGUAUAAAAACACCCUUAACCCAAGAUCAAAGUGAUCUUUCUAAGAAGUGUAUUCUAUUUUUCAGAAAUUAAGAUGAAACAGAAAUAUAAAGCCAAGUUCCCCGACUUCACGGAGUGUCCUUAAGGAAUAAUUCCCCUCACUGUACCCAAGGUUUUGGAAUCUUCCUCCUAGGAUAAAAAUGGCUUUCAAUCCAACUAUAGUGGCACCUCAAAUAAUUGGAUUUGUUGAACUCACUCAAUGAUUUGAUUGAUCACAAAGAAUGUUUUGAAGACAAGAAGAGUUUUUAUUUCAAAAAAAAUUUUCAUUCAUUUCUAAACCUAUGAAAGCAGGUUUAUAGAGUCAUCAGAUCCCUCUUCUGAAAGGUGGCAAUGGUUCACUUAAAAGGUGUAUCAUUUGGAAGAGUCAUGUCUGUUCAUUCAAAAUAUUGUGUCUUUUUUUAACAGACACAACUAUCUGAACAGUCACACCUUUUCUAAAACAAUAUGUCUUCUUCUCAAAGGUUGUGUCCCUCCAUUUUCCAUUCAUACCAAUUAAAUCCAACAAUCCCCCACAUGAAUGGGGAAUGGCUAUUCUUUAUAAAAGUUUACGGAAAAGUAUGUGAUCAUCAAGCAAAGACUGAUUGCAUCUGGAUAAGUAGGUUUCCUUUUGAACUUUCCAUAGUGAAUAUACAUCGGAUGCACUCGGUCAAUCGGUAGAUUUGAUAUCUUUGAACCGUCGAGUUUUAGUGUACACCUAGAUAACACAUGUCACACAACCAGUCUUUUAUCGUUUAUGGUUCUCACGAUUUUGUUUUUUCAGCCAUGAAUACGUCCCGGUUUUAUGAGAGCUUAGAGAAUAGGCCUUUACUAACAUUCUCCUUGAAGCGGCUUCCACUUCUCCCUCACAUAGGUGAUUUUUAUACGUUCAAUCCUAUAGAUUAAACUAUUUUGUCAAAUUUGCCAAAUUUAGAUAAUCAUUAAAAGUCUUUUCACUUUAAGUCCUAUCCUUGUUUACUAUACAUUGUCUACAUCAUGAGAAUGGGUUGGGUAUUGACAAUGUUGAACCUGUCAGACACAACUUUGUUUGAUCUCUUUGAACCUAGCUCUUGGGAUCUCCAGUCUUCUAGGUAGAGUUACCGCCAUGCUAACUCGUCCUAGGCCAUAAACUCAUUUCCUUGGAUGUCCUUUCCACUUCUUCUCUUGAUAGGCCUUUUUUUAGUGGAUCCAACACAUUAUCCUUUGACUUUACAUAGUCAAAAGUGAUAAUUCUACUAAAGAGAGUUCCCUAAUAGUAUUAUGUCUCCAUCGUAAGUGAUGACAUUUACCAUUGUACAUUAUGCUCUUUGCCCUACUUAUUGCCGCUUGGCUAUCAUAGUGUAUGCAUAAUGGUUCCACUGGUUUGGGCCAAUAAAGAAUAUCUUCUAAGAAAUUCCAAAGCCAUUCUUCUUCUUCACCAGCUUUAUCCAAUGCGAUAAAUUCAGAUUCCAUUGUAGAGCGAGCAAUACAAUUCUAUUUGGAUGAUUUCACAGAGACUGCUCCUCCACCGAUAGUAAAUACAUAUCCACUUGUGGAUUUUACUUCGCUUGAUCUAGUGAUCCAAUUUGCAUCACUAUAUCCUUCAAGUAUCGCAGGAUAUUUAUUAUAAUGCAAGGCAUAGUCUUGAGUGUUUUAAGAUACUCCAAAACUCUUUUCAUUGCCAUCCAAUGAGUUUUUUUGGGAUUACUCGUGUACCGACUCAAUUUACUAAUAGCGCAUGCUAUGUCUGGUCAUGUACAAUUCAUUAUAUACAUUAAACAUCCCAAUACUCUUGCGUACUUCAAUUGUGAGUCACUUUUACCUUCAUUCUUUCAAAGUGCAAAGCUCACAUCCAAAGGAGUCUUGGCAAUACCGAAUUUUAUAUACUUAUAUUUGUCAAGUACCUUUUCGAUAUAGUGAGACUGUGACAAUGCCAACCCUUGUGGAGUUCUAUGAAUUCUUAUACCUAAGAUCACAUCCGCAACUCUAAGGUCUUUCAUAUGAAACUUGCUCUCGAGCAUUAGCUUCAUUGCAUUUAUGUCAGAAAUAUCUCUACUGAUGAUCAACAUGUCAGCCAUAUAUAAACAAAUAAUGACUUGAUAAUUUUGAGUGUCUUUAAUAUAAACACAUUUAUCUUGAACCCAUUUUCCAAUAUGGUUUGGUCAAACUCCGCAUGACAUUGUUUAGGUGCUUGCUUUAGUUGAUACAAUGACUUAAUAAGUUUACACAUCUUACUGUCCUUCCCUGGAACCACAAAACCCUCAGGCUGUUCCAUGUAAAUUUCUUCCUCCAAUUCUCCAUUAGGAAUGUGGUUUUCAUAUCCAUUUGAUGGAUUUCAAGACCAUAUACCGUCGCCAAGGCAAUUAACAUUCGAAUCGAUGUUAUCCUUGCUACUGGCAAGUAUGUAUUAACAUUCGAAUCGAUGUUAUCCUUGCUACUAGCAAGUAUGUAUCAAAGUAAUCAAGACCUUCUUGUUGUUUGAAGCCUUUUACUACAAGUUUUGCCUUGUAUUUGUCAAUAGUACCAUUUGCUUUUAUUUUUCUUUUGAAGAAAUAUUUAGAACCUAAAGGUUUAUUUCCUGGAGGAAGAUCAACCAAUUCCCAUAUAUGGUUGCUUAAGAUUGAAUCAAUCUCACUAUUGACUACCUCUUUCCAAAAGGAUGAGUCUGAAGAUGUCAUCGCUUCCUUAAAUGUUUGAGGCUCAUUUUCUUUGACGUGUACUACAUCUUGGAUUUUCUUCAUUAUGUAUAUUCUCACUUGGUUCAUCUCGAGAUCAUUUAGACCCCCCUACUAGACUAUUCAUGUCUAGUUUUAUACGGAUAAAUAUUUUUAAAAAAUUCAGCAUUAUUUGAUUCAAUUACCAUAUUUUCAUUAAUAUCCGGAUGAUCAGAUUUAUGAACCAAAAAUUGACAUGCUUUACUACUUUUUGCAUAUUCUAUGAACACGCAGUCCACCGUCUUAGGUCCUAUCUUAAUCCUUUUAGGCAUAGGAACUUGAAACUUCGCUAGACACCCCCACACUUUAAAAUAUUUCAAGUUGGGUUUCUUUUCUUUCCAUUUUUCAUAAAGAAUUGAUUGUGUCUUACUAUAGGGAACUCUAUUGAGUAUACGGUUGGCUGUAAGGAUAGCCUCCCCCCACAAGUUUUGCGGUAAACCAGAACUUAUAAGUAAGGCAUUCAUCAUUUCCUUUAAAGUUUAAUUUUUCUUUCCGCAAUUCCAUUAGAUUGAGGUGAAUACGGGACCGUAGUUUGAUGAACGAUUUCAUUCUCUACACAUAUUUCAGCGAAAGGAGAUUUAUAUUCUCUGCCCCUAUCACUUCUUAUCAUUUUUAUCUUUUUAUCUAAUUGGUUUUCAACUUCAGUUUUGUAUUGCCUAAACGCAUCUAUUACUUCAUCCUUACUGUUUAGCAAGUAGAUGUAAUAGUAUCUAAUGCAAUCGUCAAUAAAAGUUAUGAAAUACUUUUUCCCACCACAUGAUAGUGUUGACUUCAUAUCACAAAUGUCAGUGUGUAUUAAGUCUAAAGGAUUGGAAUUCCUUUCAAUGGACUUAUAAGGAUGCUUUGCAUACUUUGAUUCUACACACAUUUGGCACUUUGAUUUAUUGCACUUAAAUUUUGGCAAAACUUCUAAGUUGAUCAGUUUACGCAAUGUUUUGUAAUUAACAUGGCCUAAACGCUCAUGCCAUAAAUCAUAAGACUCAAGCAAAUAAGAAGAAUUUGAACUUUUAUUGAUUUCAACAGUCAUUACAUUCAUCUUAUAAAGGCCCUCGGUGAGAUAGCCUUUCUCUACAUACAUUUCUCAUUUGCUAAUUACAAUUUUUUCAGAAACAGUUACAUAUUUGAAUCCGUUCUAGUCUAGAAGUGAAACAGAAAUUAAGUUCCUAUAUAACUCCGGAACAUACAAGACAUUGUUAAGUGUCAAGACCUUUCCUGAAGUCAUUUUCAAGCAUAUUUUUCCUGUUCUUUCUACCUUAGCAGUAGAGGAGUUAGCCAUGUAGAUCAUUUCUUCUACUUGAGCCAGAGCGAAUGACGAAAACAACUCUUUGUUGGCACAAACAUGGCGGGGGGUACUAGAAUCUAUCCACCAAUCACGAGGAUUCCCCACCAAGUUACAUUCUGAAAGCAUAGCACACAGAUCAUCACAUUCUUUGUUGGACUCAAUCAUAUUUGCUUGAUCUUUAUUCUUGCCUUUCUUUGGGGCACGACAAUUCAUGGACUUGUGGCCAAUCUUGCCACAAUUAAAGCAUUUACCCUUGAAUUUCUUCUUGGGUUGAUUGCUUCUUUGUUCAACUUUCUUCCUUUUCUUAGAAUUAUUUUGGUCAUCUUCCACAAUAUGUGCUCCAUUAAUUGCAGAAUUCCCUUUUGAACUUUUUUCAGCAGCUUUAUUAUCCUCUUCAAUACGUAGUCAGACAAUUAGAUUUUUGAUAGCCAUCGCCUUGCAUUUAUGCUUCAAGUAGUUUUUGAAGUCUUUCGACAUUGGUGGUAGCUUCUCAAUUAUCGCUGCUACUUGGAAUGCAUUAUUCACAAUCAAACCUACAAAACAGUUUAUGUGAGUACUAAGAAUAUUUUUAAUUUGUUCAACAAAGAUAUUUUGCAAAGAUAUACCUUAUGCUAGGAGAUCAUGAAUGAUUACUUGCAAUUCUUGCACUUGAGAGAUAACCGAUUUGCUAUCUAUUAUUUUAAAGUCUAGGAACCUUGCAACAAAGAAUUUCUUAAUUUCCACAUCCUCUGUCUUAUAUUUUCGUUCAAGUGUCCCCCACAAUUGCUUCGAUGUCUUAGUUCUACUAUAAACAUUAUAAAGGUCGUCUUGGAGACCACUUAAGAUAUAAUUCCUGCAAAGGAAAUCUGAGUGUUUUCAAGCCUCUACAAUCAUGAAACGCUCUUUUUCCGAGGUUCCCUCGGACACCUCAGGAGCAUUCUCAGUAGUGAACUUUUGAAGACAUAGUGUUGUGAGGUAGAAGAACAUCUUCUGCUGCCAUCGCUUAAAGUCAAUGGCCAUAAAUUUUCCGAGCUUCUCCACAGGUACCAUUGAUUGCGGAUCAUUUGCUUGACUUGUUGAGGCAAUACUAGUUGCCCCCACAGUCGUAGCCGCAUCUUGCAUUUGACUUUCGUUAGUCAUUUUUCCUGUCACCACAAGACAAUAAAAUUUAGUAUUUUCAGAAUGUUACUUAUAAAGUUAAGCAACUUUAAACUCUUCUUCUUGUUUCUAGUUAACAAUGAAGUUUUUAUGACUUUCAAUUGUCAACCGAGUGUUUUUUAACUUGUGAUGUAGAUUUUAUGUCUUCAAAUCACUAGUUAAAUUCAAACGGAGUAGAAAGCUUAAAGCUUUAGUCUCCAAAAACAAGCAAUACAGAUUUUGUAAAAAAUUAUUCCUUAAGAUUGUUAUUUUAUGUAGUGUUUUCGGGUACACGAAUCUGUAUUUAGGCACAACAACUUCAACACUAGUUCAAGUUUAAAACAAGAACAAUAUGAAGUACAAAAACACCCUCAACACAAGAUCAAACUGAUCUUUCUAAGAAGUAUGUUUAAUUUUUUCAGAAAUUCAGAUGAAACAGAAAUAUAAAGCCAAGUCCCCCAACUUCACGGAGUGUCCUUAAGGAAUAAUUUCCCUCACUGUUCUCGAGGUUUUGGAAUCUUCUUCCCAGGAUAAAAUGGCUUUCAAUCCAACUAUAGUGGUACCUCAAAUAAUUGGAUUCGUCGAACUCACUCAACGAUUAGAUUAAUCAAAAAGAAUGUUUUGAAGACAAGAAGAGUUUUUAUUUCAGAAAUAUUUGUCAUUCAUUUCUAAACCUGUGGAUAAAAGCAGGUUUAUAUAGCCAUCAGAUCCCUCUUCUGAAAGGUGGCAAUGGUUCACUUGAAAGGUGUAUCAUUUGGAAGAGUCAUGUCUGUUCAUUCGAAACAUUGUGUCUUUUCUGAACAAACACAACUAUCUGAACAGUCACACCUUUUCCAAAAUAAUGUCUUUUGCUCAAAGGUUGUGUCCCUCCAUUUUCCAUUCAUACCAAUUAAACCCAACAAUUUCUACAUUAUUUUGGUGUAGAUUUAAUGAAACUUGUCUAGUAUUGUUGAUUAAAUCUUUAUUGUCUGUCAUUUCUUCAAACCUAACCGAAGAUGUUUGUUAGAUAUUUGAUAGAGACCAGAAAUGUUAUUUAAUGAUAAAUUUAAAGGACCAAAACGGUUCGAGACAUACUUUAUAAAGUAUUUAAACCUACUUGCAAAGACAUUUUUUUUUUUUUGGUCAUUUUGUCUAUAUAAGCUAAAAUGAUAAGAUCUAUAAACUAUGGUGGAGGAUUCAUAAAAAAGAAAGAUAUAGAGGACAAAGUUGUACAAACAUUUCAUGAAUUGUCCCUAACCUACACCAAUAAUCCAUCACUGGGGGACUUCAAUAUUGAACCUAGACGAUUAUCCGUCCAUAUUAAUUAAUUAGUUAAUCUCCUCCUCCUUUAAUGUUUUUCUAAAAAAAAGUUUAUUUUUUACGUACAGUCAUCAUGCGAGAACAGAUCUGGUAAGUUUAGUUGCUCUAGUGCAAGCCUUGUAUAUAUCAUUAUAAGAAUUCAUAGAUUAUAAAUUCAGAAUCCGUCUCAACCAUCGUAUCAUUGACAAACUAAUUAUCUACAAAAAGUAUAAUUAGAAAAUGUAACUUUACCCAUAACUCGAGCAACUAAAACAUCAUCAUUUUUAACACAAAACUCCAAACAAUCAAUUGGGAGAGCUAAAGGGAUAUAAUGUUGUUAAAUUGAUUAUAUUUUUGAGAAAAACCAUUGAACAAAAUAAGAUGAAAGUGAAGAAGAAUUUAGAAAAAAAAAACACCUCGAUUUUAAAAUGUGAAGAAGAGGAGAAACUGUGGAAUGAAACUGUCACAAAAAUUCCGCCGUUAAUGUAGGAAGAGUUGGUAAAAUUAAAACCGGAUAAAAAGAGUAUUUUAGGGUGUAUCUCAAUUUGUAACUUAAAUUAAUAAAAGUUGGGAUAUUUAUAAUUUUUUCAAAAUAAGGAAAUUUUUAGUAAUUUUAAAAAACUAAAAUUGUGCUUUUAUGAAAUUUUUUCAAUAAUUUUUUAAUAUGACAAAAGUAGAAUUGUGAUCUUAAUAUAUUCGACUAAUGAAAAUUUUUAAGGAAUAAACCAAAAAGAAGGAUUAAAGAAACUAAAAAUUACACAAAUACACAACUUAUGUUUUCAAUAUUACAAAAAAUCUCAACUCCUUAAACAUAUUACAAAAAUCCCAUAUAUACACAGAAUGUUAUGUAUAUGUCGGCUAUGUUAUGUAUAUUAAUAGGGAGAGAGAAUAAAGUAAUUAAAAAAGUAGGAGAGAGUAUAAUUACUUCCAAAAGAGUUGAUAUUUAUGUUAUUUAUACUUAAAAAAAAGGAUAACUAUUUAUUUGCAUUGGGUGUUCACCUUUAACUGCUCAUUUAAAUCUUAGUCAACUAAAAGAUAAGAAUAGUAUACAUAUCACUUAAUCAUUGACUAAGUGAUAACCUUAUGUAUAAAAGGUACAUAUCUUGUAUUCAUUAGGUUAGGUGCAAAUACCCGAUGCAGAUAAGCUUUUACUACGUAAGAUGAAAGUUGAAAUAUGAAAGAGAUGAUGAUGGCUUUUUUAUAGCUCAAAGAGAUGAAUUCGAAAUUAGAAGUUUAUGAAUUUUUCAAUUUAAAUAUUACGAAUUUUAUAAUUUAUUAUAUGUACAUAUUCACUACUCAGUAUGAAUAUUUUGAUAAACAUACAAAAUUUGGACAAAACUUACUGAGCUCUACUGAAUUCAUACAUUUAUACAUAUCACAUGCCUCUUACUUUGCACAUCUAAUUCUAAAUAAUUAACAUCUAAACCUUACUAAACUAUAAACCUUAAAUCCUAAAAAAGCAUAAAUCCAUCAACAUGCUAAUUGAUCUCUAAAUGUAGAGAUCUCCUCAAAUAUUGGCAAUCUUCUUGAUUUGGGCCGGGCCCAUUCAUGAAUCAACUGUUCAAGCCCAUUUACAAAAUCAUCAUCCAAAUCGAGGCCCGGUAUGUUUUGCAAGAAGGGCGGGGGUUGCUUCGAGUCCAAUUCCAACAAUAAUUCCUCAACUCGAUUCUUUGUUUUUUUAUCAUCAGAACCUAAAUAUUUACCUCUCCAAACAUCAUCGAGAAUAGAACGGGCCUCAUCAUAUCGGGCUUGCUUAAUCAAACAAUGUGCCAGGUUGCAGGCCUUGUUGCUGUCUGGAUAAAUCAUUUGGGCUUUCUUGUACACCACUUCUGCUGCCAUAAAGUUUCCUUUUUGCAUAUAAGCCCAACCCAAAUUACCCUACAAAAGCACAAUUAUUUUGAUGUUUUAGGGGCAAAGUCCGCAACAACAAAAAUAUCAUGAAAAAAAAAAAAAAUUGGUGUACUAAAGCUCCCGCUAUGCACGGAAUUUGGAGAAAGACCCGACCACAAGAGUGUAUUAUACGUAAUCUUACCUUAGUAUUUCUGUUAGAGGCUGUUUUCAAGGCUUGAACCAUGACUUUCUGAUUACGUGGCAAAAACUUUAUCAGUUACUCCAAGACCUGGGGUCUGGAGAAAGUAAAGUGUACAGGGUCCACAUGACUAUCUCUGAGAUGAGAUAGAGGUGUUGUUUUCGGAAGACUAAGGGCAAAGUACACAGAUAAUUUCGAUGCCACUGUUUAGUUCGUCCCCACAUUUUAAAAUCUUUUUGCACAUGUAUCUACUUUGCUAUAACUUCAGGCAUAUGGUAUCUGAAGUUAGUCUGCCUAAAGUUUCAUAUAGCUGAAGUGAAGGAAUAUAUGUGUGUAACUCAAGUUAAAUCAAUUUUACCUCACUAUAGCUAUUUUUGCUUGAACAUUAGUUAUAUAUAGUCGAAGUUCAAUAUUUCUUAUAUGUGAACUUAAGCCACAUAUGACUUAAGUUCAAAACAAAUUCUCUGACUUCUACUAUUUUUGCUUGAACUUCAAUGAUCUGUGCAUAAAUUUCGGACAAAAAUGACAGAAAUCAUGCAAAAAUGACUGAAGUCGAUCAUUCUAAUUUAAACUUCAAACAAAAACAAUUGGAUAUCAGCAUAUAUAGCCGAAGUCCACAAUAUUUCUUUUGUUGUGAACUUCAUCCACAUAUGACUGAAGUUCAAAAUUUUUGUGUGACUUCUACUAUUUUUAUUUGAACUUCAGUGAUAUGUGCAUGAACUUCAGACAAAAAUGGUUGAAUUCAUGCAAAAGUAACUGAAGUCCGCCAUUUUAAUUUAAACUUGAGACAAAAACAACUGAACAUCAGCAUGUAAUAUUUUUAAAUCAUGAAUUCACUGAGAUCAAUUCAUUACAUCAACAACACCAAUAAAAAUUAAAAGUAUAGAAUAUGGAAGAUAUAAUAUUUACCAGAACUCUUGCAGUCUCUUGGCUAAUAGUAACUUGAAUCUUCUUUCCAUGAGAUCUGGCUACUUUAACUGGCCUCCCAUUGAACAACUUUCCUUCAUAUAUUUGUCUCAGUUUAUGCUUCAAUAACAAUAUUUGUUCCUCUACUUUUCCACAUUUCUACAUUUACCAAAAAUACAUAUUACACUUAUUAAUGCAUAUGAUAAAAUCAUCUUUAUAUUAGUUUGGUUGAUUAAAAUGACAUUGCAUGUUCAUAGGAAACAAUAACAUCCAGUGUAAUUCCAUAAGUGGGGUUCAUAGUCAAAGUCAUCUAUAUCAAAGGGUGGUCAGGUACACAACCUUCGCCGAAAAAUUAUAUUGUAUAUAUAGGCUAAACAUUAGCUAUUAUGAGCGUGUAAUUAAUUUUGCACACCCUUAACGUAAUUGAGAAAAAAAUUUGCACUCUUCAUCAAAUUUUUGACUCCACCAUUAAUAAGGUCUGAGAAAGAUAAAAUAUAAACAAAUCUUCGUUCUACUUUGUAAAGUAAAGAAAUUGUUUCCACUAUACCGACCCUCGCCUUAACUGCUUGUUCAUGGGCAAGUUUAUUAAUUCCCUAACCACUUAUUGCGUAUGGUUAUUUAAUCUCUUGUUUGGUAAUGUUUUCAACCUAUAACUAAUAUAUUAGUUAUACAUUUUAUGGAGUAUUGUUCUUAUACAUAGUAAACUAUGACAUUAACACUAUGGGGUACUAUUUUACUCUAUAAUAUACCUUAUUCAGUACUACUCAUAUUCAAUUUAAUAUACCACAUUCAGAUAACAGUUUUACUCUAAUUCAUCUUAUUCAGUAUUAUACAUCCUAUUCAUUUAAUACACAAACCAAAUAGUCUAUAUAAAAUAAUGUCAGCAUGCAAAUACUAUACACUCUAUUCAGUACUACCAAACGACAAGUUUAUGUACCAAAGUCCUUGAUAUAUCAAAAGAAUAUAUUUCGGAAUAGACAACGUUAUUAUAGAGAGGUUUAAUUGUAUAAAUAAAUAUAAAAUACCUUGAAGAGAUCAAGGAGGACAUAAAAUAAUGUCAACAAAUGUUAUGCAUUCUAUUCAGUACUAUUUUUAACCAAUCCUACUAAACGACACAUUUAUGCACCAAAGGCCUUGAUAUAUCACAAAAUAUACUUCAAAACAAACAACGAUGUUAUAGAGAUGUUUAACUGUAUCAAUAAAUAUAAAAUACCUUGAAGAGAUCAAGGAGGACAUAAAAUAGUCUAUAUAAAAUAAUGUCAGCAAAUACUAUACAUUUUGUUCAGUACUGUUCUUAUCCAGUCUUAUUAAAUGACAAGUUUAUGUACCAAAGGCCUUGAUAUAUCACAAAAUAUACUUUAGAACAAACAACGCUAUUAUAGAGAAGUUUAACUGUAUCGAUAAAUAUAAAAUACCUUAAAGAGAUCAAAGAGGACAUUAAAUAGUCUAUGUAAAAUAAUGUCAACAAUACCGAUAUAUUCUAUUCAAUACUAUUCUUAUCCAGUCCUACUAAACGACAAGUUUUUGCAACUAAGGCCUCGAUAUAUCACAAAAUAUACGUCAGAACAAACAAUGUUAUUAUAGAGAGGUUUAAUUGUACUGAUAAAUAUAAAAUAGCUCGAAGAGAUCAAGGAGGACAUAAAAUAGUCUAUAUAAAAUAAUGUCAGAAAUACCGAUAUAUUCCAUUCAAUACUAUUCUUAUCCAGUCCUACUAAACGAUAAGUUUAUGCACCUAAGGCCUCGAUAUAUCACAAAAUAUACUUCAGAACAAACAACGUUAUUAUAGAGAGGUUUAAAUGUAUCGAUAAAUAUAAAAUACCUUGAAGAGAUCAAGGAGGACGUAACAUAGUCGAUAUAAAAUGAUGUCAGCAAUACUAAUACAUUCUAUUUCAGUACUAUGCUUAUCAAGUCCUGCUAAACGACAAGUUUAUGCACCUAAAGGCCUUGAUAUAUCACAAAAUAUACUUCAGAACAAAUUACACUAUUAUAGAAAGGUUUAACUGUUAUCAAUAAGUAUAAAAUAUCUUGAAGAGAUCAAGGAGGACAUAAAAUGGUCGAUAUAAAAUAAUGUCAGCCAAUUCUAUACAUUUUAUCCAGUACUAUUCUUAUCCAGUUCUAUUAAACGACAAGUUUAUGUAUCAAUGGCCUUGAUAUAUCACAAAAUACACUUCAGAACAAAUAACUUUAUUAUAGAGAUGUUUAAUUUAGCUCUAUCAAUAAAUAUAAGAUACCUUGAAGAGAUCAAGGAGGACAAAAAAUAGUCGAUAUAAAAUGAUGUCAGCAAAUACUAUACAUUCUAUUCAGUACUAUUCUUAUCCAGUCCUGCUAAACAACAAGUUUAUGUUCCAAAGGCAUUGAUAUAUCACAAAAUAUACUUUAGAACAAACAACUACAUUAUAGAGAGAUUUCACUUUAAUAAUAAAUAGAAAAUACCUAGCUAAUAUUAUUUUGUUGCAAUUCUACUAAACGACAAGUUUAUGUAUCAAACGCCUUGAUAUAUGGCAAAAUGUACUUCAGAACAAACAACGCUGUUACAGAGAGGUUUAACUAUACGUAUCUAUAAAUUUAAAAUACCUUGAAGAGAUCAAAGAGGACAUUGUCUAGGGAUUCUUGAGCUUGUUUAGAGCAAAGGUAUCUAAAAGACUUGACAGCUUCAAUGGCUUCUUCACUUCUAUCUAAUUGCUUCAUCACAACUGCCAUGUCUUUUAAUGCACUGUCCACUCUGUCCCCUUCAUUUAUGGCUUUCCAAAACCAUACUAUUGAUCCCUCUGGGUCCUUCAAAAUUAGCUACAACACAAAUUCAACAUAUAAUAUUAUUAAUAUUUAAAAAAAAUCUACCCAUAUGUAGAUAGUGUGUAUAUGUAUCAAAGGUGUGGCUUAGUGGUCAAUGAACUGUGUUACGAACAUGAAGUCUCAGGUUCAAAUCCAAGCACAAACUGUUGCUAGUGGAAGGUGACAGGUAUCUCGUGAACUUAGUCAAGGUACGCAAGAGUAUGUAUAUGAUGUAAUUUUUCACCAAAAGGUGUCGAUUAAUACUUUUUGGAGAAAACUACCAUAAAUAUAAUGAUGUGAUCGUAUCAAAGUAUUUUACACUAUAAGCAUAUAAAGGUGAUUACACAAUAAUAAUGAUGCCAUUUCAAUGUGGUUAAUGUACUACAUCUGCACAAACAAUGUUAAAAGAGAAAAAAACAAUUACAUUUAUAAGUAAAUCUUAUUUUUAAACAAGAAAACAUUAAUGGUAACUUAAUAAAAAAUGGAUAAUAACAAGUAAAUUAAUUCUUUCAAGUGGUGACUGUUGUACUUGUACCAGUACAAGGUUGGUUUAACAGAUCACUAAAGAAUGAUAGAGGCAGUAAAUGUAAAUAAAUAAGAAGCAAAACAUGUUGAACUUCUAUAUGUACAUUUACUGUGUAAAAUAAUUUAUAACUAUCAAGUCACAAAAAAAAAUUACAACUAAUCAUAACAAAAAUAGAAUUUAAUUAACUUAUAUACACCUUGUCAAUAAAAAUUUAACGACAUUAAUAUAUUUUUAACAUAUUGUAACGUGUUAAAAAUUGUAACCUCCUUUAUUUUUAAAGUAAAUGAUUUUACUCUAUAUGAAUGGUUGUGUACAUAUCUAAUAGUAUAAAAAGAAAUAUAUACUAUUACAAGUUAUACUAGCAAAAAUAUUCGAUCUUACUUUAUAUAUACAGUUGUUUUUUCAUUCAAUGUCCGAUACUCGUAUUGAGGCUCAACUACAUUUGAAUUCAUGCGUUGCAAGGCUCAUUUUUGGAGACCGCUACAAAUUUAGAAACCUUGGAUAAAAGGCGAUUGAAGGGAUUCAAAUCAUCCUAAGACAUCCCAUGUUGAUACUUUAUAUGUUAUGGUUGUUUUUUCAUUCAGUGUUCGAUACUCAUAUCGAGGCUCAAUCAAAUUUGAAUUUGCACCAAAGCUCAUCUUUGGAGAGCGCUACCUAUUUAGAAACCUUGGAUAAAAGGCGAUCGAAGGGAUUCAAAUCAUCCUGCUACAACCUAUGUUAAACUAUGUUGAUACUUUAUAUAUAUACGUUUACUAAAGCCAUAAGCAAAAAUGACCUAGUAGUGUAAAACAUGUCUAAAAAAGGGGCAGUUCGGUGUUCUAAAGCUUCCGCUAUGCACAGGAUUCGGAGAAGGGCUCCACCACAAGAGUUUAUUGUACGCAGUCUUAUUAUUGUACGCAGUCUUACCUUGCAUUUCUGCCCAAGGCUGUUUUCAAAGCUUGAACUCGUGACCUCCUAGUCACAUGGCAACAACUUUACCAGUUACUCCAAGGCUCCCUUCAGUGUAAAACAUGUCUAUAAAAAGGGCACUCCGGUGCACUAAAGUACCCACUAUGUGCAGGAUCCGAGGAAGGAUCCCACCACAAGGGUGUAUUAUACGCUGUCUUGCCUUGCAUUUCUGCCGAAGGCUAUUUGCAAGGCUUAAACUUGUGACCUCUUGGUCAUAUGAUAACAACUUUACUGGUUACUCCAAGACUCCCCUCGAGUGUAAAACAUGUCUAUAUACAUAAAUUGAAAUUAUACUGAGAAAAAAUAUAAUAAACAUUAUUACCUGAACAUGUUUGGCUCUAACAUAAGGUCCAUCACCAGAAGGAACCUUAUGAAACACAUGAAAUUGUUCUUUUUCUUUUUUCUCCUUUGUAGUUACAACUUCCAUUUCCAUGUUUCUUUUAGUUCUCUUAUUUGAUGUAUAUAUGAAGAUAAUGUACUAUAUUAGGAAAAAGAAAUGGGAGUAUAUAUAAUGAUAUAGUUACUACAAAAAUAGUAAUAGUAGUAAUAUAUACAAGUUGAGAAAAUAACAAAAUGGUCCUUUAUGUUUGGGAAUAGGUCUGAAAUCGACCCUAAAGUAUAUUCUAAACAAUUUUGGUCCUUUAAGUUUAUCAGAAGUUAAUACGUUCAGUCUACGUCAAAUAUUUAACAGCCUUCGUCUACUCAAUUAGAAAAAUGUAUUUGACGGAAGUUAUAUUUGGAGGUAUAUUUUUUGAUAGUUUCUGCUAUUUUUGUUUCGUAUAGUUUUCUAUAAGCAAUUUCUACAUUGUUUUAGUGUCUAGUAUUGUUUUUGUGUUGCAGUUUCUAAGAUUUAAUGAAAUGUUUCUAGUUUUGCGAUUAAAUCUUUAUUGACUAUCGUUUCUGUCUAACCUAACUGAAGAAGAAGUUUGUUAGAUAUUUGAUAGAGACCAAAAACAUUAUUUUAUGAUAAAUUUAAAGGACUAAAACUGUUCGAGAUAUACUUUAUGAACUAUUUAUAAUCUACUUCCAAAUAUAGGGUACAUCUUUUCGUCAUUUUGUCUAUUAUAAUAAGCUAAAUUAAUAAAAUCCAUGAAAUAUGGUGCGUAAUUCAUAAAAAAGAAAGAUAGAGGACAAAAUUGUACAAACAUUAUAUUGAUUGUCCCUAACCUACCCCAAUAAUCCAUCAUUGGGGACUUCAAUAUUGAACCUAGACGGUUAUCCGUCCAUAUUAAUUAAUUAAUUAAUCUCCUCCUCCUAUAAUAUUUUUCUAAAAAAAAAGUUUGUUUCUCAUGUACAUACAUCUAAAAGAUAUUUAUAUUAUGGUUUUAUAUUAUGAUCAUGAUGCGAGGACAAAUCUAAAAGUUUAAUUAUAAACUCAUAUAAGUUCAAUAGUUUUAGUACAAGCCUCGUAUUUAUCGUUAUAAAAAUUUAUAGAUUACUAACUUUGGAUUCAUCUCUACCAUCGUAUCAUUAAAAAACUAAUUAUCUAUAACAAGUAUAAUUAGAAAAUGUAAUUUUUGAUACUAGCUAAAUUACACCAAGUAUAUAAAAACUUCUUAGUGAUAAAUAUAUAGAUAAUUUAUAAUUAUUUAAAUAAAUCCUAGAUUUUUUCUCUUUAAGAAAUUCAAGUAAAUGCCAUCAUAUAACAAUAGGUAGAGGCAAUACUAUUUUAGUUUUUUUUAAUCCAAAUAUGUUUUAAGGUGGUGUUUUAAUUUUAUUUUUUAAGAAAGAAAAAUAAGAUUGUGCUUGUUUCCAACUUCAUCCCCUUCAAAUUUAUUUAUGAGUUUUAACUAAUAUACCUAUAAUUACAUUAUCAGAUUAUUUUAAAGAUAAUUACAGGCUAAAUUAUAACAUUAGUAUUAAACUCUCAUUUAAAUGUAAGAGGAUAUAUAUAUAUAUAUAUAUAUAUAUAUAUGAACCUGGACACUUUUUUAGGUGUUAGUUAACUUGACCAUGCACAAAAUGAUUAAUUGCUUUUCCAAUUUUGUGAGUUCACCCUCAAUUUCACAAGAUAGAGACAAAUAGGCCCUUUGAUUUCCAUAUGUUUUCAGAUUUGGCACCCAAAGAAUCUAGAUAUGGAAAUACCCUCUUAUUUUAGAAUGAAAGGCAAAGUCGUGUAAUUUGUCACUCCCCCGGUCCAAUUUGGGUGAUAUUGUUUGAUUUGACAGAAAAUUUUAGAAAACAAAGUAAGAUUUUUGAAAUUUAUGAUCUAAAACACUCAAUGAUUAAUUACAAAAAUGUGAUACUCUUUUUGCUACGAAUUAUAAAUAAAAGUGUCUUACAUCAAUUCGAAAUUAUAUAUAUUGGCAAUACAUUGUUUUCUUUAAUUCUUCAUGCAGUUUUACUCCACGAAGCAAGUUAAUUACUACUAUUUAUAUUAAGUUAUCAAAUGGGAAGAAGCUGUCACAUGGAAUUGAUAGAAUUCAAUUACUACUAUUUAUAUUAAGUUAUCAAAUGGGAAGAAGCUGUCACAUGGAAUUGAUAGAAUUCAGUGGUUUUAAUUCAAAUUUUGUAUAUCAAUUGAAAAAUAAUAUAUAUGUAUAAUAAACUUUAAAAUCUAUCUAACUCCAAAUUUUGAAUCAGUAUUUGAUUAUUUUACCUAUGGUAAAGUUCUACCUGUAACAGUACCUUACAAUCAAUCUGAUUGUGUAAAUGGAAGUGCUUGGUGUGUAUGUUUCAAAUAUCUAAAGCAUUACAACAAAUAACAGUUCUAGUGCAAUCUCGCAAGUGAAAUUAGAGGAACGCUGGGCCGUUUGGUAAAUCGGACCAAAUUAACUUUAUCCUAUAUAAGUAUUAAAUAAUCUCACAAUCAUUUUAUCCCACCAUUUAUACUAAAAUGAUGAGAUGAAUAUCUCAUAUGAAGGAUGGUAUGAAGUAGUCUCACGGGAUAUUCCUACUUAUCCUAUCCGAUAUACCAAACGACAGUAUGUUCGCAUACCUUAUCUCUACCUAGGAAAAAGGUUGUUUCCGGUAAACCCUCAACUCAAAUAACUAAACAACUAAAUAUAAUCUAUACAGUUGAAUUUCGGAUCCGACAUUGAAAGUGAGGAAUCUGUUCAACAUAGAUUAAGCAUGAGGCUCGGGUUUAAUAUAAAUGUGGUAAUACCAGAGAGCAAAGGCAAGGAAAAAACGACUCUUCAUUUAGGGCUCAUUUGGUAAGGGAUAAGAGAUAGCUAAUUUCAGAAUUAAUUUUAUGAAGAGUUUAUCUCAUAAACAGGACCUUUAACUUGACAUCAAAUUAUAACUAUGACCUUUAACUUUGUCAGUGUACAAGUAGGCCCUUUAACUAUACAAAAGCUAAACAAAAAAAUAUCUCAAUCUUGCAACACAUAUGUGGGAAACUCAAUUGCUCGUACGUAGACUAGUACUCUAACAAAAUGUUGUCACCUAAUUAAAAAGAUAUACGUAGAUUUUAGAUAUUAACUUUGGCAGUGUAUAAGUAGGCCCUUUAAGUAUAUAAAAGCUGAACAAAAAACACUUCAAUCUUGCAACACAUAUGCAUGAAAAUCACUCCUACAUGGACUAGUACUCCAACCAAAUGCUACCACCAAAUUAAAAAGAUACACGUAAAUUUUAUAUAUUAAAAAAAAACCUUAAUAUACCACCAUCACAAAUACAUAUACAUUUUAGAUUUUUUCUUUCAAAAAAAUAAAAACAAUUCAUUAAAGGCUGCCCUCGUUAAAAUAACUUUCAAGUCUGAUGAAAAUUGAAAGGUUCAUUUAGAAGAAUAUGUGAAAUCCGAUGAAAAUCUUAUAAAAUUUUCAUCUCUUAUUCCCUUUCAAUUAAGGAAAUUUUUUUAAAAAAUUUUCAUUGAAGAUUCACAAAAUAGAAGCCAUUUAACAUGAAAGCUGCACAAUUCCUUUACAACUUUUAGCUCUUCAGAUAUACAAAUGAAGCAUACACCAUCGUUUAAAGGAGAAACAGAAGAGCUCUAGAUAAUUGAUCGUACUUUUCCUAAUUGAGUUACUUUUUCUAAAUUUUUUAGAGUUGUUGGAGAAAAUAAAAAGAAAAUAAAGUGGGAAUUCGAUUUGUAAGAAGGGGAUAUAUAUAUAUAUAUAUAUAUAUAUAUAUAUAUAUAUAUAGAGAAAGGAUUCAUUAAGGGAAUAAUAGUCAUUUAAGUAUUUUUUUUAACUGUUGGGAGCUCCAAUUUUUACUCCCACACGCGUCAUUUUGAGUGUAAUCACGCAUUUUGCCAGGUAGGAUUGGAGUGUUUUUUGUUCAGCUUUUAUAUAUUUAAAGGGUCUAUUUGUGCAUGAGCAAAGUUAAAGAUCAUAAUUAUAAUUUGAUAAUAAGUUAAAGGUCCUAUUUAUGUAUUAUGUCUGAAUAACUCAUUCCAAAUUAGUUAUUUUAGGAUUAUAGUGUUAUUUAUAUUCCAUCUUGAGGGUGAAAAAACUAAUCUUCGAAUAGCCAAUUUCGUAAUGGUUAAUUUUGGGAUAACUUGUUUCGUAUGUAUCGUUUAGUUGAGCUACAAGUUAUUUGGGAUAAAUUAUUUUGGAAUUAACUAUUCCAAAAUAUAUCUGGCAUUAAUAGAAUCGGAGAGCCAACUAUAUUUUUUAUGUCUUUUAUAUAUUUUAAGUUGUUAAUUAUUGUGAUUUAUAAAACUUUUAAAAUUUGGGGAGUUAACUAAAUUUUUUAUGUCAAUUAUAUAUAUUAAGUUGUUAAUUAUUGUGAUUUAUAGUACUUUUAGAGAAUAUUCAAUAAUAUAUGUUACUUCAAUAUUGAUUUUAGUAUUUUCAUAUUUUGUAUUUUUUUUUUACACUAUAGUUACAUCUUUUGAUCAACUUUUGAAGCUUAAAAAGUAAAUUAAGCCGUUUUUUUCCUGUUAAAACUCAUUUAUAAAUUCAAGAGAAUUGAUGCAGUAAAAGAUGAUUCGAGGAAGCGAUUCAAAAUAAAAGAUGUAGGACAAAUAACAAGGAAUGCUAGUAAUAUAAACUUAGACUACAUAAAAUAAAACAAUUUGUAUGAAAUGGAAAUGGUUGCAUUUUGGGCUAAAUAGUGUAAAUAACAUAAAUACCAACCUUUUUGGAAGUAAUUACACUCUCUUCCAUUUUUUUAAUUAUUUUACUCUCUCUCCCUGUUAAUAUACAUAACAUAGCCAACAUAUACAUAGCAUUCUGUGUAUAUAUUGGAAUUUUUGUAAUAUGUUUAGAGAGUUAAAAUUUUUUGUAAUAUUGAAAACAUAAGUUGUGUAUUUGCAUAAUUUUUAGAUAAAUAAUAUAAAUACCAAUUCUUUUGGAAGUAAUUACACUCUCUCACUUUAUAAUUACUUUACUCUCUCUCUAUUAAUAUACAUAACAUAACCGACAUAUAUAUAAUAUUCUGUGUAUAUGUUGGAAUUUUUGUAAUAUGUUUAGAGAGUUAAAAUUUUUUGUAAUAUUGAAAACAUAAAUUGUGUAUUUGUGUAAUUUUUAGAUUAAUAUUGGACUAUAAGACCUCCAACAUUAGGAGCCCAAUUAUUUUUAGACCGACUCAAUAACUCGUACUUAAGUAAACUACAAACAUAAACUCUCACAAUUUCCAUUAAAUUGGAGAUUAAACUCUAACCAUUAAAUGAAGUAUAAUUAAAGACACUACAAAUUUUUCUUCACCAACAAAAGGCACUGCAUAUAAAAUAAUUAAGAAUUCUAAUCCCUGCUUUGUUUUUAAAAAAACAAAACUUAACCUUUUUCAUAAUAAUCACAGUUUUGUCAUCAUGGGAUUUCCUCUUUCAGAAUUUUAUUCUUCUUGUUGGGGAUGUUAAAUAUCAAAUCCUUCAGAUCGUCAGACAAAGAAAUUCAUCUGACCUAGCAUAUGUUUGUAAGCUUCAAAUGUUAUCCCACAGUGCCAAGCAUUUCUGCAUCUCACACAAAAAAUCCUUCAAAAAUUAGGACAUGUCCUAAUCAAAUAUUCCUUUCCAUCAUCAACCAGUUUUCCCGUGCAAUCUACAUAAGGGCAAUCCACAAUAUAUGGCGAAGCCAGAACUUUAGCUUCUCGAUUAGCAUUUUCUACACGAUCAAGAACAUCAUAAGGUAGUAAUAAUUCAAGAUCCACAGUUCUCUUACAGUUCGCAAUAGGACACUUAACUUUUUGAAUUUUAUUGCUUACUUUUUUUUAGCUAUAUGCCUUUGUAAACAUUCUUUGCAGUAUAAAUGUUGGCCAAUGCUGCCCGGAAUCAGCAUGUUCGGAGGAAGUGCAUCUUCACAUAUGUCGCAAUAGGUACAUGAGGAUUCCCCCUUUUCCCAAAUAUUAUUCAAUUUUUCAGUUAAUCCAAAAAUAAAGGAAUGAUGUGGUUCAACAAUUUUCUUACCAGCAGCAUUGCUAGAUCUUGAUUCUGAGUUCUUACCUGAGUGAAAUUGUGCAGAAUAAAAGAGGAUUUGCUGCAACUCUAUAUCAUUAUCUUCGUCCAUGAUGCCUUCCUCAUUUUCAUUGAUAUCAAAACUCAGCUGGCUGUCAGUUUUUUCAUCGCGAUUGAAGAUCUGAAUAUCUCUUGGAUCCAUUUUGAUUUUACUAGGGCCUUCAGAUUUACUAAAUUUAUGUCUUUUUUAACGGAUGCAAAGACUCUUAAAUCUUUUAGAAGUUGAAUUAAUCUUGAUUUUGACCUUUCAAUUUUGGUGCAAGAGAUGAUACAACAACAACAACAAACCCAGUGUAUUCCCACCUAGUGGGGUCUGGGGGGGUAAGAUGUACGCGGUCCAUACCUCUACCUCUGAUGAGGUAGAAAGGCUGUUUCCGAUAGACCCCCGGCUUAAGGCACGAGAUACCACACAAACACAUAGUAAAGCAUAGAAGCAGAUUACAUAACAUAAAUACGGCACCCAUAAGUAAUAUAAAACAGAGGAAAGCAGAGGAAAGCACACAGAUUCGUAAUAAAACAUGGAACACGGAACACGGAAUCAUAACAAGAAUAAAACCCCCACCAAGUAAUUCCCAGCACUAGCGACCCAAACUGGCCCUAAUCCUCUGCCGUAAUUCGCGUCCUCCAGACCUUCCUAUCUAGGGUCAUGUCCUCGGUGAGCUGUAACUGUUCCAUGUCCCGCCUAAUCACCUCACCCCAGUACUUCUUCGGCCUACCCCUACCCCGCCUAAAACCAUCCAACGCUAGCCUCUCACCCCUACGGACCGGGGCAUCCAUGCCCCUCCUCUUCACGUGUCCGAACCAUCUCAAUCGUGCAUCCCGCAUCUUGCACUCCACUGAAGUCACACCAACCUUCUCCUGGAUAGUCUCAUUCCGAACUCUAUCCCCUCUAGUCAGUCCAUACAUCNNNNNNNNNNNNNNNNNNNNNNNNNNNNNNNNNNNNNNNNNNNNNNNNNNNNNNNNNNNNNNNNNNNNNNNNNNNNNNNNNNNNNNNNNNNNNNNNNNNNNNNNNNNNNNNNNNNNNNNNNNNNNNNNNNNNNNNNNNNNNNNNNNNNNNNNNNNNNNNNNNNNNNNNNNNNNNNNNNNNNNNNNNNNNNNNNNNNNNNNNNNNNNNNNNNNNNNNNNNNNNNNNNNNNNNNNNNNNNNNNNNNNNNNNNNNNNNNNNNNNNNNNNNNNNNNNNNNNNNNNNNNNNNNNNNNNNNNNNNNNNNNNNNNNNNNNNNNNNNNNNNNNNNNNNNNNNNNNNNNNNNNNNNNNNNNNNNNNNNNNNNNNNNNNNNNNNNNNNNNNNNNNNNNNNNNNNNNNNNNNNNNNNNNNNNNNNNNNNNNNNNNNNNNNNNNNNNNNNNNNNNNNNNNNNNNNNNNNNNNNNNNNNNNNNNNNNNNNNNNNNNNNNNNNNNNNNNNNNNNNNNNNNNNNNNNNNNNNNNNNNNNNNNNNNNNNNNNNNNNNNNNNNNNNNNNNNNNNNNNNNNNNNNNNNNNNNNNNNNNNNNNNNNNNNNNNNNNNNNNNNNNNNNNNNNNNNNNNNNNNNNNNNNNNNNNNNNNNNNNNNNNNNNNNNNNNNNNNNNNNNNNNNNNNNNNNNNNNNNNNNNNNNNNNNNNNNNNNNNNNNNNNNNNNNNNNNNNNNNNNNNNNNNNNNNNNNNNNNNNNNNNNNNNNNNNNNNNNNNNNNNNNNNNNNNNNNNNNNNNNNNNNNNNNNNNNNNNNNNNNNNNNNNNNNNNNNNNNNNNNNNNNNNNNNNNNNNNNNNNNNNNNNNNNNNNNNNNNNNNNNNNNNNNNNNNNNNNNNNNNNNNNNNNNNNNNNNNNNNNNNNNNNNNNNNNNNNNNNNNNNNNNNNNNNNNNNNNNNNNNNNNNNNNNNNNNNNNNNNNNNNNNNNNNNNNNNNNNNNNNNNNNNNNNNNNNNNNNNNNNNNNNNNNNNNNNNNNNNNNNNNNNNNNNNNNNNNNNNNNNNNNNNNNNNNNNNNNNNNNNNNNNNNNNNNNNNNNNNNNNNNNNNNNNNNNNNNNNNNNNNNNNNNNNNNNNNNNNNNNNNNNNNNNNNNNNNNNNNNNNNNNNNNNNNNNNNNNNNNNNNNNNNNNNNNNNNNNNNNNNNNNNNNNNNNNNNNNNNNNNNNNNNNNNNNNNNNNNNNNNNNNNNNNNNNNNNNNNNNNNNNNNNNNNNNNNNNNNNNNNNNNNNNNNNNNNNNNNNNNNNNNNNNNNNNNNNNNNNNNNNNNNNNNNNNNNNNNNNNNNNNNNNNNNNNNNNNNNNNNNNNNNNNNNNNNNNNNNNNNNNNNNNNNNNNNNNNNNNNNNNNNNNNNNNNNNNNNNNNNNNNNNNNNNNNNNNNNNNNNNNNNNNNNNNNNNNNNNNNNNNNNNNNNNNNNNNNNNNNNNNNNNNNNNNNNNNNNNNNNNNNNNNNNNNNNNNNNNNNNNNNNNNNNNNNNNNNNNNNNNNNNNNNNNNNNNNNNNNNNNNNNNNNNNNNNNNNNNNNNNNNNNNNNNNNNNNNNNNNNNNNNNNNNNNNNNNNNNNNNNNNNNNNNNNNNNNNNNNNNNNNNNNNNNNNNNNNNNNNNNNNNNNNNNNNNNNNNNNNNNNNNNNNNNNNNNNNNNNNNNNNNNNNNNNNNNNNNNNNNNNNNNNNNNNNNNNNNNNNNNNNNNNNNNNNNNNNNNNNNNNNNNNNNNNNNNNNNNNNNNNNNNNNNNNNNNNNNNNNNNNNNNNNNNNNNNNNNNNNNNNNNNNNNNNNNNNNNNNNNNNNNNNNNNNNNNNNNNNNNNNNNNNNNNNNNNNNNNNNNNNNNNNNNNNNNNNNNNNNNNNNNNNNNNNNNNNNNNNNNNNNNNNNNNNNNNNNNNNNNNNNNNNNNNNNNNNNNNNNNNNNNNNNNNNNNNNNNNNNNNNNNNNNNNNNNNNNNNNNNNNNNNNNNNNNNNNNNNNNNNNNNNNNNNNNNNNNNNNNNNNNNNNNNNNNNNNNNNNNNNNNNNNNNNNNNNNNNNNNNNNNNNNNNNNNNNNNNNNNNNNNNNNNNNNNNNNNNNNNNNNNNNNNNNNNNNNNNNNNNNNNNNNNNNNNNNNNNNNCCUCUUCAUUUCUCUCCCCAAAACCAAAACCACCAUGCACAUCACCAAAGCCUCCCGGUAGCGCCCCAAUGUGCCCGUUGAAAUCCCCUGCUACAACCAUCUUCUCCGAACUAGGCACGCCUCUCACCACCUCCUCCAACGCCUCCCAAAACUGCAUCUUCUCCUCCCUCCCCGAUCCCACUUACGGCGCAUAAGCACUACACACAUUCAGGGUGAACCCCCGAAUGACCAACUUAAUAGUCAUCAACCUAUCGUUGAUCCUCUUCACCUCCACUACCUGACCUCUAAGCUCUUCAUCUACUAAGAUGCCAACUCCAUUCCUACGCCUGUCGCUCCCAGAGUACCACAGCUUGUAACCAUCCACAUCCCUAGCCUUAGACCCUACACACUUGGUCUCCCGAACACACGCAAUGUUGAUCCUCCUCUUCCUAAGAAUCUUCACAAGCUCUACGGACUUACCCUGAAGAGUCCCUAUAUUCCAAGACCCAACCCUCAGCCUACCGUCACUAUCCACACGCCCUNNNNNNNNNNNNNNNNNNNNNNNNNNNNNNNNNNNNNNNNNNNNNNNNNNNNNNNNNNNNNNNNNNNNNNNNNNNNNNNNNNNNNNNNNNNNNNNNNNNNNNNNNNNNNNNNNNNNNNNNNNNNNNNNNNNNNNNNNNNNNNNNNNNNNNNNNNNNNNNNNNNNNNNNNNNNNNNNNNNNNNNNNNNNNNNNNNNNNNNNNNNNNNNNNNNNNNNNNNNNNNNNNNNNNNNNNNNNNNNNNNNNNNNNNNNNNNNNNNNNNNNNNNNNNNNNNNNNNNNNNNNNNNNNNNNNNNNNNNNNNNNNNNNNNNNNNNNNNNNNNNNNNNNNNNNNNNNNNNNNNNNNNNNNNNNNNNNNNNNNNNNNNNNNNNNNNNNNNNNNNNNNNNNNNNNNNNNNNNNNNNNNNNNNNNNNNNNNNNNNNNNNNNNNNNNNNNNNNNNNNNNNNNNNNNNNNNNNNNNNNNNNNNNNNNNNNNNNNNNNNNNNNNNNNNNNNNNNNNNNNNNNNNNNNNNNNNNNNNNNNNNNNNNNNNNNNNNNNNNNNNNNNNNNNNNNNNNNNNNNNNNNNNNNNNNNNNNNNNNNNNNNNNNNNNNNNNNNNNNNNNNNNNNNNNNNNNNNNNNNNNNNNNNNNNNNNNNNNNNNNNNNNNNNNNNNNNNNNNNNNNNNNNNNNNNNNNNNNNNNNNNNNNNNNNNNNNNNNNNNNNNNNNNNNNNNNNNNNNNNNNNNNNNNNNNNNNNNNNNNNNNNNNNNNNNNNNNNNNNNNNNNNNNNNNNNNNNNNNNNNNNNNNNNNNNNNNNNNNNNNNNNNNNNNNNNNNNNNNNNNNNNNNNNNNNNNNNNNNNNNNNNNNNNNNNNNNNNNNNNNNNNNNNNNNNNNNAGAGAGGGAGAGAGGGGCGACGCCAGAGCCGGAGGUCGGGCCCGGAGGUUGGGUCGGGUCGGUGCCGAUGGUAGGCGACGGCGACGGGGGCCGGUGAUCGGUGCGAGCGAGAGAGAGGGUAGGGAGGAAGAGAGAGAGCCGUUAGAGUUUGGUGCAAGAGAUGAUGUGACACUUAAUUCAAUCAGCAACAACACCCGUUUGAGAACUCCGCCUUAAAUAUUUAAGGAUUGCUAUAUUUGUUUCCCAAUAUGCAUAUAAGUUGAAUAAAUACCGUUGCAAACAACAAAAUAAGUCAACAAUAAAUUUAGAGUAUGUAAUGUGUCAGGGACUGACACUUUUAGUCAAAUUAAAGAACAAUGAGCAUGUUUUUUGUGCACCACUGAUAUGUUCCGACUAAUAAAAUAUCACCACGUCAACUUCAAUCUGUAUGGUCAAAAAAAGUUAUCUUCCUCAUAACUCUUCCACCUCAGCACAAUUGACAUGUACCCUCCGAUAAAGUAUUGCCAGGUCAAGCUCAACAUGAAUUGUCAAACAAUGCUUGUCGUCAUCACAAUCUUCCAUCUUAGCAUGAGUGACAUGUUUCAGCCAAUAAAUUAUCGGUCGAUCAACAUUAAUUUGAAUGGUUAAUAAAAGUUUAUCCUUGUCAUAAAUAUUCCAUCUCAACACGAGUGAUGUUUUCAACCAAUUAAAUAUCACCAUAUCAACUUCAAUUUAAUUGGUUAAUAAAAAUUUGUUCUCGUCAAAAUAUUUUUAUCUCAGCACAUGUUCCAGCAAAUCAAAUGUUGUCAUGGCAACUUCAAUUUGAUUAAUUGAAAAGAGGUUGUCCGUGCGAUAACUCUUUCAAUUAUGCACAAAUGACAUGUUUCAACCAAUCAAAUAUUGUUAUGCCAACUUUAAUCUGAUUGGGUGAAAAAAAUAGUCCCCAACACAAUUCUUUCAACCAGUACAAGAGACACAUUUCAAUCGAUCAAAUAUCAUCAUGUGAACUUAAAUUUGAUUGGCCGAAAAGACUUUGCCCUCCCACAACACUUCCAUCCUAGCAUAAGUGACAUAUAUUAACCAAUCAAAUAUUAUCAAGUCAACUACAAUCAAAUUAGCAUAAAAAACUAUCCUCGUCUAAGGGUGUUAAGUGGGCCGGGCCGGGUCAAUUCGAAACCAGUCCAUUAAAUUUAUCUGGUUUGUGGGCCGAAUCGGAUCGGGGUUGGGGUUAAGUGGGGUGGGUCGGGCCGUGUUCAACAAUAAAAUUUUUAAAAAUAGCCCUAACCCGGUCCACUUAACCCAACCCGAUCAAACCCACCUAAACCCGGUCAAACCCAGUUAAAAAUCUGAUCACACCCGGUCAAAAAUUUUUAAAAACUUUUUUUCAAUAUACACUAUAUAUACCCACCUAUAUACAUUUUAAAUACGUUAAACAAUAUAUAUACACUAUAUAUAUAGUAUAUACUAAUAAGAAUUUAAAAGAUAUAUACACAUAUACACAAUUACACAUAUAUACGUAACAUUCAAUAUAUACGACCAUACGUACUACUUUAAAUAAAACAUAUACUACAGCAAAUAUAUACUACAAUUUAUAUAAGUAUAUAUAUAGAGUUAUAUACUAAUUUAUAAAACAUAUACACAUGUAUAUGUUAAAUAUAUACGUCUAUAGAAGAUAUAUACACAUAUAUACGCAACAUUCAAUAUAUAUGUACUACUUUAAAUAAAACAUAUACUACNNNNNNNNNNNNNNNNNNNNNNNNNNNNNNNNNNNNNNNNNNNNNNNNNNNNNNNNNNNNNNNNNNNNNNNNNNNNNNNNNNNNNNNNNNNNNNNNNNNNNNNNNNNNNNNNNNNNNNNNNNNNNNNNNNNNNNNNNNNNNNNNNNNNNNNNNNNNNNNNNNNNNNNNNNNNNNNNNNNNNNNNNNNNNNNNNNNNNNNNNNNNNNNNNNNNNNNNNNNNNNNNNNNNNNNNNNNNNNNNNNNNNNNNNNNNNNNNNNNNNNNNNNNNNNNNNNNNNNNNNNNNNNNNNNNNNNNNNNNNNNNNNNNNNNNNNNNNNNNNNNNNNNNNNNNNNNNNNNNNNNNNNNNNNNNNNNNNNNNNNNNNNNNNNNNNNNNNNNNNNNNNNNNNNNNNNNNNNNNNNNNNNNNNNNNNNNNNNNNNNNNNNNNNNNNNNNNNNNNNNNNNNNNNNNNNNNNNNNNNNNNNNNNNNNNNNNNNNNNNNNNNNNNNNNNNNNNNNNNNNNNNNNNNNNNNNNNNNNNNNNNNNNNNNNNNNNNNNNNNNNNNNNNNNNNNNNNNNNNNNNNNNNNNNNNNNNNNNNNNNNNNNNNNNNNNNNNNNNNNNNNNNNNNNNNNNNNNNNNNNNNNNNNNNNNNNNNNNNNNNNNNNNNNNNNNNNNNNNNNNNNNNNNNNNNNNNNNNNNNNNNNNNNNNNNNNNNNNNNNNNNNNNNNNNNNNNNNNNNNNNNNNNNNNNNNNNNNNNNNNNNNNNNNNNNNNNNNNNNNNNNNNNNNNNNNNNNNNNNNNNNNNNNNNNNNNNNNNNNNNNNNNNNNNNNNNNNNNNNNNNNNNNNNNNNNNNNNNNNNNNNNNNNNNNNNNNNNNNNNNNNNNNNNNNNNNNNNNNNNNNNNNNNNNNNNNNNNNNNNNNNNNNNNNNNNNNNNNNNNNNNNNNNNNNNNNNNNNNNNNNNNNNNNNNNNNNNNNNNNNNNNNNNNNNNNNNNNNNNNNNNNNNNNNNNNNNNNNNNNNNNNNNNNNNNNNNNNNNNNNNNNNNNNNNNNNNNNNNNNNNNNNNNNNNNNNNNNNNNNNNNNNNNNNNNNNNNNNNNNNNNNNNNNNNNNNNNNNNNNNNNNNNNNNNNNNNNNNNNNNNNNNNNNNNNNNNNNNNNNNNNNNNNNNNNNNNNNNNNNNNNNNNNNNNNNNNNNNNNNNNNNNNNNNNNNNNNNNNNNNNNNNNNNNNNNNNNNNNNNNNNNNNNNNNNNNNNNNNNNNNNNNNNNNNNNNNNNNNNNNNNNNNNNNNNNNNNNNNNNNNNNNNNNNNNNNNNNNNNNNNNNNNNNNNNNNNNNNNNNNNNNNNNNNNNNNNNNNNNNNNNNNNNNNNNNNNNNNNNNNNNNNNNNNNNNNNNNNNNNNNNNNNNNNNNNNNNNNNNNNNNNNNNNNNNNNNNNNNNNNNNNNNNNNNNNNNCAACGUGUUGAUCCGUCGUCUGCGAUCCUCUGGCGGCGACCAAAGAUAAUAUUUCAGGUCUUCCCGAUAACUUGAUGUGUAAGCUCUCUCAUCAACACUGUUCCAAUAAGGUAAAUCAUAAAAGGAAUCAGGAAAACCACUAUGUGCCGGCCUUUUAGAAGAUGAUGGCUCCUCGGGAAGAUGAGGAGCGACUGUUGGAGUGAUAUUUGUAGGUACGGCUGAAUCAACUAAAUCAGCAUAGUGAUUAUAUAAUUUUUCUAUGUAUUCAUUUGCAUCACCCAUAGCCGUUCACAAAUCAGGUUGUACUUGUUCAAAAUCAUUGUUAGUAUUUAUUUCUAAGUUAGCAUAAAUAAUAGUACUAAAGUGGCACAUAGUAUUAUAUUUCAUGCACGGAUUUAGCAUAGAACCAACCAAGUAAAUAGGGGAAAUUGGGAAAAAAUAUUUUUUAAAUUUAGUAAACAUGGCAUCAAUAGGUUCUUUAUAACCUUCUUUAUUUUUAUAUUCUUUGAGCAAACCAGAAAUAUCGGCUAUAUAUAUCAAAAUAUUACAAACAGUAGGAUAAUAAGCAUCGGAAAAUUCAACCGUAGCUACAUAAAAUUUUUCUAAAAACUUAACAAGAUCAUUAAUUACAACCCAAUCAGAAUUAUGUAGCAUGCAAUUAGCAAAAUCAGCAAAUGAACCACCAUGUUGGUUAAAAGCUAGUGUAAUAGGAGCUCUAUAUUUAUAACAAGUUUUUAAAAGAUCAUACGUAGAAUUUUAUCUAAUAUCAAUUCCUCAGGCAUCAAUAUCGGUGCAAGUUCAUUUUCUUGACAUUUAACUUUAAAUUCCUUAAUUCUCAAUCUACGAUUAUUUCCUUGAAUAAAACCAACAACAAGACAAAUUUUUUCAAUAUAAAGCUCAAAAAACUCAAGACCAUCUUUUACAAUUAAAUUAUAUAUAUGACAUGCACACUUAAUAUGAAAAAUUUUAGGUAAUAACGGAGAUAGAUUAAAUUUUAACUUUGUUAUAGCAGUCUUAUUGUUAGAAGCAUUAUCAAAAGCAAUACAUAAGAUUUUAUUUUCGAUACCAUAAAAUUCGGCAACUUUAACAAUAGAAUCAACAAUAAAAUCUCCAGCAUGUUUACGAUCUUAAUAAUCUAUAAAAGCAAGAAUACGUUUUUGCAUCACAAAAUUAAUAUCCAUUCAGUGACAAGUAACGGUUAAAUAAUUAUUUUUAUUUACGCGACCAAGAUCAGAAGUUAGGGACAAUCUACAUUGAAUAUUUUUUAACAAUAUUGAUAAAUAAAAAUAAUAUUGUGAAUGAAGUCUAAAAAUAUCAGACCGAAAAGUACUUCUAGGAAUACCAUUAAACAUAGGAUUAUAAAUUGCUUGAAUAUAUUGAAUAAAGGCAUUAGAAGAAGGAAAACUAAAAGGCAAACAACCCACAGCUACCAUUUUAGCUAUUUCUUCCCGGUUCCUCGAUUUAUUAUACUUCUUCGUUACCUGAUCGGUUGCUGGGUUCAUUCUAGUUUGCAUUGGCCACCAACAUCCCCACCACCUCAUGCAAUAUUUAACUCUCUUUCGUGAGCAUCACCUAUAUGUCUUGUUAACGUACCCGUAUACCCCCCUACUUGCCUCCACUUUUAUGCUUAUAUAUUUGUUGACAAAUAUUACAUUGCACCUCAGUAUCAGAUACACGUUCAAAAAAUUUUCAUGCAAUACUAGUUGUUUUACGAGCUCUUGGGGCACAAAGAGGACGGGAAGGGAGAUUAACCGAUUCAGAUCUAACGUUAGCAUUCCCUACUGCAGGUGUCUCACCAAUAUUUUCAUCAUCUUCGUCUAAAUUAACCGCAUCUACUUUAUUUUCUUCUUCUAUACCGUAAUUUUCCUGAGUUUCUACGUAAUCCAUAUUGUGAGCACCUACACCUAUUUCUUUCUCAAAAGGUGCACCAAGCGAUACUGGAGGCAAAGACACACGGGUAUAUCUACUACUUGAAGUACCUCUACCGCUAGUAAUUCGCUUUUUACUACCACUACCCCUUCCGGAACUUUUUUUUAACACCUUUAGUAGCGAGAUUUCUUAAUUUAUCCAUAGUAUAAAUUAAAUUAAAAAAAUUUAAAAUACACAAAUAUAAUAAAAUUAAAUAUUCAACAAUUAAUACACUAAAUAAAAAUUAAACGUAAGAGAUGAAACAACAAUACCAAAUUUUGGAAGUAUCCGAAGGUUUUGACUUUAGAAACUUCCACUCGUACUUGGUAA